This 88995-nucleotide long non-coding RNA is filed under the name Citrus maxima (pomelo). RNAcentral's name for it is "long non-coding RNA (CMAX_LNC000994)". The record is from RNAcentral. Lineage: Eukaryota; Viridiplantae; Streptophyta; Magnoliopsida; Sapindales; Rutaceae.
GUGGGUUGGGUCGAAGCAGGCUGUCUUGGCUGACUUUCGGUACAUGCCGUUUGUGUACCAAAACGUGUGCGAUCAAGGGGCUGUUCAGAAGCUUCAUCUCGACCUUGAACGGUGGUUGCAAAGUUAACAGCCGAGAGUUGUUUUUGAGCUUGUACAGGUUAUAUCUCCAUGAUUAAAUCCAUCUAGAGAAGAUCUUGACUCACACCAAUUGAAAACGCGUAUUGGAAAUUAACACCGGGAGGUUGCAAAACAAUUAAUUCUUACAUAAACGCUUUGCUCAGAAUCAAAUAUAGCUCAAUCAACCGAAAACCAUUAUAAACAUGGCAUCAGCACCCUCUGUUUCGAGAUUGGUGGUCAUUAUAAUUUUAAUUAAUAUUGGUGCUAUAAGUGAUACGACGAUAAUUGUAGCGGCAUCAGCGGCUACAGGAUUAUUGUCGUCACCCAUACAGUUAGAAAGGAAAGCUUUACUUGCUACGGGCUGGUGGGUCAACAUUUGGGCGACGGGCAACCACACGUCCGAUCCUUGUAAGUGGACUGGCAUCAGUUGCAAUUCAGCGGGAAGCGUAAUCGGGGUCAACUUACUCCGGUAUGAAAAUGAUAACAUCAAAGGAGAGCUUGGUCGUUUCAACUUCUCUUGCUUUCCCAACCUCAAAAGUUUCAAAAUUCAUUCAAAUUAUCUUCUCUCUGGGAGCAUUCCAUCUGAAAUUGCUGCCCUUCCAAUGCUCCAAACUCUUGAACUGCCCUCCAACAAUCUUACCGGUAAAUACUUGAGCUUGACUCUCUCUCUCUCUCUCUCUAUAUAUAUAUAUAUAUGUAAUUUUGUAUUUUUUUUUGUUGCUAUGAGGAUAGUGAAUACUAUCUCAUUUUUCAUAAAUCACAUGCACAACAUGAAUUAUCCCUUUAGAGAUAGGGAGAUUGAGGAAUCUCGCCCACCUGGAUCUAUUUGAUAAUCACCUCAUGGGACAUAUCCCUCCAACUCUUGGUCGUCUAAGCAAAUUGAAAUUUUUGAACUUGUCUUCUAACUCCAUUGUUGGUAAUAUCCCCUCCACUCUAGGUCAUCUAACCCAUCUAACUAUGUAUGUAUGUAUGUAUAUAUGAAGUCGUGCUCAUGCUUGAAGCAGGCGUCUGUUUUUACAACACUGAAGAAGUUUUUUUUUUAUGAGGAUUUCUUUAUAAAUUUUAUUUAUAUGAGGAUAGUGCAUAAUGAUCUCGUUUUUCAUAAAUCACAUGUGCAACAGGAAUUAUCCCUUCAGAGAUGGGGAGAUUGAGGAAUCUUGUCCACCUGGAUCUAUCUGAUAAUUACAUCUGGGGAUAUAUCCCUCCAACUCUUGGUCGUCUAAGCAAAUUGGAAAAUUUGAACCUGUCUUCUAACGGCCUUGAUGGUAAUAUCUCUCCAACUCUUGGUCGUCUAAGCACAUUUUUGUUGUGUCAAAGUGAAACUAUAUAAUAAAUUUCUACAUCUUUGUUUAUUACUUCGGUAGUGUUUUAAUUUGGAGAAUAUGCUGGUUGGCUUUUUUUCCUUCAAUUUUUGUAUGAAAUGAAUCGGCUUCAAGUAUCAGUUUCUUUUCCAAAUUGCAUCCAUCAAUUGCAAUUGUUACAUUGGGCGAUUACCAGUUGUACGUAAUUAUUAAGGAAGGCAGGUUUAAGCAUUUUUGGUUUGUACGUUUUCCUCCUUUUUUUUCCCUUUUGCAUUAAAAAUCAUGGUUAUCCUAUAAAAGAUAUGAUUACAAAUCAAAAGCACUAUUUCUAAUUUCACACAUACACAGUUCCUCAUUAAUUUACUAAAUUUACUUUUGUAUUUACAAGAUAGGGUAGUCAAUUGAGAGCACUGAGUGUGAUUCUCUCUAAUCUCCAUAAUUUUAUAUUAAUUUAUUGAUAUAUUUGUUGCAUCUGCAGAUUUAACUUUCAGUCUAAAAUAUGCAACAUUGACGAGCCCCAAAAAAAACAAGAAAAAAAAAACUAUUGAAGCACUAAAAAAUCUAUUAAUUUUUACAACCUAAGCAUUUCUUUAUAAAUUUUAUUUCUAUGAGGAUAUUAAAUACUGAUCUCGUUUUUCAUAAAUCACAUGCGCAACAGGAAUUAUCCCUUCAGAGAUGGGGAGAUGGAGGAAUCUCGUCCACCUGGAUCUAUCUGAUAAUUUCCUCUGGGGAUAUAUCCCUCCAACUCUUGGCCAUCUAAGCAAAUUGGAAAAUUUGCACUUGUCUUCUAACUCCCUUGUUGGUAAUAUCCCCUCCACUAUAGGUCAUCUAACCCAGCUAACUACUUUCGCUAUUGCCUCAAACCACAUUAAUGUUUCCAUCCCAUUAGAAAUCGGGAAUUUGAACUUUCUUCAAGUUCUUGACCUGUCCCGAAAUGAAAUUGGAGGUUCAAUUCCUUCAACACUUGGCCAUUUAAAGAGGUUGAGAAGUUUAGACUUGUCCUACAACAAACUUGUUGGUCCAAUCCCUUCGUCUGUGGGUCAUUUGACUCAGCUAACUACUUUUUAUAUGCACUCAAACCUAAUCAAUGGUUCCAUUCCAUUAGAAAUCGGGAAUUUGAACUUUCUUCAAGUUCUUGACCUGUUUGACAACAAACUUGAAGGUCCAAUUCCUUCGACCAUAGCUAGUUUAGUCAACUUGACAUCUCUGUCCCUGGAUUAUAACAAUCUAACUGGAUCUAUUCCUUCAAUGCUUGGUCGUUUAAAUAGGUUGACAGAUUUAGGAUUGUCCGAAAACAAACUUGUUGGUCUAAUCCCUUCGUCCCUGGGUCAUUUGACUCAGCUAACUACUUUAAGUAUGGACAACAACAAACUUGAUGGUCCAAUUCCUCAAGAACUCAUGAAUUGCUCAAAGCUGGGGGAAUUACGUUUGGGAAACAACUUGUUAAGCGGAAGCAUCCCGUCGGAGAUCGGCAAACUUAAAGAACUAUAUUAUCUUGAUCUGAACCAUAACUUCAUUAAUGGUAAAAUACCUCCCCAGCUUGGAGAAAUUCCACGCAUAGUUACCGUGGACCUUUCCAUGAAUAACCUCUCUGGUAGUAUCCCUGAAUCUGUCAUAAAUGUGCCAGACUUAGAUUUGUCAGGCAACAAUUUUGAGGUAGAAAUCCCAAAUACUUCGGCAAAUGCGCCAUCGCCACAACAAUCUGAAGGCAAUAAAGACAAGCACAAAAAGACUACCACUCGAUUGGUUGCAAUUAUUCUUCCUAUGGCCGCAUUCCUUACCUUAAUAUUUGGAAUCAUGUUUGUCCGUAGACGAAGGGAUAAGAAAGUUGAACCAGCUGAGACAGGAGAAAUUACCAAGUGCGCUGAUGAGUUUGCAAUUUGGAAUUACGAUGGUAGGAUUACAUUUCAAGACAUGAUUGAAGCUACUGAGGAUUUCCAUAUCAAAUACUGCAUUGGAACCGGAGGCUAUGGCAGCGUUUACCGAGCACGACUGCCCAGUGGAAAAGUAGUUGCUUUGAAGAAGCUUCACCGUUCAGAAACUGAGGAGUUAGCUUCCCUCGAGAGUUUUCGGAAUGAGGCUCGUCUACUGUCCCAAAUACGGCAUCGAAAUAUCGUAAAGCUUUACGGGUUUUGUUUGCACAGGAAAUGUAUGUUCUUAAUCUAUGAGUACAUAGAAAUGGGAAGCUUGUUCUGUGUUCUACGAACAGAUGAGGAAGCUGUUGGUUUAGAUUGGGCUAAAAGGGUGAACAUUGUGAAGGGCAUGGCUCAUGCUUUGUCAUAUUUGCAUCAUCACUGCACACCACCAAUUGUUCACCGCGACAUAUCAAGCAACAACAUUCUACUCAACUUAGAAUUAGAAGCAUUUGUUGCCGACUUUGGCGUUGCUAGAUUGUUAAAUUUUGACUCAUCCAAUCGAACUCUAUUGGCUGGCACUUAUGGAUAUAUUGCUCCAGGUAAUCUUCUAGCUAUUCUUCUUCUGCUUCUUUAAUUAUUCUUUUAAUUGAUUUUUAUUUACACUCUGUUAAGUAAUUUUUAAAUAGUUUUAUUGUUAAGGAAUGAAAAAUAAAUUUUAACUUAGCCUGCCCGUUUAACAUAUGUUUCUCAAAAAUAUAAACAAAUUGCUCUUGUUAUUAUAUAGGAAAUAUCACUAAUAAAGGCUUCUGUUUUCCUAUAGAACUGGCCUACACCAUGAUUGUGACGGAGAAAUCUGAUGUUUAUAGCUUCGGAGUGGUGGCACUAGAAGUACUAAUGGGAAAGCAUCCUGGAGAGCUCCUCUCAUCGUUAUCUUCGUCAUUAGAUAAAAAUAUUAAGCUGAUUGAUUUGCUGGACCCACGCCUCUCACCUCCGGUGGAUCAAAAGAUUAGGCAGGAUAUCAUUCUUGUUUCAACAGUAGCAUUUUCAUGCUUGCGUUCUCAACCAAAGUCUCGACCUACAAUGCAACUCGUGUCCAACGAAUUUAUCGCUCGCAAUAAGACACCAAUGCAAAAACCUUUUCAAGAAAUUUCAAUUUUGGAGCUUAGAAACCAAGAAAUGUAUUUGGUUGAUUAAUGUGAUAUCUAAUUAUGGAUAUAUAUAUUUAACUGUUCAUGUAUGUGAUGGGAUUGCUUCUAAUCCUAAUGGAAUUUUCCAAUAAAGGUGACUGUUAAUUGGUUCUGAAAUUAUUAAGUAGUAGCAAUGUAGCAAAUAUUAUGUGUUCGACGAAUUGUCUCCCUUAGUAUUAUUAAUUCUAUUUACACGUUCACUUCCUAUACAUGUUCAAUUGCAAUUAAACGAAUGUGCAAACUACAACAUUAAUCUCAUCUAGAUCUCUCUUGCGAGUAGUACUGACCUGACAGAGGGUACAACUCCAAUCCAUGGGUUUCCUUGAACUCGUCAAAGGGAGCUCACCAGAACCUGCAGGUAGUGUGGCAGCUUCCUGCUUUGGUCCACAAAGAUUGGGAUAGGGCUUAACCUGCAGGGCUUGACAACCCUCCUCUUUCUGGUCCAAACCAACAACAAUUCUAUUAGCUUUAACUGAUUCCUCUUCUACUUUAAGUCUUCAUUUCUUGGCCAGCACUAUCUCUGCUUUCUGUAGAUUUUUUUAUCCACUUCUGAGCUCCAAGUAGUUCUUCUUCCUUGGCUUUCUGCUUCUUACCUUGAGGAUGCUCAUCUAGACCACCCUCCACUUUCUGGUUCAAACCAACAACAGUUUUAUUAGCUUUAACUGAUUCCUCUUCUACUUUAGUCUUCAUUUCUUGGCUAACACCAUCUCUGCUUUCUGUAGAUAUUUUUGACGUGGAUGAAGUGGAGUUAUUGCACAUUUUCUUAUCUCUAAGUAGUCCUGCUACCUUGGCCUUGUGCUUCCUACCUUGAAGAUGCUCAUCCAGACCUCUCUGGGUUGUAGCACUGACCUGACAGAGGGCACAACUCCACUGCUCGGUUUUGGUUGAAUUCGUCGAAGGGAGCUCUCCAGAACCUGCAGGUGGUGCAGCAGCAUUCUGAUUUGUUCCACAAAGAUUGGAAUUGGGCUUAACCUGCAGGGUUUGACCACCCUCCACUUUCUGGUCUAAGCCAACAACAGUUUUUUUGGUACCAACUGAUUCCUCUUCCAUUAGGCUUCAUUUCUUGGUCAGCACUAUUUCUGCUUUCCAUAGAUUUUUUUGAAGUGGAGUUAAUGCACAUCUUCAAAUCUCUAAGUAGUUUUUCCUUGGCCUUGUGCUUCUUGCCUUGGAGAUGCACGUCUAGACCUCUCUCGGUAGUAGCAGUGACCUGACAAAGGGCACAACUCCACUCCUUGGGUUUGCUUGAACUCGUUGAAGGAAGCUCUCCAGAACCUGCAGGUGGUGUGGCAGCUUUCUGCUUUGAUCCACAAACACUAGUAUCAGGCUUAGCCUGGAAAUGAUACCCAAACACAGAAACAACAAUGCCUUAUAUUAGUUAUCACAUCAAUGGUAAAAAUGAAAAGUAUUUCCAGUGAGCUCCAUCAUCUGCUGUUGUAGUACAGAUGAAAGAAUUUGUUUACAAAAUGAUAACGUGCAAAUUUUAUUUUAAAUUGUGAAUUCUCAAAAAAGGUGGGAAUGUAGAAGUAUAGUCAAAUAGUUAAUACAACCAGAAUCCUUGUUUAUUAACAACAUUUCCAGCAUUGAACUAGGAAAAUAUCUCCAUCCCAAAAAAGAAAAAAAAAAGGAAUAUGUUUGAAUAGGAUUAUGAAAUACUUUCUUAAUAAGCUGGACAAGGAGAGAUGAUAUCUUAUGAGCAUUUUAAUUCAUAAUUUGAGGAAAAACCAUUUUAAUGGAGCUUCCAGCCCAACGCACAUACACAAACACAAUCAAUAAGAUUUAACAUAAGAAAUUACCGGGAAAAGAAACAUCACAAAUCAAUCUGUACAAGUUCAUGUGACACUUCAUGGUAAACAUAUGUAACCUCUCUUGGAAACUUAGCUUGUGACAAGCUCACAUUUUCUCUGUGUUUUCGUUCAAAAAAGGUUUCAGACACACAUUAAUUCCAGGCUGUGGAGGACCACAUGUCCUCAUUGCUCAAAUUUUUAAAGCCACAUACAUUGGCAUUUGCACGCAUGGUCAAUGAGUUACACAACUCUGUUGUCUACUUGAGUUGACCAAGCAAACUGAAUUUGUGAACUUUGAGCGACAUAAAUAACCCAAUGCUAACAUGUUUGGAAUUAAAUCAAGAUUGUGAGUCCAAAUGUACUCCCCGACAAACUUGUCACCUGUGCAUCAAGACAAAGUCUUAUAGCACUAAGAAUGGACAUGUGAAUCUCUAAGCAACAACCUCCUAAUAACAUAAAAAUCAAGGUUGGUGUGGGAUAAAGCCAUUCAAAUGGACAUGUAAAGGGUAACUUUGAUGAAUAAGGGUUUAAGAGAAACAAUCUUAUCACAGAGUAUUUCAAUUGGAGCGGAUAAAGAAACUAACAUGAAACAAACUCACUUAUCUCUAUUUAUUUUUCAAUUAUCAUAGAUCCAAAAUCUAAAAUUAUCAUUUUGAGCUACCCUCAAUUAGUAAGCACUGCAUUGUCACUGCUUUCUUCUGAAAUUUUCCAUCAACAGAAAAUCUCUAACAAAUCAAAACAAGACUUACCAAGUUUCAUAAGUAUCAAAACAAAAACGAGCAAAGGUCCACAGGGAAGUUCUAGAAUGAAACAUUAAAACGUUUAGUUCAUGCUUCAAUCAUAUAAUACAAUAUACAAACAUCAUUUAAUCAUGUUUCAGAUAAAUUUUGCAAAUCCACAAUAAUAGACAUGCCUUUAACAUGGAAAGCAUCCCUUCCCACUUAAGGGUCUCCACAACUGCCUUACUAUCAAAAUUAGAUUAUAGUGUGAGUUAAAUUACCAGCACCCAUAGCCUCUGUCAUAUUAGUACUAUAGAUCUCGGAUUUUUCCUCCUUAACUUCAGAGCUGUCAGAUGUCUCCUUACUAGAGGUGGAACCAGUAAUUGCCUGUAAAUAAAUUUCAUCAGCAAAUUUGCACAAGUGAAUGUUCAUGUAUAAUCAAGUAACAGUUCCACAUAAAAAUCAAACAACAAACUGAAUCAACAUGGACUCGAUAAAACUAAUGGCAUAAUCAGACUACCAAUUAUCAGUUGAAGUUAAUUUUUAUACUCGCGUAUUUAGCUCCUCGACAAUAUGUACAUUAAAACCAGUAAAUAAAUAGAACAGAAUAAAGAAGAAUAUUCCAUAUUAUGAAAUAUCUGAAGAUAUUUAUGAAUAAAAAUGUCAGCACUGCUACUGAACAGCAUCACAGUUGAAGCUAAUAUUACUCUUUUAAAAAACAAAAAAAGAAAGAAAUGAAUUUGAAAUUAAAAUAUCAUAUAGUUACCUUAACGGUGAUACGUCGAUUUAGAUCAGCAUAAUUCAUCGUUCCCUGCGAUAAUAAAUCAGACACGAGACUCCAUUUCCAUUAUACACAAAACGCCCAAGCAUUAAGUAUUAACAGGAAGAAAAAACGACAAAAAAUUAUUGCGUUUUACCAGAGAAUUGAAAGAAGAAGUAGGCUUCCGUUGAUUGAAUCUGAAGCUUUGCAAAGGCAAAGCUGAGGAUCUGAAAUAUUAACCAAAAAAAUUAAAAAAUGAAAACAAAUUUAGGGAGAUUUAAAAUAAAAAUUAAAAAGAAAAAGAAAAAGCGGACCUUGGAAGAUUCUGCAGACAGUUCAUUGAUUGAAGAAGAAAGGAAAAUAUCAGAGCAAAUCGUUAAGCAGACAAGUGUGUGUGUGUGUGCGUAUUAAGUGUUGCAUUUCCAAUUGCGGGCAAUUUAUAGAGGUUGGCUGGGAAUCGGCAAAAAGGUUAUCAGCUUUUGACAGAUUCCCCAAAAUGCCAUUGCAUUUCGUUUGUUUCAGUUGCUCUUUUUGGUUCGUUGGUGAUCCAUCAGCGGGCCCGUUUGAUUUUUUUUUUUCGUUUUCCUUAUUUUCAUGGUGAAUUUUAUAUAAUUUUUUGAUUAUAUAUAUAUAUAUAUAUAUUUAUUUAUUUAUUAAAACAUAAUAAAAUAUAACAUAGUGUCUAAGUCAGAUUGAAAAUAAAUCAACACAUAUGAUUGUUGAAUUGUUAAUUGUGUUCGCAUCUUAUUUCAAUUAUUGCCUAUCAGUUUACAGUGAAUCUCAGGGUCCAUUUUUCGUGAGGUUAAUGAUUGCAUUCUGGGUUGUGUUGCUCUCAGUCUUUAGUGUUCAUUCAUCUUUUUAUGGUAAGUUGCAUGCAUUUGUUUUGUCUUUAGAGGUUAUGGUGUCUAAUUGAGCAGACACACGUUUGGCUUAUAGAUGAUAUGACUCUGAAACCAUGUCGCAGCUGUUGCUUGUUUUGUCUUGACGUGCACCCCUUGAUUAUACUCGGCGGGAUAAAUUUUGCACUUAUUUAAAAUAAAUAAAUAAAUAAAUAAAGAAUUUCCUGUGGGGAAUUCAAAGUGCAAAAACGAAUUGAUUAGUGAAGAGGAUACAGAGAUUUGACAUGAUAAUUAAUCAUCUCGUUAUGAUGUGUUAGUGUCUAAUUCACAAAUUCGGAUAAUAAAUUGCCACCCUUUCAUGUGAGACUAUUGUUAAUUGUAUUGUUCUCUUAAUAAAGUGUAAUUAGGCUAGCUACGUUACCCAGCGGUUGGAUUUACAUUGCUUCCAAUCCAAGGCUUAUAGCAUUAGCAUGAUUAACAUAUAUAGUAGCAUCGUAAACAAUGAUUGGAAUCCUGACAUCUUUGGUAGCAUGAUUGUAGAAAAUUACGACCAUGUUUGGGUAGCUUAGUUUAAAAGUUACAGUAUUAAAGUAUCAAGUAAAUAUUAGCUAUUGUAAUUAAAAAAUAUUAUAUCUUUAAUUUUACACUUACAUGAUAGAAAAUUUACUAUUUCUUUACUGAUUUUAUCAAAAUUAUUAUUUAUAAAUUAUGUAUUUACCACAUACUAAAUCAAGUUAAUUACUAGUAAAUAAUUAAUUACAAGUUAAUUAAAUUAGAAAUAUGUGUCCAACCAUUAGAACUACGUAUGUCAAGUUAGUUAAUUACUAAGGAAAGAAUUAAUAAUUUUCAUCGCAACGUAUUUAGUUACGAAACUGAUAACAAUAUAUAUUAGAAAAACCAUAAUUUUAUGAAAACUAAAGAUCAUUACUAAUAUAAAACUAAAAUCACCAAUGAUUAUAUGAUAGGAUAAUAACAAAUCCACAAUAGAUUAAAAAAACACGUCGAUUCUGAAGCUGAAUUUAUAACCGAAUCUUAAUUCUAUUUCUUCUGUAUUUACAUAAUCAUCCUGCUAAUUAAGGAUUUACAACUUUGCCAUGGAAGGUCGGUGGCUUCCAUGCCUUUUUUCUUCUUCUCCUCACAAAUUUUGCUUUUGCUUCCACUUCACCAUUAAAAAACAUCCCAAAGCUUGGUGUUGUGCGUGGAAGGACUAUUUUUCUAAACCCUAGUAAAAAAAUAUUAACUUCAGAACCAGAGGGUGAUCUCCAAACUUAUUAUGAUGAUCAAAUACUUGAUCACUUUAACUAUAAUCCACAAAGUUAUUUAAUUUUUUCUCAUAGAUAUGUGUUGAACUUCAAACAUUGGGGCGGUGGGGAGCCACGGCGGCGCCGAUAUUGGCAUAUCUUGGUGAAUAGAGUAGUCUUGAUGAUGACCUUGGUGGCACUGGAUGGCUUACUGAUAAUGCUCGUUGAUUUAAAGCCUUACAAGUUUACAAAGAGGUAAGUAAAGAAUCUGUUAUCAGGCUAGCUUGAUAAUCAUUGAAAUAGAGUUCGCAUACAAAAUAAUAAUAAUAAAGACAAAUCUUAAUCAGAAUAUUCUACAAUAUGAACUGAAAAGUUGUGAUGGAUUUUUUUCUUUAAUUCGAUUUUUUAUGCAGCAUCGGUUCUAUGGAAAAUCAGUACCUUUUAUAUCAAGCAAAGAUGCCCUAAAGAAUGCAACUCUUCGUGGAUAUUUCAACUCUGGUCAAGCUUUGGCAGAUUAUGCAAAGAUUCUCUUACACAUCAAGGAAAAUUUAUCGGCCGAAAUGUCUCCCAUUAUCGUUGUUGGAGCAUCUUAUGGAGGAAGUACAUUUUAAUAUUAUUAACAUACUUACAUCUUUUGAUUAAUGUCGUAUCAUUUGUUGCGUCAUUUUAUUCAUUUUGAUCUCGUUUGACCAAAAUAUUGAUUACGCAAAUAUUAUUUUGAUACAAAUUUAUUUUGCAUUCCAAUUAAUAAAUACUUUCAGCGAUCAUAAAACUAAGAAAUACUAAAUAUAUUUAAGAUAAUUACGUUUUUAAAAAUAACCAUCUUACAGUGCUUUGGGAGUAGUUGCGUCGUCCGCCCCAAUUAUCUACUUUGAUAAUAUCACACACUCAAACGCAUAUUAUGAUCUUGUCACCAAUGACUUUAAGGUAAGAAAUAAAAUUAAUUAAUUAAAAUUCUAUACAUGUAUGAUUGUGUUUUCUUGUUAAAAUUUAACCAUUAAAUUUUGAAAAUUAAUGAUGCAAGAAGCCAGGGAGAUCUGCUACAUGACCAUCAAACAGUCCUGGGCUACAAUGGAUAAAACGGCUGCUAGAAAAAAAUGGACUUGCUUUUCUCUCUAAAAAGUUCAAAACCUGCAAGAAAUUAAUCAUAUUACUUUACAUAACUGCUUAUAUAUAUCCAUCCGAUUUUCCCUUAAUUACAAUUAAUGCAAUGUUAUUGUAGCGUCAUUAUCGAAUGUACUAUGUCUAAUUAAUUAUCUGUCAUCCUCAGAGUAUAUAUACAUUUCGAUUAACGUGUAAUAUACAAAGUAAAAAUCUGGAUUUGGGCUUAUACACGGCCUUUGCAUUACCAUAUAUAUAGUAUACUGGUGCUUAGAUUCAGCCCUCCAGAGUGUUCGUAUUUUACAGAAUCUAAAUUUGAACUACAAAACCACGCGCAACUCUGAUUAUCAAAUAAGGCCAAAUUUGUACGUUUGCAUUUGAUAAUAUCAAUAGCUUCAUACUUAUAAAGUUUAUUGUAAUCUAACUAAAUAAAACAACAUUUUUUAGACGGCAUGUUGAAAGAUCUUUUAUAAUGUUACUAACCUUGUGGCACUUAAUUCUAUGUUGUUGUUGUUUAUUUGAUUACAAGCCUCUGAAGGAUGUUUCAGAAUUGAAGGAUUAUUUAGAGUGUAUGUAUACGGGUGCAGCUCAGUAUGAUGAUCCUCAGGAAUAUCCAGUGAACAAAGCUUGUGAAGGUAUCGAUGGAGCUUCAGAAGGCACGGAUACCCUAGGCCGGAUAUUCUCAGGAAUUGUUGCUUUAAGAUGGGAGAAUUCUUGCCAUGAUGUUGAUGAAUUCUUAUCCGAUGAAACUCUAGACUCGAGCUGGGGCUGGCAGGUAUGUGAUUACGGGUGACCUGAUUUCAUUAGAUACUUCUAUUGAGAUCGUCAAACAAACAACAUGUUGCGAUGAAUGAAUCUCUCACCUAGCUAACAAUACCUAUUUUAUGUACAUCUCUUAAUUUUAUCUAUGAGACUACAUAUUUAUGAAUGAUUAAAAAUAAUUUUCUCCUUUAUUUAGUUAUUUAUUUAUUAUUAUGAUUUUUUUUUUGUUUUGGGAAGAGAGGGGGAGGGGGGGAGGGGAUUUCUCAUGCAAACAUGCACUGAAAUGGUCUCAUCGAUUGGAAUUGAUAAAAAUAAUACAAUUUUCAAGCAGACGAUAGAAUAUAUGAAUUCAGGCAAUAAGUCUUAUAGAGUGGCUCCAAUACCACAUUGGAUUACAACUUAUUAUGGCAGUCAUGUAAGUGUCAAUUAAUCCCCAGAUUAAUUCUUUUAAUAAUUUAAUUUUUUUCAUUUUCUUUUUUAAUUAUAAAUUUUAUCUCGAUUUUUGUUCGAUUUUUAUUUCUUUUUAAUUUGCAGUGUAUAAGAGUGGUUGUAAAGAGAUUUGGUAGCAACCUUAUUUUCUCUAAUGGCUUUCGUGAUCCCUAUAGCAGCGCUGGGUAAUUAAGCUUAAGAAUUUUGGACAAUCUUUUCUAUCAAAGUUACCUAUUUAAUUAUAAACCUUUUUCUUUUUCUUCUUCUUCUUCUUCUUUUUUUUUUUUUUUUUUGAGAUUACAGUGUUCUGGAAGAUAUAUCAGAUAGCAUAAUAGCAGUGGUAACAAAAAAUGGUAUCUAAAUGUUUCUGUAAAAUACAAAAAUUAGUGUUCAAUUAUUAACUAAAUUAUUGGAUAACAUAAUUAAUAAUGUGUAAAUUAGAGCAGGUUCCCAUUGCUUAGACAUACAGCCAGCAACAGAAGAUGAUCCAGAGUGGUUAGUAAUGCAGCGAAAGAUUGAAGUGGACAUGGUUUAUGAUUGGAUCCUUAAAUACUCUGCAGAUUUGCUUCAAAAUCAGAGCAUAAGAUUAAAUUGGGACUGCAAAAUUAGUGUUUUCUUUUUCUUCCUCUCCUCUAUCUUUCUAAUAUUUAUGGAGCAAAGAUAAAUAAUAGAGCACCUAGCUAGUUUAAGAGUUCAUUUUCAUUAUUCUUAAUCUGGGUUGUCUAAAUGUGUAGAACAAGUGUGCAGUAUUACUUAAUGUAAAGCACAUAUAAAGGGCUCAAUCUUUAUGUAAUCAUCAUAUGGUGAAUAUCAAUUCAUGUACAAUCACAUUGAAUUAACCAUUUUCUCCCUUUGAUUUAGGAGUUACUGUAUAGGUCGUUGAAGCCGGUGAGAGUAAAAUAAUUUGCUCUCCAUGUACAUGUAUCUCUCAUUCUCAACCUGUUCCUAUGCUUCUACAUAAUAGCUUCUUUUGUUAAUUAUUUGACAAUCUCAUGCAAUUCCAAACAUGACUUAAAAUCAGUUUGAGAUUCCGGUGGCUAUUGAAAUAAACUACUUCUGUUAUACAGAUAAAAUAAGCUAAUGAUUAUAAAAGUAGCUCGCUCAGUGUUUGGUAAAUUCAAUUACGAAAGAACUAUUUUAUUAAAUAAUCACUAAAAUAAUUAUAAGUUUAAAUUGUCUUUUAUUUAUAUAUUAGGAUUUAUAAAAAAAAGUAAGAUACAAUUAUUCUUUUCUUAGUUAUAAUAGAAACUUUUAAAAAAUACAUUUUAUUUAAUAAGUUGCUUCUAAAAACAAUCCCAUACUUGUUUUAAAAGCAAUUGUCAAAAUACAGAAAAUAUAAAUUAACUUUUAACAAAUUUACCAAACAUUAUUUUUAUCAAAACUUAUAAAAUAAACUGUUUAUAGUAUUUCAACCGUAAUCCCAAAUAGGACAUUAGUCUUUGUUCAAAAUAAACUGCUUCAUUCUUUUUUUUUCCACAGCAUAUGUCAAGACGUAAGUUCCAAAUCAUUGCUGACUAGGGGAAGAAGUCUUCAAAGUCAAGGUGAUUAGAUUAGCAGGUCACGAAAUUACGUAUCGGAGGGGUUCCCUGCCCUCAACUUAAAAAGAUGCCUUAAAAUUAAAUAUUAAAUAAUAUGGCAUUUAUUAAAUUUAAAAAAUAUAAAAAAAAUUAAAAAGAAAACCUUUUUUUAAGUGCCCAGAGGUUUGAACGGCAACUAUAGGAUUGUUUCACGACGAACUUCAAAUGUGCAAGACUAAGGCAGGCCUAUCACGAUUUGGGCCAACUUUGGUAUACUCAGGAAGGGGCACGGAAGAGGGAGCAUUUUGGUUUAUAUUUUACUCAUACACACAUGAGUAAUUAUAUACAAACCUUUCAUGCCUUCACUACCUUUUUCAUGUGGGACAAAUGUAUUUUCCUUUAAUUUUCCAAUUCCAUGAAUUUACUUUCAGUUACCAUUUCUCAUUUAUCCAAGGAUCAUUUUGAUCAUAUAGAUAAAACCAUUUUGAAGUAUUUACAGAGAAAUAUUUGAAACAAUUUUAACUUUUCACUUACACCACAUAGGUCUCACUCAAAAUCACGCCUCAAAUAGCCACUUGUGCUAUAUUUCCAACACCUUCUGCCUCUUUUCUUUAUUGAUCGCAUGCAAAAAAAUUGAGUGCAAUGAGAUUUUUUAUCUUCUUUCGUCUAUGAUGUUUUUGUGUAAAAAAAAAUAAAAUUCAAAUGGAUGUUAAGUAGCCCAUGAAUUUCCAUAGUUUGUAUGUUACAAAAGGAGCUUUGUAACUAUUUUAAAAAAUAAACAGAUUAUUUUGAUUAUUUUGUCAAAUCACAGGAGUUUACACAUUCUUUUCUCUAUCAGUUUAUUUAUAAUAUUACACCUACACGUUUUUUUAUACAAAUUAAAUUUACACAAAGAUAUGAUUAGUCUUGUUUAUUUUCCUAUUUGAGUCAUAAUUUACAACAAGAACUCUUUGAGCUUUUUAUUUAUUUUAUUAUUUUGGGUGAUAUUUAGUAUCUUAAUAAUGCUAUUAACUAUUUCUAAUAUUUUCCAUAUUAUCUCAUAUUUCUGCAAUGUUAUUCAAAUAGAUCUACACCACACAAAUAUAAGCCAAUAAGCCAAUUGGAUAGUACUAUUGAGACCGUCAAAUAAACAACAUGUCGCAAUGAAUAAGUCUUUCGUCUAACAAUACUUAUUUUAUGUACAUCUCUAAAUUUUAUUUAUGAGAAUACUUAUUUAUGAAUGAUUAAAAAUAGUUUCUUCUUUAUCUUAUUUAUUUAUUUAUAAUUUUUUUUUUAGGGAGGGGGAGUUCCAUCCAGACAUACAGUGAAAUGGUCUCACCAAUUGGAAUUGGCAAAAACGACACAAUGUUUCAAACAUACUCAUUUAAUCUGACAGAAUAUAUGAAUUCAUGCAAUAAGUCUUAUGGAGUGGUUCCGAGACCACAUUAGAUUACAACAUAUUACGGCGUCAUGUAAGUAUUGAUUAAUCCCCAAAUUAAUUCUUUUAAUAAUUUAAUUUUCCUCAUUUUCUUUUUUAAUUAUAAAGUUUACCUCAAUUGUUGUUUGAUUUCUAUUUCUUUUUAAUUUGCAAGAUAUAAGAGUGGUUUUAAAGAGGUUUGGUAGCAACAUUAUUUUACCUAAUGGCCUUCGUGAUCCCUAUAGCAGCGAGGGGUAAUUAAGCUUAAAAAUUUUGUACACUCUUUUCUAUCGAAGUUACCCGUUUAAUUAUAUGCCUUAUUCUUUUUCUUCUUUUUUUUUUUGUUUUUGGUCGGGGGGAGAUUAUAGGGUUUUGGAAGAUAUCAGACAAUAUAAUAGCACUGACAACAAGAAACAGUAUGUAAAUUUUUCUAUAAAAUAAAAAAUUAGUGUUCAAUUAUUAACUAAAUUAUUCGAUAACAUAAUUAAUAGUGUGUAAAUUGGAGCAGGUUCCCAUUGCUCAGACAUACUGCCAGCAAUAGAAGACGAUCCAUAAUGGUUAGCAGUGCAGCGAAAGAUUGAAGUGGACAUGCUUCAUGAUUGGUUCCUCAAAUACUCUUCUGAUUUGCUUCAAAAUCAGAGCAUAAGAUUAAUUUGUGACUACAAAAUUAGUGUUUUCUUUUUCUUCCUCUCCUCUAUCUUUCUAAUAUUUAUGGAGCAAAGAUAAAUAAUAAUAGUGCAUCUAGCUAGUUUGGAUUUGGUUGUAAUUUUCAUAAUUCUUACUCUGAGUUGUCUAAAUGUGUAGAACAGGUGUGCAGUAAACACUUAAGGCUCAAUCUUUAUGUAAUAAUCAUAUGGUGAAUAUCAAUUCAUAUUCAAUUAGAUUGAAUUAACUAUUUUCUCCCUUUGAUUUAAGAGUUACUGUAUAGGUCCUUGAAGCCGGAGGUAGUCAAAGAUUUGCCCUCCACACAUACAGACAUAUAAAAAUAUUCUAAUUCAGAAUUUUAAAGUGCGGAAACGGGGAAAAUGCAUAAACCGUGCAGUUUAAAUGCUUUAAGUAUUAAGCCUUUAAAACCCCGCAGUUUUAAAAUUUUUCCUAAUGUUUCUUGCACUUUAAGAUCCCGUACCAAAAAACUACUAUAUAUAUAUAUAUAUAUUAGGUGUUUAAGCUUGUAUGCUCUGUUUAUUAGUAGCCAAGCUUGCGAGUAUAUUGCUUCUGGCGAACCUCUUCCUAUUAUUCUCCUUAAUAGCUAUUUCUCUUAAUUAUUUGACAAUCUAAUGCAAUCCCAAACGUGACUUAGCAUCAAGUUUAGGAUGGCGGUGGCUAAUAAAAUAAGUUAUUUCUAUUGUGAGGACGAAAUAAGUUGAUGAUUAAAAAAGUAUCUUACUCAUGUUUAGUAAAUUUGAUUAUGAAUGCUGUGAGGAAAUAAGCUACUGGUCAACUAAUGGUCGUUGGGUUUAAAUGGAAGAUUUGAAGAAGUCUGGGGGCAUUGUGCAGAUCGACUUCAGCUGGAGGGGUCUAGUUGAAAUAUUAAAGCUGAUGUGGCAAGAAUUCGUUAUGAGUUCGUUAUGAUUUCCCAGAAAUACCAAAGUAUAUAUACGUGUGUUUUAGCCUCUGAUAUGUGGUUGUAAUCUUUCUCAUUUCUUGAUCAUUUAGUAAGCUAAUUGGUUCUUUGUGAUCCUUGUAAACUCCUCUAUAGAAUCAGCUUGUAAUUCGAUUCAUAGUGAUCAAUAAAAGAGCAGUUUUUCCUUCUACAAGUUGAGUGCUUGGAACUGUGCUCUGUUAAAGUUCUUUCCUGUUUCUUUCUUGAUUAGCUUGCUUUGAUUAGUUCUUUCUAGAUUCAAUACGUUAAUAGGGUUAUAACAAUUGGUAUCAGAGCCAGUGGUGGUUCAAAAACAUGUCUCUUCCAAAACCCGAUAUUGAAAGGUUCACCAUUGGUGGUGACUUUUCACUUUGGAGGAUGAAGAUGAGGGCUCUCCUUGUUCAUCAAGGUCUCAAAUCAGCGCUGGAAGAAGAUGAUCUUGGGGAUGCUUCAAGUUCAGUCUUUGAUGAGAAGAAAAGACAGAUACAGAACAAGGCUCACAGUACCUUGAUCUUGAGUCUCAGUGACUCAAUUCUAAGGGAGAUUUCUAAAGAGAAGACUGCCAUUGGUAUCUGGAACAAGGUGGAGGCCUUGUGUAUGAAAAAGUCCCUGGCACACAGAUUGUUCUUGAAGAAAAGGCUAUAUACCUUUUCUAUGAGAGAAGGAGUCUCGAUUCAAGAACACAUUGACAACUUCAACAAGAUCAUUCUUGAUCUUGAAGGAGUUGAAAAUGUGAAAAUAACUGAUGAGGAUAAAGCCUUCUUUCUACUGAGCUCACUGCCAAAAAUCUAUGAAGGAUUUGUAGACACCAUGCUGUAUGGAAGAACUACACUCACUUUAGAGGAUGUAAAAGCUUCUUUGAGUUCUAAGGAGAUCCAGAAGAAUAAUGGGCAUGAAGUUAGUAAUGGUGAAGGCUUAUUUGCCAGAACAGAAAAGAAAAAUCAGAAGAAGAAGAACCAGAGUCAAGCUAAAAAGGAUGAUGUAUCUGUAAAAGAAAAAAUGAAGAAAAGAAAGUGCUUUUAUUACAAGAAACAAGGUCACUACAUCAGGGAUUGUGCUGAGAAAAAGAGGGAUGAAAAAGAGAGAACAGGUGAUGCAGCAGUAGCCUCAGAAGACUCCUCUGAUGAUGGAUACCAUAGUGCUGAUUUGUUGGUGGCUUCAAACAGCAAUAUCAAAGGUCAGUGGGUUCUUGAUUUAGGCUGUUCAUUUCAUUUGUGUCCUGAUAAAAGCCUUUUCCAUACAUAUAAAUCUGUGGAUGGUGGUAGAGUUUUGAUGGGUAACAACAAUGUGUGUAAGAUUGUUGGUAUGGGGUCUGUCAAAAUAGAGAUGUUUGAUGGGUCUGUUCAAACUCUAAGUGAUGUAAGGCAUGCACCUAGGCUAAAGAGAAACUUGAUCUCUUUAGGCAUGCUAGAUGGUAUGGGAUAUAGCUUCAAAUCUGAAAAUAGUGGUUUGAAGAUUAUGAAGGGGACUGAGAUGGUAAUGAAAGGAGUUAAGAAGAAUGGCCUUUAUGUGUUAGAAGGGUCAUCAGUGCCUGGAUCAGCUCUAAUGCCUGCUGUUUCUGAUGUUAAUAGAACCAUGUUAUGGCACCUUAGACUAGGCCAUAUGAGUAUUAGAGGAAUGCAAGAACUGAGUAAGCAAGGGUUGCUGUGUGGUGAUAAUAUAGAUGAACUAGACUUCUGUGAAAACUGCAUCUUUGGCAAGGCACACAGGUCCAAAUUCACAAAGGGCAUACAUGUAUAUAAACAACCAUUAGAUUAUGUACAUGCUGAUUUAUGGGGGCCUGCACAAGUACCAUCCUUGAGUGGGGGAAGGUAUUUUAUGUCAGUCAUAGAUGACUACUCCAGGAAAGUAUGGAUCCACAUACUGAAGACCAAAGACCAAGCCCUAGAGAAGUUCAAGAUUUGGAAGACUUUGGUGGAGACUCAAUCUGGUUUCAAGGUGAAAUGCUUAAGAACAGACAAUGGACUUGAAUUCUGUAAUAAAGAGUUUGAGCAAUGCUGCCAGGAAUGGGGAGUUAGGAGGCACAAAAUAGUAAGAUUCACCCCUCAGCAAAAUGGUUUAGCUGAGAGGAUGAACAGAACACUUAUUGACAAAACAAGAUGCUUGUUGAUAAACUCUAAGCUUCCUAGGAGCCUUUGGGCAGAAGCUGUUUCUACAGCUAGUUACCUGGUAAAUAAAAGUCCAUCUUCAGCAAUUGGCUUCAAGACACCUGAAGAACUCUGGUCUGGAAGACCUGGAAAAUAUGAACACCUGAGGGUAUUUGGAUGCCCUGCUUAUGUCCAUGUCAGACAAGGGAAGCUUGAUGCAAGAGCUAUAAAAGGAGUUUUUGUUGGCUAUCCAGAUGGGGUUAAAGGCUACAGGGUCUGGUGUAAAGAGGCUAACAAGUGUCUGAUCAGUAGAGAUGUCCAGUUCAAUGAAGUGGCCAUGAUCAAUAACUCUGACCAAGCCACUUCUGCUAAUGACAUCAAUACAAGUGACACACAAGCCACCACAAAAACUGAGCAAGGUGAAAAGAUUGAAGUGGAGUUGUCUAAAGACUAUGAAGAUCAAAUACAACCAGAGGCUGUUGAAGCUGAAACUCAAGUAACUGAUUUACAACAAUAUCAGUUAGCUAGAGAUAGAGAAAGAAGACAUACCAGACCUCCAGCAAGAUAUGCAUAUGCAGAUAUGGUUGCAUAUGCCUUGAUGAGUGCAGAAGACGUUGCAAUUGAAGAGCCUAACAACUAUAGAGAAUCAAUGAGUAGCAAGAAUAGCAGAAACUGGAUUAAAGCUAUGAGGGAGGAAAUGGAUUCUCUGGUAAGAAAUCAGACUUGGAUUCUGGUCCCAAAUCCAAGGAAUAUGAAGAUUGUCAGCUGCAAGUGGAUAUUCAAGAAAAAGGAGGGCAUUCCAGGUGUCGAAGAUUCAAGAUAUAAGGCAAGACUGGUGGCAAGAGGGUUCACACAGAAGGAGGGGAUUGAUUUCAAUGAAAUCUUCUCACCAGUGGUAAAACACAAUUCAAUCAGAAUCUUGCUUGCUAUGGUGGCUUUGUUUGAUCUAGAGCUUGAACAAAUGGAUGUAAAGACUGCCUUCCUACAUGACAAUCUUGAAGAAAAGAUAUUGAUGUCUCAACUUGAAGGCUUUGAAGAACAUGGACAUGAGGAGUAUGUGUGCCUUCUUAAAAGGUCUCUAUAUGGCUUGAAACAAUCCCCUAGGCAAUGGUAUAGAAGAUUUGAUCAGUUUAUGAUCUCCAAUGGCUAUUCCAGGAGCAAAUAUGAUAGUUGUGUCUAUCAUGGGAUUAUAAACUCAGGUGGAGCAGUAUAUCUUCUACUAUAUGUUGAUGAUAUACUCAUUGCUGGUAAAGAUCUCAGUGACAUUAAAGAGCUCAAGAAUUUGCUGAAGGGGGAAUUUGAAAUGAAAGAUCUUGGCAGUGCCAAGAGGAUUCUUGGGAUAUAUAUUAUUAGAGAUAGAACAGCUGGUACCUUGUUUCUAAGCCAGUCAAGGUAUAUCAGCAAAGUACUGGAAAGAUUUCAGAUGAUGGACUCAAAACCAGUACUGACACCUCUAGGGGCUCAAUUCAAACUCUCUGAAGAUAUGUCUCCAACUUCAGAUGUUGAGGAGGAAAAGAUGGUUGAUAUACCAUACUCCCAAGCUGUGGGAAGCUUGAUGUAUGCAAUGGUUUGCACCAGAGCAGACAUAGCUUAUGCAGUAAGUGUGGUGAGUCGAUUUAUGAGUAAUCCUGGUAAGCUUCAUUGGGAUGCUGUAAAAUGGGUCAUGAGGUACCUAAAAGGAACCUUAGAUCAUGGUUUGAUGUAUGGUAAAUCCAAGCAUGAGGUAUGUGAAGUCAGAGGAUACGUUGACUCUGAUUUUGCAGGUGACUUGGACAGAAGAAAAUCCAUCUCAGGUUAUCUGUUUAUGUUGGAUAGUUGCCUCAUAAGUUGGAAAGCUACUCUACAGCACAUAGUAGCUUUGUCAUCUACUGAGGCAGAAUUUGUUGCUGCAACAGAGGCAGUGAAAGAAUCAAUGUAGUUGAGAGGGCUGCUAAAUGAACUAUGGUUGAAACAAAAAACAGUAGAAAUUUUUUGUGAUAAUCAGAGUGCCAUUCAGCUCAUCAAGAACCAAGUUUAUCAUGAGAGAACAAAGCACAUUGAUGUGAAGUUGCACUUUAUCAGAGACGAGGUUGCAAAGGGGUCAGUUGCAGUGAUCAAGAUACAUACAGACAUCAACCUUGCUGAUAUGCUAACCAAAGUGCUAUCAACAACAAAAUUUAAGUUUUGUGUAAACUUCAUUGGUGUUGGCAGCAGCUCUAGUUCCUGAAACAUGUGUCUUUGAAGGUUUUUUAUGUUACUUAAUUGAGAUGAUCAGCUGAAUCGAGUCUGCAAGGUGGAGAGUGUGAGGAAAUAAGCUACUGGUCAACUAAUGGUCGUUGGGUUUAAAUGGAAGAUUUGAAGAAGUCUGGGGGCAUUGUGCAGAUCGACUUCAGCUGGAGGGGUCUAGUUGAAAUAUUAAAGCUGAUGUGGCAAGAAUUCAUUAUGAGUUCGUUAUGAUUUCCCAGAAAUACCAGAGUAUAUAUACGUGUGUUUUAGCCUCUGAUAUGUGGUUGUAAUCUUUCUCAUUUCUUGAUCAUUUAGUAAGCUAAUUGGUUCUUUGUGAUCCUUGUAAACUCCUCUAUAGAAUCAGCUUGUAAUUCGAUUCAUAGUGAUCAAUAAAAAGAGCAGUUUUUCCUUCUACAAGUUGAGUGCUUGGAACUGUGCUCUGUUAAAGUUCUUUCCUGUUUCUUUCUUGAUUAGCUUGCUUUGAUUAGUUCUUUCUAGAUUCAAUACGUUAAUAGGGUUAUAACAAAUGCUCUGUAUUAUUUAAUGACUAAAAUAAACAUGAGUUUAAAUUGUCUUUUAUUUAUAUAUUAGAGUUUAUAGAAAAGUAAGAUAUAAUUAUUCUUUUCUUAAAAUAUUAAGGUUAUAAUAUGAACAUUUAAAAAGAUAUAGCAACUUAUUUGCUUAUAAAAAUAAUCUCUAUUAUGUUUUUAAAAGUUACAGUCAAAAUAGAGAAAAUUAUAAAAAAAACAACUUUUAACAAAGCCAUCAAACUUCAUUUUUAUCUAAACUUAUAAAAUAAGCUGCUUAUAGUAUUUCAAUCACAAUCCUGGGGCAUUAAUCUUUGUGUAGAAUCAGAUUAGACAUUGAAUAUUUCUAAUUUUCUACACAUAAAUUAAAAUAUGUAGACUAGAAAAACACCUUGACUUCGUAAGUCCACUUCAUUCUUUAAUUUCCGCAGCAUAUGUCAAGACGUUAUUUCCAAAUAAUUGCCGACUAGGAGAAGUCUUAAAGUCAAGGUGAUUAGAUGAGCGUGUUAUGGAAUCGUAGUGGUUCCCUGCCCUCAACUAAAAAAGUGGCCUUCAAAAUUAAAUAUUAAAUAAUGUGGCAUUAUUAAUGUUAUAUAUAUAUAUGUGUGUGUGUGUGUAUGUAUAUGUAUAUGUAUGUGUGUGUGUGUGUGUGUGUGUGUAUAAUAUUAUUAAGUAUUAUAUAUAUAUAUAUAUUAGUCUUCAUGUUUUGCACGGGUUCGAACGGCAGUUGUAAUACAAAGAUAUGGUUAGUCUUGUUUAUUUUCCGAUGAGAGUCAUAAUUUACACCAACAAUUCUUUGAGCUUCUUUUUCUUUUAAUUAAUGUUGGUGCUAUAAGUGAUACGACGAUAUCUGUAACAGCAUCGGCUCCUGGAUUAUUGACGUCACCCGUAGAGUUAGAAAGAGAAGCUUUACUUGGUACAGACUGGUGGGUCAACAAUUGGGCGACGUCGGGCAACUACACGUCCGAUCAUUGUAAGUGGACUGGCGUCAGUUGCAAUUCAGCGGGAAGAGUAAUCGGGGUCAGCUUACUCUGGUAUGAAAAUGAUAAUAUCAAGGGAAAGCUCGGUCGUUUCAACUUCUCUUGCUUUCCCAACCUCAAAAGUUUCAAAAUUCGUUCAAAUUAUCUUCUCUCUGGGAGCAUUCCAUCUGAAAUUGCUGCCGUUUCAAUGCUCCAAACUCUUGAACUGCCCUCCAACAAUCUUCACGGUAAGCUACCAAACUUCACUACAUAUAUAUAUAUAUAUGUAUCAUGUAUGUAUGUAUGUAUGAAGUCGUGCUCAUGCUUGAAGCAGGCGUCUGUUUUUACAACACUGAAGAAGUUUUUUUUAUGAUGAUUUCUUUAUAAAUUUUAUUUAUAUGAGGAUAGUGAAUACUAAUCUCGUUUUUCAUAAAUCACAUGCGCAAUAGAAAUUAUCCCUUCAGAGAUGGGGAGAUUGAGGAAUCUCGUCCACCUGGAUCUAUCUGAUAAUUACCUCUCGGGAUAUAUCCCUCCAACUCUUGGUCGUCUAAGCAAAUUGGAAAAUUUGAACCUGUCUUCUAACUCCCUUGUCGGUAAUAUCCCCCCCACUCUAGGUCAUCUAACCCAUCUAACUACUUUGGCUAUUGCCUGGAACCAAAUUAAUGGUUCCAUCCCAUUAGGAAUCAGGAGUUUGAAGGCUCUUCAAGUUCUUGACCUGUCCGGAAAUGAAAUUGAAGGUUCAAUUCCUUCAACACUUGGCCAUUUAAAGAGAUUGAGAAGUUUAGACUUGUCCCUAAACGAACUUGUUGGUCCAAUCCCUUCGUCUGUGGGUCAUUUGACUCAGCUAACUUUUUUUAAUAUGGACUCAAACCACAUAAAUGGUUGCAUCCCAUUAGAAAUCGGGAAUUUGAACUUUCUUCAAGUUCUUGACCUGUACGACAACAAACUUGAAGGUCCAAUUCCUUCGACCAUAGCUAGUUUAGUCAACUUAACAUCUCUGUCCCUGGAUUAUAACAAUCUAACUGGAUCUAUUCCUUCAACACUUGGUCGUUUAAAUAGGUUGAGAAGUUUAGACUUGUCCCAAAACAAACUUGUUGGUCCAAUCUCUUCGUCUGUGGGUCAUUUGACUCAGCUAACUUUUUUUAAUAUGUACUCAAACCACAUCAAUGGUUGCAUCCCAUUAGAAAUCGGGAAUUUGAACUUUCUUCAAGUUCUUGACCUGUACGACAACAAACUUGAAGGUCCAAUUCCUUCGACCAUAGCUAGUUUAGUCAACUUAACAUCUCUGUUCCUGUGCAAUAACAGUCUAACUUGAUCUAUUCCUUCAACACUUGGUCGUUUAAACAGGUUGACAAGUUUAGACUUGUCCGGUAACAAUCUUGUUGGUCCAAUCCCUUCGUCUGUGGGUCAUUUGACUCAGCUAACAACUUUUGAUAUGCACUCAAACCGAAUCAAUGGUUCCAUCCCAUUAGAAAUCGAAAAUUUGAACUUUCUUCAAGUUCUUAAUCUGUCCCACAACAAACUUGAAGGUCCAAUUCCUUCGUCUGUGGGUCAUUUGACUCAGCUAACUACUUUGAAUAUGUACAAUAACAAACUUGAUGGCCCAAUUCCUCCAGAACUCAUGAUUGCUCAAAGCUGAGGAUAUUAAAAUUGGGAAACAACUUGUUAAGCGGAAGCAUUCCGUCAGAGAUCGGCAAACUUCAAGAACUAUAUUUUCUUGAUCUGAGCCAUAACUUGAUUAAUGGUAAAAUACCUUCCCAGCUUGGAGCAAUUCCAAGCAUAGUUACCGUGGACUUUUGCAUGAAUAACCUCUCUGGUAGUAUCCCUGAAUCUAUCAGAAAAGUUCCUUUCUUAUGUGUGGAUGGCAUUUAUUUUGAGGCAGAAAUCCCAACUACUUUAGCAGAUGCGCCACCGCCACAUCACAAAGGCAAUCACAAAAAGAUUGCCACUCGAUUGGUUGCAAUUAUUCUUCCUAUGGCCACAUUCAUUGCCUUAAUAUUUGGAUUCUUGUUUGUCCGUAGACGAAGGGAUAAGAAAGUUGAACCAGCUGAGACAGAAGAAAUUAACAAGUGCGCUGAUGAGUUUGCAAUUUGGAAUUACGAUGGUAGAAUUACAUUUCAUGACAUGAUUGAAGCUACUGAGGAUUUCCAUAUCAAAUAUUGCAUUGGAACCGGAGGCUAUGGCAGCGUUUACCGAGCACGACUGCCCAGUGGAAAAGUAGUUGCUUUGAAGAAACUUCACGGUUCAGAAACUGAGGAGUUAGCUUCCCUCAAGAGUUUUCGGAAUGAGGCUCGUCUACUGUCCCAAAUACGGCAUCGAAAUAUCGUAAAGCUUUACGGGUUUUGUUUGCACGAGAAAUGCAUGUUCUUAAUCUAUGAGUACAUGGAAAUGGGAAGCUUGUUCUGUGUUCUACGCACUGAUAACGAAGCUGUUGAGUUGGAUUGGACUAAAAGGGUGAACAUUGUGAAGGGCAUGGCUCAUGCUUUGUCAUAUUUGCAUCAUCACUGCACACCACCAAUUGUUCACCGGGACAUAUCAAGCAACAACAUUCUACUCAACUUAGAAUUAGAAGCAUUUGUUGCCGACUUUGGCGUUGCUAGAUUGUUAAAUUUUGACUCAUCCAAUCGAACUCUAUUGGCUGGCACUUAUGGAUAUAUUGCUCCAGGUAAUCUUCUAGCUAUUCUUCUUGUGCUUCUUUAAUUAUUCUUUUAAUUAAUUUCUAUAUGCACUCUGUUAAGUAAGUUUUAAGCAGUUUUAUUUAGUUAGCUACUUAAGUUCGAAUUUUGGAAUAGGUAAGGUGCUGAAAGAUAAAUUUGAACUUUGCCUACCCGUUUAACUUUUUUUUGUAAAAAAAAAAAAUUACACGCAGUUUAAAUAUCAAUUAAAAAUGUAAACAAAUUGUCAGACCUUGCUGCAGAAGCUCAAAAAUAUAAACAAAUUGUGCUUGUUAUUGUUUAUGGAAACAUCACUAAUAAAGGCUUCUGUUUUCAUACAGAACUUGCCUACACCAUGGUUGUGACGGAGAAAUCUGAUGUUUAUAGCUUCGGAGUGGUGGCACUAGAAGUACUAAUGGGAAAGCAUCCAGGAGAGCUCCUCUCAUCGUCAUCUUGGUCAUUGGAUAAAAAUAUUAAGCUGACUGAUUUGCUGGACCCACGCCUCUCACCUCCGGUGGAUCAAAAGAUUAGGCAGGAUAUCAUUCUUGUUUCAACAGUAGCAUUUUCAUGCUUGCGUUCUCAAGCAAAGUCUCGACCUACAAUGCAACUCGUGUCCAACGAAUUUAUCGCUCGCAAUAAGGCACCGAUGCAGAAACCUUUUCAUGAAAUUUCAAUUUUGGAGCUUAGAAACCAAGAAAUGUAUUUGGUUGAUUAAUGUGAUAUCUAAUUAUGGAUACGUAUAUUUAACUGUUCAUGUAUAUGAUGGGAUUGCUUCUAAUCAUAAUGGAAUUUUCCAAUAAAGGUGACUGUUAAUUGGUUCUGAAAUUAUUAGGUACUUGCAAUGUAUUAUUAAUUCUAUUUUCACAUUCACUUCCUAUAUAUGUUGAAUUGCAAUUAAACAAAUGUGCAAACUACGACAUUAAUCUCUUUGGUUAAGCUAGGACUUUCGCAGUUCACUCUGAUAAAAUAAGUUUUGUCUAAUUGUCUCCGUCUGAGUGAGCUGAAUUAAAUAAGGAAUUUAAGGUUGUAUCUGUACGAGUUAAAAGGGUAAAUUGUCAUUUUAAUUAUUAGUUUAUUUUACAAAUUAUAUACAUAUACUUUAUUCAGAACGAGGUUCUUAAUGUCGCGUUAUUUAAUAUAUAUUAGUUUUUUCACUCCUUUGUAAAUAUUCACACAAACAUAUACAAAAAAAUUUUAAUUUAGCCGAUCCGAUCAAACAUCCUGGACCCACAGCUGAUGUUAGUAAGCUUUUGCAUAAGUUGUGGUUAGUGAUAUCUAGAGGUGCCAAAAAUACAUGCCCGGUCCGGACCCGGACCGUACCUGGGCGUUGUGGGCCGGGUAUUACCCAACCUGGGUAUGAAGCCGGAUCGGUCUUGGGCAUCACUUGAUAAACUCGGAAUCCGAAUUUUAUUAAAAAAAAUUAUAAAAUAUAUAUUAUUUUAAAUAUGUAUAUUUAUUUGACUCAUUUAAAUAUGUAUACAUAUAUAAAAUUUUAAACACUUAAAGUUUAUAUUUUCAUGUCAAAUUUUAUUGAAAUAAAUUUAAAACUUAUAAAAUUACCAAAAAAUAAAAAAUAUAUACACAUAUAAUAUUAAAAAAUAUAGCUGGGACCCGGACCCGGACCCGGUCCCAGACUGGUUGCAUCCGGACAGAGUCCGGUCAUUGCAAUACCCGAACCCGGCCAGGGGUUUUGCCAUCCCUAGUGAUAUCCCACCAACUACCUGCCAGCACAAGAUAAACUAAUGUCAGGUCAUGAUCAAGAAAAAUUUGCAUUGGGCCUAAGAGUCCAAUGUCAUAAUCAUGCAUAUAUGAAGCACUUUCAAAUGGUUGAUCUAACAGUGUCUGGUUUUCAUUUUUUGAGCUUUUUACCAACGACGGGAGAGUAGAGAACAACACAUGAUCCCCAUUACAGUAUUGUUGCUUGAAUUUACAGGCUUCAUCAUUCAGUACCUUCAAAUCCAUAUAUGACGAGAUGGAAGAAUGAACUUAAAUUUAUUAUUGUAAUUUCUGCAGUUUUAAAAUGAUAAAGUAACACGCAGCUGGUUCAUUGAAAUUUAAGACAUUCAAAAUGGAGCGCAAGAGCAAAAUAAAAGUUAAGAGCUUUAACUUCAGCAUAAUAAGGAGUCUGCUGCAUCAGGCUCACUUUAUCUGCCUCUAUAGACCACCACCUCUUCAUCUUCAGCCUUCUCAAUAACACUCUCUGCGGUUUCUUCAUUUGAUUCUUGGGCCACCGCAUCUUCAUCUUCAACAUUCUCAGUAGGCUCUGAUGGUGUCACAAUUGUAGUGCGGGUGGUGAGGGGGACAGCCUCAUUAUUUUUCCUAGAUCCAUUAGACCGAGCCAUAUGUUUCUUCCCCAUUUUAUGACCCUCCAUCACAACAGCGGAGUGAGUACCAACCUGAAAAACUUCACACCAGGAUUCGAAGUUCUCUCUAAGGGGAAGUUUUCUCCUCAUCGUCCCUUCAGUUGGUAUUCCAUUUGUUGUCUUCUGAGUGAUUGCAUUCAACGCCUUCUUCUUUGGCAGCUCCUCAUUUUUGUUCUCUGAAUCUUCUUCGCCCCCCACAUUCUGGUCAAAACCCACAACAGUUUUAAUAGCUUUAACUGAUUCUGUUUAGGCUUUCAUUUCUUGGCCGGCGCUAUCUCUGCUUUCGGUAAGCUUAAUUGUCUUUCCAGAUUCUUUUGAUGUUGUUGAAGAUGAGGUAGUGCACAUCUUCUGAGCUCCAAUUAGCUCCACUUCCUUCGCCUUGUGCUUCUCACCUCGAAGAUGCUCAUCUUGACCACCCUCCACUUUCUAUUCUAAAACAACAGCAGUUUUAUUAGCUUUAUCUGAUUCCUUUUCUACAGUAGCCUUAAUUUCUUGGCCAGCACUAUCUCUGCUUUCAGUAGAGUUUUUUGAAGUGGAGUUACUGCACAUCUUCUGAUCUCCAAGUAAUUCUUCUUCCUUGGCCUUAUGCUUCUUGCCUUGAAGAUGCUAAUCUGGAUCUCUGUUGUGAGUAGUGUUGACCUGACAGAGGGCACAACUCCAAUCCAUGGGUUUCCUUGAACUCGUCAAAGGGAGCUCACCAGAACCUGCAGGUAGUGUGGCAGCUUCCUGCUUUGAUCCACAAAGAUUGGGAUAGGGCUUAACCUGCAGGGCUUGACAACCCUCCUCUUUCUGGUCUAAACCAACAACAGUUCUAUUAGCUUUAACUGAUUCCUCUGCUACUUUAGUCUUCAUUUCUUGGCCAGCACUAUCUCUGCUUUCUGUAGAUUUUUUUAUCCACUUCUGAGCUCCAAGUAGUUCUUCUUCCUUGGCUUUCUGCUUCUUAACUUGAGGAUGCUCAUCUAGACCACCCUCCACUUUCUGGUUCAAACCAACAACAGUUUUAUUAGCUUUAACUGAGUCCUCUUGUACUUUAGUCUUCAUUUCUUGGCCAACACCAUCUCUGCUUUCUGUAGAUAUUUUUGACGUGGAUGGAGUGGAGUUAUUGCACAUUUUCUUAUCUCUAAGUAGUCCUUGGCCUUGUGCUUCCUACCUUGAAGAUGCUCAUCCAGACCUCUCUGGGUCGUAGCACUGACCUGACAGAGGGCACAACUCCACUGCUCGGUUUUGGUUGAAUUUGUCGAAGGGAGCUCUCCAGAACCUGCAGGUGGUGCAGCAGCAUUCUGAUUUGUUCCACAAAGAUUGGAAUUGGGUUUAACCUGCAGGGUUUGACCACCCUCCACUUUCUGGUCUAAACCAACAACAGUUUUUUCGGCACCAACUGAUUCCUCUUCUAAAUUAGGCUUCAUUUCUUGGUGCAGUAUUUCUGCUUUCCAUAGAUUUUUUUGAAGUGGAGCUAAUGCACAUCUUCAAAUCUCUAAGUAUUUUUUCCUUGGCCUUGUGCUUCUUGCCUUGGAGAUCCACGUCUAGCCCUCUCUCGGUAGAGCGGCGACCUGACAGAGGGCACAACUCCACUCCUUGGGUUUACUUGAACUCGUUGAAGGAAGCUCUCCAGAACCUGCAGGUGGUGUGUCAGCUUUCUGCUUUGAUCCACAAACACUGGUAUCAGGCUUAGGCUGGAAAUGAUACCCAAACACAGAAACCACAAUGCCUUAUAUUAGUUAUCACAUCAAUGGUAAAAAUGAAAAAUAUUUCCAGUGAGCUCCAUCAUCUGCUAUUGUAGUACAGAUGAAAGAAUUUGUUUACAAAAUGAUAAUGUGCAAAUUUUAUUUUAAAUUGUGAAUUCUCAAAAAAGGUAGGAAUGUAGAAGUAUAUUCAAAUAGUUAAUACAACCAGAAUCCUUGUUUAUUAACAACAUUUCCAGCAUUGAACUAGGAAAAUAUCUCCAUCCCAAAUGGUAGUUUCGUUAAGGUGCACCAAAUUUAAAACUUUAUCACUAAUAUAAAUAAUUAGUACAGAGCGAGUAAGGAUCGAUCCCACAGAGACUAUGCUAGUUAUAUUUAUUAUUAACUCCAAAGCAAGAUUUAAAAUAAAAUAAUAGUAAUAAUACUAAUAGUAAUAGUAAAAAUAAUAUAAAUUAAUCUAACUAAAGAAAAUGCCAAUUAAAAAUAAAAGGGGGGUUUAUGAAUUUUUAACUAAAUAGUAAGAAAUAAAGAAAUUAAAAUUACGAACAAGAAUUUAAUAAAAACUCUAAUUAAAGGAGAAAGAAAUAAUAAUGAUGAAAACUUUGGUUAAAGGAUCAUUCGCCACCACCAAACAUGCACAUAAUAUAUCAAUUCUAUCAUCAAUUUAUAUUAAAACUAUCAACCUUAGACAACAAUAAGCUCUGUUAGUCUCAAUCUUUCCUUAGUGUGUCGUUAGGCAAAAUAAGCUCUUCACCUAAUCUCUAACCAUUAAAUAAUUUAAAACAAGCUCUUUAAAUUUAAGAUAAUGGAAGCAUUAAACAGAUAAAGAUAUUAGGUUGAUCUAGGCAAUAAACACACAAGCUCGGAUUAUUUAACCUAGGUUAUGUUCUUCAAUUGAAAUCACUAAUUCCAACCUGCUACUAAUAAUUAAAAUAUCAAGACAAUUACGGAUCAAGAAUUUUAAUCUAGUAAUAAAAUUUAUUCAAGUCCUAUCUAAUUGGCCACUCAAAUAAAACAAGAAUAAACCAUGUACAUUAAUUAUAGAAGAACAUAAACAAUCUCAAUUAAAUAAAUUGAAUGAUAGAAUUUAAAUUUAAUUGCAUAGCAUGUUUAGGGUUUUGAAUUCACCCUCAACCAAAUAAAAAUCUAGCCUAACAUGAUUGAAUUGGAAAUAAGAGAAUUGACAAAACCAAUCAUGGAGAUCAAUUCAAGCGGCUGCCUUUUUCUUUAAUUGAAUUCCGGCUGCUGAUUUUUUUCUUCUUCUUGCGGCUGUUGAUUUUCCUCUUGCUGCCGAAUUGGAUCUGCCCUCUUCUUUUUUUCUGUCCAGCGGCUGCAAUCUCCUUUUAUAAUGCUAGUUGACCGAAUUCUUCUCCAACAAGAAUAAAGAAAUCCUUUUUCAAUUCUAAUUGAAAUCCUUUUCCAAUUUAACACCACCAAAAGCCAUUAAUUCCAACUUUUGAAAGUCAAUUGCUGGCCCGUUUAAAUGCUUUCUACUUUUGCAAUGCCAUGCACGUGUACUCCAAUUGCCAAUUGGAAAAAAUUAAAUCUUUUAAUUAUUCAACAUUUCUCAAUUAGAUUAAUUAUUUUGAUUUCUUCCACUCGGUUUUAUCAAUUUUUGUCUGUAUUUUUGUCUUCCAAUUUAAUCUUUAUUCCUUCUCAAUUUGAACUUCUUAAUGCCCUUUUUAUUCAUAAUCUCCAAUUGAUUUCCUAUUCAAUAAAAUAAUUUAAUUAAUUAAAAAUAACAAAUAAAAAUAACUAGUAAUUAAAUAAUUAAGGGUAAAAUAUGUAUAAUUUAAAAAUUAACUAAAAUAACUAGAAUAUUUAAGACCAAAACAAGAAAAAGAUGGAGAAGUUAAUAGUAAAAUAUAUGAACAAUAUGCACUUAUCAAAUUCCCCCACACUUACCCUUUGCUCGUCCUCGAGCAAACCUAGAACAAAAAUAAAAAGAAAACCUAAACUAGACCACUUUCGUAGGAAAUCACGAUUGCAUUUACCAUAUGCAACAAGCCUUUAAACCCCUAGGCGGCCCUAGUGGACGAGUUAUAGUCUCGUGAGGGCUUCAGCGAUGAUACCCACAAACAUCAUUGCAUUUUUUAUUUUAUUUUAGCAGAAAAAGAACAAAGGAAUUUAAAAUAAAACUAGCCUCAAAGAUUGCAUAAAUCAUAUAGCUCAAAGAAAAUUUCAAAUAUUAUCGAAGUUCUAACUUUAAUUCAAUAGUCAAUCACAUCUCUCUUUUGAUUCUCAUAGUGUGUGUGUGAAUCAAUUCUAUUAAAAUCCAUUCCCAAAAUCUUCAAUAUCAACAGCCUUUGCCUUGAACAAAGAAAAGAGUAGGUCAAACUAAUCUUAUCAUCUUGAUCUCCAAUUUUUUUUUCUUUUACAGGCAUUUGUGUGCAUUUUCUUUUGAAGUUCUUUUUUUUUUUUUUUUUGUUCAGGAGCUUUCACUCUACCCCUUAAGGUAGUCUUCUUCUCAUGGUAGAUUAUCCUCUACAUACUGGUGGUACAUAGGCCCAAAUUACUCAAGGAUAGCUUCACUCUUAAGGGUUAUAGGUAGCUAUUUCUGACUAUGGUGCCUGUGUAUACUACACUGUAUUGUGGAGAUAAGAAUCAAGACAAACAGUCAUUUACUCAAUCUAAAAUUCUCAACUCAGGCUGCGUCAAUCUCAAAUUCUAAGUCAAAAUUAUAAAAGAAUUUAUAUUAGUGCUCAUGGUUUAAAGAAUCUCAAUUAAGAGGAAAUCAACACAAGAAUCAAGUAUAAACUAAGGUAAUAUUCAACCCUUUCUAAGAACCAUAUUCAUUGUCAAUCAAAUUCUUAUCACUGGCUAAUAUUCAAAACAAUAUUUUUUUUUUUUUUUUGUAAAAAGAAAAAGACGAAGUAACAAAAACUAAGUUCGAAACCCACCCCCCACACUUAAUUCUUACAUUGUCCUCAAUGUAAGCCUAAGCUAACAAAAGACAGAAUUAAACAUGGGAAAAUGAGAUGAGACACACAAACAGAAACAAACAAAAUUCAACACAACGUAGGUAAAGUAAAUGAGAAUGAGAGGGAGAAAAAUCAAAUCUGUUAUGGCGUGCUCUCAAAAUCUUUUCUCCAGCCAUUGGGUUGCCUCCCAAUAAGCGCUUGGUUUAUUGUCCUCAGCCUGACCUGGUUCUCAAGUUUCACUCAUCAAUGUACGCAGGUUCAUAAAGUGGAGCCUCCUCUACAUUGAGUGUUUGAAAAUUUUCAUAGUAAGGUUUCAACCUAUGACCAUUAACUUUGAACUCUUUACCUGUCUUUAAGCUCUUGAUCUCAACUGCACCAUGAUGAAAAACAUUAAUAACAACAAAAGGCCCAACCCAUCGAGAACGUAACUUACCUGGAAACAACUUAAGGCGAGAAUGGAAUAGCAAAACUUUAUGUCCAACUUUAAAAUUCUUUCUCAAGAUCUGCUUGUCAUGAAAAACCUUAGUCUUUUCCUUAUAGAUUCGUGAACUCUCAUAGGCAUCAUUUCGAAUUUCCUCUAAUUCUUGCAAUUGGAGCUUUCUGUGUUGGCUGGCAGUGUUCAGUUCCAUGUUACAUUGUUUCACAGCCCACCAUGCUUUAUGUUCAAGUUCCACUGGAAGAUGACAAGGCUUACCAUAUACCAACCUGUAGGGUGACAUACCAAUAGGAGUUUUGUAUGCGGUCCUAUAUGCCCAAAGUGCAUCAUCAAGCCGUAAGCUCCAGUCCUUUCUAUUCAGAUUAACUGUCUUUUCAAGGAUUGAUUUCACUUCCCUAUUAGACACCUCAACUUGCCCACUAGUUUGGGGAUGGUAAGAUGUAGAUACCUUGUGAGUGAUGUUGUAUUUUCGAAAGAGGGCUUCUAUUGACCUGUUACAAAAGUGAGUGCCUCUGUCGCUGAUAAUUGCCUUUGGUGUUCCAAACCUUGUAAAGAUGUUACUUUUUAUAAAAUCUACCACAACCUUAGAAUCGUUAGUUCGGGUGGCUUUUGCUUCCACCCAUUUAGAAACAUAAUCAACCGCAAGAACAAUAUAGAGAUGACCAAACGAUGAAGGAAAUGGUCCCAUGAAGUCGAUGCCCCAAUCAUCAAAAAUCUCAACUAUAAGAAUGGGAGAUUGUGGCAUCUGAUUUCUAGGUCCCAAAUUACCUAUUCUCUGACAACGAUCACAAGAUUUGCAAAACACAUAUGCGUCCUUAAAUAGUGAUGGCCAAUAAAAACCGCUCGCAAGUACCUUAAGGGCUGUUCUCUUUGGUCCAAAAUGUCCUCCACAAGCCAAAGUAUGAAAAAAGGUAAGAAUAUAAGUAAAUUCAGUUUCGGGUACGCACCUUCUAAUAACUUGAUCAGAACAAUGCUUCCACAAGUAUAGCUCAUCCCACACAUAGUACUUGGCAUCACUCUUGAUCUUGGCCUUUUGUGCACGGGUUAUCUCUUCUGGUACUGUCUUGGUAACUAAGUAAUUGACAAUAUCUGCAUACCAAGGAGUAACUGUACCUACCUGUAAUAACUGCUCAUCUAGAAAGUUCUCAUGCAAUGGAAGUUCAUCUUCGUUAUGGAUAAGUCGACUCAAAUGAUCUGCUACCAAAUUCUCAGAGCCUCUCUUAUCUAGAAUCUCUAUGUCAAAUUCUUGCAAUAGAAGUAUCCAUCGUAUAAGGCGCAGUUUGGCAUCCUUUUUGGUGAGCAAGUACUUAAUAGCUGCAUGGUUAGAGUAAACGAUUACCUUAGAUCCAAUUAAAUAAGAACAAAAUUUCUCUAAGGCAAAGAUAACUGCUAAAAGUUCUUUCUCUGUGGUAGAGUAGUUAAGUUGUGCAUCAUUCAAUGUACGAGAGGCAUAAUAGAUGACAUGAGGAAGCUUGCCCACACGCUGGCCCAACACGGCUCCAACAGCAUAGUCACUGGCAUCGCACAUAAUCUCAAAUGGUAAAUCCCAGUUUGGUGGUUGAAUCACAGGGGCCGAUGUCAAAACCUCUUUUAACUUCUUAAAAGCUCUUUGGCACUCUUCAUUGAAGUCAAACGUUGCAUCCUUUUGAAGUAAGUUGCAGAGAGGUAAAGCUAUCUUGGAGAAGUCCUUGAUAAACCUGCGAUAGAAACCUGCAUGACCAAGAAAAGAACGAACCUCCCUCACACUAGUGGGAGGUGGUAAGGAGCGUAUAAGAUCUAUCUUAGAUUUAUCAACUUCAAUCCCCUUUUCAGAAAUAACAUGGUGAUGGUUGUCGAAGCCAACAAAAAUAAAUUCCUACUCUAAAUAAAUUGUGUAUAGUGAUUGAGCAGGGUCGUGUCCACAGAGAUCGGUAAUUAUUUAAAUCCUUUUGAAACGUAAAACGUAAAAUGGGGGAAUUGUAAACAAUAAUAAAAAUCAAAUUAAAUAACAAGAAUGCAAAUUAAAGUUGUAAUUCAAAUUGGAGAAAGCUCUAGUUGAAGGAAUUAACUAAGCUUGAUUCGACUACUGAUCAUUGAUUCAAAUAUAGAUUAUUAUUACUUAUGAAUAAACCGGUUAUAGCUAUUGAGACCCUCGAAUAGCCAAUCUCUCCUUAACUAGUCGAUAACCAAGGUACGACCGUUGGAAAUUUCCCUAAUCAAUAGACAACCCUAGAUACGAUCAUAGGAUUUAAUCAAUUGACAGCCUGAAAAACCAGAGAGACCCAAAUCCUAAUCAACACAUAUGAUGAUUCAUUUAAAUUAGAUUGUUUAUUCUCACAACACAACUCUCUGCUAUGUUAUUUGUCACAAACAUUAAAUUCUUCAUACGAUGAAUCCUUUAAUUGACAAUAGAUUAAGUUGAUAAUUAAAUAGUGGCCAAUUACCUAAUUAACAAACAUAAUCAUGAAACUAAUUCAGAGAAUAAACAAAUACCCAAAAAGUAAUAAAACAAUUAAAGCAUAAGAAAGAUCUCACAGUAGUGAUGAAUCAAAGCUUCAUUAUCCUUCAACCAGAAAAAUAGGUUUAGUUCUUCAUAGAGAGAAGAGAAAAAUUAGAUCUAGGGUUUCUUUCUUCUUCUCCAAUCCAAAAAUCCCCCCCUUCUUUCACAAUAGAUUCCUCCUUAAAUACUCUCUCUCUCUUCUCUUUUAGAGUUCUAUUUAAAAUAAAAUACUAAUAUCUUAAAUAUUAAAUUCGUAAUUACAAAAAUAGCCAAAAAUACAAAACACGUUAAACUAAAAACUGCAGGUCCGCAGUUGACAGCACGCGCCCACGCCUUAUCAAUAAAGUUCUUCUGCCGCUCAUAAUUUCUCCAAGAGAACAAUCAUCCUUAAAAAUCAUCUUGUAGCUCAAUUUUAUCACCAAUCAAUAGAAUUGCACCUACAAAAGUAAAACACAAGUAAAUUAUUAUUAUUAAGUGCAAAACAUCGAUAUUAAGGGAAGUAAACAAUGCAAAACUAGUGCAUAAAUUGCACUCUAACACAUGGCCUAGUACAAUACCUUGAUUAACCAUAAAAUGACAUUUUUCCCAAUUAAGCACAAGGUUAGUGUCAAUGCAUCGUUUAAGAACAAGUGUAAGGUUAUCUAAACAUUUAUUGAAAGAAUCACUAUAAACUGUAAAAUCAUCCAUAAAUACCUUAAUGAUGUUCUCUACAUAAUCAGAAAAAAUACUCAUCAUAUACCUUUGGAAAGUGGCAGGAGCGUUACAGAGACCAAACGGCAUGCGUCGGUAAGCAAAUGUUCCGAAGGGGCAUGUGAAUGUCGUUUUCUCUUGGUCUUCCGGAGCGAUAACGAUCUGAUUAUAACCCGAGUAACCAUCAAGAAAACAAUAAUGAGAGUGACCACUUAACCUUUCAAGCAUUUGAUCAAUGAAUGGCAGAGGAAAAUGAUCAUUGCGAGUGGUUGCAUUCAGUUCAAACUCUCCACCCAGUUUGAACUCUAGCUGGCACAAGCUCGUUUUCUUCAUUCUUGACCACUGUGAUGCCUGAUUUUUUUGGAACUACCUGCACAGGACUCACCCAUUUACUAUCAGAAAUGGGAUAAAUAAUCCCCACAUUAAGGAGUUUCAGUAUCUCCUUUUUUACGACUUCCAUCAUUGGUGGAUUAAGGCGGCGUUGUGCAUCUCUCGUUGGUUUAGACCCUUCCUCUAGCAAAAUGCGAUGCAUGGAAGGACUAAUUCCCUUAAUGUCGGCAAUGGUCCAGCCAAUCGCCGUCUUGUGAUCCCGAAGCACCCUAAUUAAUUUUUCUUGUUGAACUGGGGUGAGGGUUUUAGCAAUUAUGACUGGAAGUGUUUCAUUCUCACCCAAGUAAAUAUAUUGCAUGUGUUCUGGGAGUGGUUUAAGUUCUAAGGUAGGUGCAUGCACAAUUGAAGGUAAAAGUUUCUCGUUUAAUAAAGGCAAUUCAAGGUAAGAAACAUUAUACCCAUGGGUGCGUAAUGUGACUGCUCCAUCUAAGAUCGCCAUAGCUUCCUCUACCUCAUCAUCCAACUUUAUCAAAUUUGCAUGUUCCUUAGAAUCAUCUUUCGUAAGAUUUUUGCUUAUCGAAAUUUCAAAACUGUCAUUACCAGAUAAUUCAAAGAAAUCUUGCACCAAAGUAUUAAUAUCAUCCAUGGCAAAAACAGAAUGAACAUCACUAGGAUACCUCAUUGCCUCAAAGAUAUUGAAGCGGAUCACUUCACCAUCAAAUUCCAUUGUGAGGGUUCCAUCGUGAACAUCAAUCUUGGUUCGGGCUGUCUUAAGAAAUGGCCGCCCCAACAAAAUAGGAGUGGGAUUGGGCGACAACUCAUCCUCCAUUUCAAGGAUAUAAAAAUCAGCUGGAAAGACCAAUUCAUUGACCUGCACAAGAACAUCUUCCAUAACCUCCUUCGGGUAAGCAUUAGAUCUGUCAGCCAAUUAAAUAAUUAUACCAGUUUCUUCCAUUGGACCUAAAUUCAAGGAGUUAUAAAUCGAGUAUGGCAUAACAUUAAUUGAGGCCCCUAAAUCUAGCAUACAUCUUUCGAAUCUGGUAUUACCAAUAGUGCAGGGGAUAAUGAAAGUACCGGGAUCCUUGCACUUAGGCGGAAGUUUUCUUUGAAGUACAGCAGAAACAUUCUCUCCAACACUUACCUUUUCGUUACCGCUCAACUUUCGCUUGUUGCUGCAUAAUUCCUUCAAAAACUUUGCAUAACGCGGCACUUGUUUAAUAGCAUCAAGUAGAGGAAUAUUUACCUCUACUUUACGAAAGGUCUCAAGGAUCUCUUUUCUUGCUCCUCUUUCUUGGAUUGUUUAAAUCUGCUAGGAAAUGGUGGAGGAAUGGAGAGAGUCUUAAUUCGAGGUGAGGGGAUACUUACCUUGCCAGAUGGAUCGACUGGCAAUGCCGAGUGGGAAUCAUCUUUCCUUGUUAAAGGAAGAACCUUAGGUGAGGAAUUGGUCACAGAAGGUGAUAAUGUUGUGGAUACUUUUGAUGGCUUAGCUAAUAAUGGUUCCAAUUGCUUUCUGCUCCUGAGAGACAUAGCACUAGCAUUCUCAUUUGGAUUAAUUUCUAGUUGAGAAGGUAACUUUCCUGAAGUUCUACCCUCCAUCCUACUCAUAGAUGUGGCUAGUUGGCCAAUUUGAUUCUCUAAAUGUUGGAGCUGUGUCUGGGUAGUCUGUUGGAAUUGCAUAGAGUUAGUAGCGAGAGCUUUUACAAGAUCCUCCAAAGACAUACCUUGAUUUUGAGGAGGUGGAGGUGGCCGAACUUGGUAAGGCUGUUGCACCCGGUGUUGGGGGUAGCCUGGUGGUCGAGACGGUGCCACAUUAGAAAUGCCUUGUUGUUGGUUCCCAUACCUAAAAUUAGGGUGAUCCUUCCACCCUUCAUUGUAAAAAUUAGAGUAGGGAUCAUACCUUUGUCUUGGUUGGCCUAGGAACCCCUCAACUGCGUUGGCUUGUUCAUGUGAACCCUCUUGGAUAGCAGGGCACAUGUCAGUCGCAUGUCCGACCAUAGAACAUACGCCACACGGUCUCAUUUGUUGCCCUAGAGCUAAUUGUUGCACCAAAGAAGUAAGAUUUGAAACUUGUUUUUCUAGAGAAGUAGUACUUACCUCAUUGACUCGCUUAGGUGGCGGCAGUAGAUCGUUCCUAGUGUUGAACUGUUGGGAAUUAGCAGCCAUGUUAGCAAUGAGAUUUCGGGCUGCUUCUGGUGUCUUAUCCACGAGUGCUCCUCCACUAGCGGCAUCAAUCAUACUCCUAUCCAUAGGUAGUAGACCCUCAUAAAAGUAUUGAAUAAGAAGUUGAUCACUUAUCUGAUGGUAAAGGCAACUAGCACAUAGCUUUUUGAAUCGUUCCCAAUAGUCGUAGAGCGGCUCUCCAUUAUACUGUCGGAUUCUACAAAUUUCUUUUCGAAUGCUACCAGCUUUUGAUGCUGGGAAAUAUUUCUCCAAAAAUAGCUGACGCAUCUCAUUCCAUGUUGUGACAGUAUCGGAGGGAAGAUAGUACAACCAUUCCUUGGCUGAAUCCGCCAAAGAGAAUGGGAAGGCCAUUAGCUUAACUUGCUCUUCAGAAACUCCGGCUGGUUUCAUUGUGGAGCAGACCACAUGGAACUCCUUCAAGUGCUUAUUUGGAUCCUCUCCUGCAAGACCAUGAAAAGUAGGAAGAAGAUGAAUCAUCCCAGAUUUGAGUUCAAAGUUUACCUGAGGGUUUGGAUUCUCAAUGCAUAAGGGUUGCUGGUCCAAGUUAGGAGCUGCCAACUCUUUAAGUGUUCGGUUGUUAUUCUGAGCCAUUGGUUCGGGUUCUGGGCUGCUUGGUUAUGUUUUCGGGAGUGAAAUGUGAAUGGCAAAAUCGAGUUCUGAAUAUGAUGAGGUUGCUCUAAGUUGUUCGAGUUUCAAUCGAAUGUCCUCUAUGCUCAUGAAAAUCUAAAUAUAGAACAAAAAAUAACUAAUUAAAAUAAAAUAAAUAAAUAAAAUGAGAAAAUAAAUAAAAAAUAAAAUAAAAAAUAAAACGAGUGAUAAUAAACAAACUAGACGCUAGUCCCCGGCAACGACGCCAAAAAUUUGGUAGUGUCGUUAAGGUGCACCAAAUUUAAAACUUUAUCACUAAUAUAAAUAAUUAGUACAGAGCGAGUAAGGAUCGAUCCCACAGAGACUAUGCUAGUUAUAUUUAUUAUUAACUCUAAAGCAAGAUUUAAAAUAAAAUAAUAGUAAUAAUAAUAAUAGUAAUAGUAAUAAUAAUAUAAAUUAAUCUAACUAAAGAAAAUGCCAAUUAAAAAUAAAAAGGGGGUUUAUGAAUUUUUAACUAAAUAGUAAGAAAUAAAGAAAUUAAAAUUACGAACAAGAAUUUAAUAAAAACUCUAAUUAAAGGAGAAAGAAAUAAUAAUGAUGAAAACUUUGGUUAAAGGAUCAUUCGCCACCACCAAACAUGCACAUAAUAUAUCAAUUCUAUCAUCAAUUUAUAUUAAAACUAUCAACCUUAGACAACAAUAAGCUCUGUUAGUCUCAAUCUUUCCUUAGUGUGUCGUUAGGCAAAAUAAGCUCUUCACUUAAUCUCUAACCAUUAAAUAAUUUAAAACAAGCUCUUUAAAUUUAAGAUAAUGGAAGCAUUAAACAGAGAAAGAUAUUAGGUUGAUCUAGGCAAUAAACACACAAGCUCGGAUUAUUUAACCUAGGUUAUGUUCUUCAAUUGAAAUCACUAAUUCCAACCUGCUACUAAUAAUUAAAAUAUCAAGACAAUUACGGAUCAAGAAUUUUAAUCUAGCAAUAAAAUUUAUUCAAGUCCUAUCUAAUUGGCCACUCAAAUAAAACAAGAAUAAACCAUGUACAUUAAUUAUAGAAGAACAUAAACAAUCUCAAUUAAAUAAAUUGAAUGAUAGAAUUUAAAUUUAAUUGCAUAGCAUGUUUAGGGUUUUGAAUUCACCCUCAACCAAAUAAAAAUCUAGCCUAACAUGAUUGAAUUGGAAAUAAGAGAAUUGACAAAACCAAUCAUGGAGAUUAAUUCAAGCGGCUGCCUUUUUCUUCAAUUGAAUUCCGGCUGCUGAUUUUUUUCUUCUUCUUGCGGCUGUUGAUUUUCCUCUUGCUGCCGAAUUGGAUCUGCCCUCUUCUUUUUUUCUGUCCAGCGGCUGCAAUCUCCUUUUAUAAUGCUAGUUGACGAAUUCUUCUCCAACAAGAAUAAAGAAAUCCUUUUUCAAUUCUAAUUGAAAUCCUUUUCCAAUUUAACACCACCAAAAGCCAUUAAUUCCAACUUUUGAAAGUCAAUUGCGGGCCCGUUUAAAUGCUUUCUACUUUUGCAAUGCCAUGCACGUGUACUCCAAUUGCCAAUUGGAAAAAAUUAAAUCUUUUAAUUAUUCAACAUUUCUCAAUUAGAUUAAUUAUUUUGAUUUCUUCCACUCGGUUUUAUCAAUUUUUGUCUGUAUUUUUGUCUUCCAAUUUAAUCUUUAUUCCUUCUCAAUUUGAACUUCUUAAUGCCCUUUUUAUUCAUAAUCUCCAAUUGAUUUCCCAUUCAAUAAAAUAAUUUAAUUAAUUAAAAAUAACAAAUAAAAAUAACUAGUAAUUAAAUAAUUAAGGGUAAAAUAUGUAUAAUUUAAAAAUUAACUAAAAUAACUAGAAUAUUUAAGACCAAAACAAGAAAAAGAUGGAGAAAUUAAUAGUAAAAUAUAUGAACAAUAUGCACUUAUCACCAAAAAAGAAAAAAAAAAAGGAAUAUGUUUGAAUAGGAUUAUGAAAUACUUUCUUAAUAAGCUGGACAAGGAGAGAUGAUAUCUUAUGAGCAUUAUAAUUCAUAAUUUGAGGAAAAACCAUUUUAAUGGAGCUUCCAGCCCAACGUACAUACACAAACACAAUCAGUAAGAUUUAACAUAAGAAAUUACCGGGAAAAAGAAACAUCACAAAUCAAUCUGUACAAGUUCAUGUGACACUGCAUGGUAAACAUAUGUAACCUCUCUUGGAAACUUAGCUUGUGACAAGCUCACAUUUUCUGUGUUUUCGUUCAAAAAAGGUUUCAGACACAUUAAUUCCAGGCUGUGGAGGAUCACAUGCCUCGUUGCCCAAAUUUUUAAAGCCACAUACAUUGGUAUUUGCACGCAUGGUCAAUGAGUUACACAACUCUGUCGUCUACUUGAGUUGACCAAGCAAACUGAAUUUGUGAACUUUGACCGACAUAAAUAACCCAAUGCUAACAUGUUUGGAAUUAAAUCAAGAUUGUGAGUCCAAAUGUACUCCCCUACAAACUUGUCACCUGUGCAUCAAGACAAAGUCUUAUAGCACUAAGAAUGGACAUGGGAAUCUCUAAGCAACAACCUCCUAAUAACAUAAAAAUCAAGGUUGGUGUGGGAUAAAGCCAUUCAAAUGGACAUGUAAAGGGUAACUUUGAUGAAUAAGGGUUUAAGAGAAACAAUCUCAUCACAGAGUAUUUCAAUUGGAGCGGAUGAAGAAACUAACAUGAAACAAGCUCACUUAUCUCUAUUUAUUUUUCAAUUUUCACAGAUCCAAAAUCUAAAAUUAUCAUUUUGAGCUACCCUCAAUUAGUAAGCACUGCAUUGUCACUGCUUUCUUCUGAAAUUUUCCAUCAGCAGAAAAUCUCUAACAAAUCAAAACAAGACUUACCAAGUUUCAUAAGUAUCAAAACAAAAACGAGCAAAGGUCCACAGGGAAGUUCUAGAAUGAAAAAUACUAAUGACGUUGUUACAGUGAAUCUCAGGGUCCAUUUUUCGUGAGGUUAAUGGUUGCAUUCUAGGUUGUGUUGCUCUCAUUCUUCAGUGUUCAUUCAUCUUUUUAUGGUAAGUUGCAUGCAUUUGUUUUGUCUUCAGAGGUUAUGGUGGAAUUGUUUGCACCAUCUAUGUCUUUACGUGCACCCCUUGAUUAUACUCGGCGGGAUAAAUUUUGCACUUACUUUUAAAAAAAAUAAAUAAAGAAUCCCCCGUGGGGAAGUCAAAGUGCAAUACGAAUUUAUUAGUGACGAGGACACAGAGAUUUGACAUGAUAAUUAAUCAUCUCGUUAUGAUGUGUUAGUGUCUAAUUCACAAAUUCGUGUAAUAAAUUGCCACCCUUUCGUGUGAGACUAUUGUUAAUUUUAUUGUUCCCUUAAUAAAGUGUAAGGUAGCUUUACAUUGCUUCCAAUCCAAGGCUUAUAGCAUUAGCAUGAUUAACAUAUAUAGUAGCAUCGUAAACAAUGAUUGGAAUCCUGACAUCUUUGGUAGUAUGAUUAUAGAAAAUUGCGACCAUGUUUGGGUAGCUUAGUUUAAAAGUUACUGCAUUGAAAUAUUAAGUAAAUAUUAGCUGUUAUAACUAGAAAAAUUUAUUAUAUCUUUAAUUUUAUACUUAUAUGAUAGAAAAUUUAUUAUUUCUUUAUUGAUUUUGUCAAAAUUAUUAUUUAAAAAUUAGAUAUUUACCACAUACUAAAUCAAGUUAAAUAAUAGGAAAUAAUUAAUUACAAGUUAAUUAAAUUAGAAAUAUGUGUCUAACCAUUAGAACUACGUAUAUCAAGUUAGUUAAUUACCAAGGAAAGAAUUAAUAAUAAAUUUUCAUUAUUUAAUUACGAAACCGAUAACUAUAUAUUAGGAAAACUAUAAUUUUAUGAAAACUGAAGAUCAGUACUAAUAUAAAACUAAAACCAACAAUAAUUAUAUGAUAGGAUAACAACAAAUCUAGUAUAUAUUAAAAAACACGUCGAUUCUGAAGCUGAAUUUAUAAUCCAACCUUAAUUCUAUUUCUUCUGUAUUUACAUAAUCAUCCCGCUAAUUAAGGAUUUUACAACUUUGCCAUGAAAGUUCGGUGGCUUCCAUGCCUUUUUCUUCUCCUCCUCAAAAAUUUUGCUUUUGCUUCCACUUCACCAUUAAAGAAAAUCCCAAAGCUUGGUGUUGUGCGUGGAAGGACUAUUUUUCUAAACCCUAGUAUAAAAAAUAUCAACUUCAGAACCAGAGGGUAAUAUCGAAACUUAUUAUUAUGAUCAAAUACUUGAUCACUUUAACUAUAAUCCAUUAAGUUAUUUAACUUUUCCUCAUAGAUAUGUGUUGAACUUCAAGCAUUGGGGCAGUGGCGGAGCCAAUAUUGGCAUAUCUUGGUGAAGAGAGUAGUCUUGAUGAUGACCUUGGUGGCACUGCAUGGCUUACUGAUAAUGCUCAUCGAUUUAAAGCCUUACAAGUUUACAUAGAGGUACGUAAUUAAAGAAUCUAUUAUCAAGCUUAAUUUAAAAAUUACAGCAUUAAAAUAUCAGGUAAAUAUUAGCUGUUGUAACUAGAAAAAAUUAUUAUAUCUUUGAUUAUGCACUUAUAUGACAGAAAAUUUACUAUUUCUCUACUGAUUUUAUCAAAAUUAUUAUUUACAAAUUAUAUAUUUACCACAUACUAAAUCAAGUUAAUUACUAGCAAAUAAUUAAUUACAAGUUAAUUAAAUUAGAAAUAUGUGUCCAACCAUUAGAACUACGUAUAUCAAGUUAGUUAAUUACUAAGGAAAGAAUUAAUAACAAUUAGGAAAGAAUUAAUAACAAAUUUUCAUUACUACGUAUUUAGUUACGAAAUUGAUAACAAUAUAUUAGAAAAACUAUAAUUUUAUGAAAACUGAAGAUCAAUACUAAUAUAAAACUAAAACCAACAAUAAUUAUAUGAUAGGAUAACAGCAUUAGCACAUAACCUCCAUUGGUGUUGUUGAGCGGCUGGUCGAGCGAGGCUUGGCACCAUCACAUGCUUGUCGCAUCUUGAGAAAAGUCGUGUGACACUAACCUUAUGGUACUUAAUUCUAUGUUGUUAUUGUUUAUUUGAUUACAAGCCUCUAAAUGAUGUUUCAGAAUUGAAGGAUUAUUUAGAGUAUAUGUAUACGGGUGCAACUUUGUAUGAUGAUCCUCAGGAAUAUCCAAUGAACAAAGCUUGUAAUGGUAUUGAUGGAGCUUCAGAAGGCACCGAUACCCUAAGCCGAAUAUUCUCAGGAAUUGUUGCUUUAAGAGGAGAAAGUUAUUGCCAUGAUGUUGAUGAAUUCUUCUCCGAUGAAACAUUGGGAGGCACCGAAAUCUAUGGUCUUUAAAAAUUCUCAUGGCACUCCCAUUAACAUACUAAGUCUGCUUAACCCAUAGGUGAGUGAACCCAUAGGUGAGUGUAAUCUUCUUUUACAUCCAAUUUAAUUAAAAAAUAACAAUUAUCCAAUAGAGAAAUCUUAGAAUUUCCUUUUUUAUCCCAACGAGCUAAAAAAAUUUCUAAUUAAUUACAUAUGAGGGCGAUUGUAAGAUAACUUACCGACCAAAGUCAACUGGAAUGGAAUAGCCAUUGCUUUGACUAACUCUACGGAAAACUACACGUUCGGCUCACCCACGUACGAAGAGAUUUUCUUGAUGGGGACUGUCGAGGGUGUGGGCUCGUUUAUAAUUUCAGCAAAGGAUUUUUUUAUCGGCCUAUUUAAAUUUCGAUUAGGAGUUGAAGUCAAAACUGAUGCAUAUGUCGGGAUGAAAGUGGGCUGAUUUUGAGGUUCGUUUUGAGCCGCUGGAUUAGAGGAAUUAUUGGUUUGGGAUUAGGGAUGGUAAAAUCUGGGUCCGGGUUUGGCCUUUCUGGUUCCGGACUCGGAUGAGAAUUCGUCUUACCGGAUCCGGAUAAAAACUUGAAUUUUUUGAGUGCGGGUCUGAUACGGGUUAAACCCGGAUAAUUUGUUUUGGUACCUAAUUUCUCUCAUUUGCUUUGAAAAACCCUUUAUCAAACUUUUCUUGCUGCAACUUGCAAGGAAUAAAUGAUGAAGUGAUGAAUAUUAAAUAACUAAAGCCAGAUUAUUAUCAACAAGAUCACUCAACCAAAGCUUCUUGAAUUCGCAAUCUUAAAAGGGAAUUUUUUUUUUCAAGAUCCCAUUUAUAGCCUUUAAUUGUUUUGCAAUUGCCUUGUUCGUACUCCCAUCAAAUCACAAUCCAAUACCCUUCCAAUAAUCAGAACCUAAAAUGAAUGAAAUCACAUUCUUGGGCCAACUUCUCGAAAAUAUAGUUGAUGAAACUGCUUGCCCGUGGCCUUGCUGGAGAUUUCAAUAUCGAGGUGGACUUGCUUCAGGAUUGGUCUUCUUCGUCUUGUUCUUCUUUUUCUCGACUGUAUUGCCGUCUUUGGUGAUGACUAUUAAUGAUUUGUUUCGGGCUUUAGUGGUGAGGAUGAGGAAUAAAGCACGAUUCACGAUGAUUUGAUGAGGAAAUAUUUGGCUUUCGGCUUUGGCGGCGCGGCUGUGAAACUGAAACUAGGGCAGAGCUGCUAUUUCUUUUUUCAAUAGUUUCUAUUUAUAUUUAAAAAAAUAUAAAAAUAAAUACACCCGGGUUCGGGUUUCAGAUUUGCUGUUUCACCCAAAUCUGGAUCUGGACCCGAAUAUGUCUGAGUUUAGAAAAUCACAUCUAGAUUCUGGAUUUAAUUUAGUCCGGUGUAGGUUAAAUCCGACCCAGAUUAUUCGGGUUUGGUUGGGUUCGGGUUAAAUUGUCAUCCAUAUUUGGGAUUGAUUUUGGACUUGCAGACUUAUAUUGGAUGAUUGGGCUUUUUGUGGUUUAAUGGAUUGACAUUGGUUUUGGGAUUGAGAAUUUAAGUUGGAUGUAUGGAUAUUAGUGGGAUGGGCUUCCAAGUGCAUUUGGGCUUGUGAGUUAAAUGUUGAAUGGUUAUGGAGGGUGUAGAAACUAAGGUGCUAUUAACAGACUAAGCAACCUUAGAUUCUGCCCUAAGAUCACCAACCAACUAAUCAAGAUGCUGCAAGAUUGAUGACGGAAAAGCUACGACUAAGAUGAAUCUAUGGAACUAGACGAUUAACCAAUUUGGAUUAAAGAAUCAACAUAAGUAGAGCAAUCAAAGAACAAAAGAAACUUAAUGUGGUUCAACUAGAUUUCUCUAGCUUACAUCCACGGGAGGGCAAAGAAUAACUUUAUUGAUUUAACAAGAUGAAUUACAGAGUAAUGCUUUUUUUUUUUACCACAGAAAAGAUCUGAACUGAUUAUAUAUAAACCAGUCCCUUCUCUCUCUUCAGCUCUCUCUGCACACCAAUCUGUUGCUUCCACAUCAGCUGCUCGAUAACAGCUUCAUAACGAACCCAGAAAUUCCCCAGCAACUCACGUGAGUUCCUCAUGCGUUUAACGGCUUUUAACGAACCUUGCAAGCUGGACACAAGCAUGUGAUACAAGCGUGCUUCACUUAGACUUAAACGACAAACUCACAUGUCGUUCAUAAGAGUAUUUCUUUUGCUCUUCAAAACGCAAGACUCCAUGUCGUUGAGCUUAAGUGAUUUCAGCUCUAAACGCAAAGGCUUCUGCCGUUUUGGUUUUCUGGACUUGCUUUCAUAAACAACAGAGGGUUUCAUGAUUACGGUGGGCAUUGCAAGUAUUAGGGGUAGAAAAAUUUUGGGGGGAAGAAAAAUAAGCCGAAAGUUGUGCAUUUGUUGGUGGAAUUGAGGGGUUUGAUUUUGAAUGAGUGGGAGACAAAAGCGGGUCCCCUGCACUAUUUGAAUGUUGGCUUUUUGGUGAUGCCAUAGGAAAAGUGUUAUGAGUAUAUGUGUUUUGUGAGGCUGCAUGUUGAUUUUUGGCUUGAGUGGAGGCAUGUGAGGUAAUUUUGGAAAUCUUUGAUGCAUGUGAAGGCUUUGAAAUGUUGAGCUCAUAGGGGACGACAUUAAUUGAGCACGGCUGACUUUGUGGACUUUGUGAAAGAGAGUUAUGGGCGUGAUUGUGUUUGUGUGUGGUCAAAAGCUGCAAGGGGUUGUCGAGAUUUUCCGAAUUUUUGCAUGUGGGUUGGGCCGAAGCAGGCUGUCUUGGCUGACUUUCGGCAGAUGCCGUUUGUGUACCAAAACGUGUGCGAUCAAGGGGCUGUUCAGAAGCUUCAUCUCGACCAUGAACGGUGGUUGCAAAGUUAACAGCCGAGAGUUGUUUUUUGAGCUUGUACAGGGGCUGUGAUGGCUGGAUCUUGUGAUUCACCAUGUUUAACUUGUUCACGGUUGGAGGUGCAAACUUUGGUAUGCGAUGAGGGGUUUUGGUCACGGCUUUCUUCCACUUCCUCUAGUGGUUGAUUAUAGAGUCCGUUUAAUUAUAUACCUUUUUCUUUUUCUUCUUCUUUUUUUUUUUCGAGAUUAUAGGGUUCUGGAAGAUAUAUCAGACAACAUAAUAACAGUGAUAACAAGAAACGGUAUGUAAAUUUUCUGUAAAAUAAAAAAAAAUUAGUGUUCAAUUAUUAACUAAAUUAUUGGAUAACAUAAUUAAUAGUGUGUAAAUUAGAGCAGGUUCCCAUUGCUUAGACAUACAGCCAGCAACAGAAGAUGAUCCAGAGUGGUUAGUAAUGCAGCGAAAGACUGAAGUGGACAUGGUUCAUGAUUGGGUCCUCAAAUACUCUGCAGAUUUGCUUCAAAAUCAGGGCAUAAGAUUAAAUUGGGACUACAAAAUUAGUCUUUUCUUUUUCUUCCUCUCCACUAUCUUUCUAAUAUUUAUGGAUCAAAGAUAAAUAAUAGUGCACCUGGCUAGUUGUAGAUUUCAUUUUCAUAAUUCUUAAUUUGGGUUGUCUAAAUGUGUAGAACAAGUGUGCAGUAUUACUUAAUGUAAAGCACAUAUAAAGGGCUCAUCAUAUGGUGAAUAUCAAUUCAUAUACAAUCACAUUGGAUUAACCAUUUUUGCCCUUUGAUUUAAGAGUUACUGUAUAGGUCCUUGAAGCCAGGGAGAGAAAAAGAAUUUGCCCUCCAUAUACAUGUAUCUCUCAAAACUUAGGUGUUUAUCCUUAUAUGCUCCGUUUAUUAGUAGCCAAGCUUAUGAGUACAUUGCUCCAGGUGAACCUGUUCCUAUUCUCCUACAUAAUAGCUUCUUCUAUUAAUUAUUUGACAAUCUCAUGCAAUUUCUAUUAAUUAUUUGACAAUCUCAUGCAAUUCCAAAGACUUAGGAUUUUGAGAUUUUGGUGGCUGAUAAAAUAAGCAACCUCUAAUAUGCGGAUGAAAUAAGCUAAUGAUUACAAAAGAAGCUUACUCAGUAUUUGGUAAUUUUGAUUACGAAUUUAUAUAUUAGCGUUUAUAAAAAAAAAGUAAGAUAAAAUUAUUCUUUUCUUAAAAUAUUAAAGUUAUAAUAGAACCUUUAAAAAAUAUGGCAUUUUGUUUAAUAAGUUACUUUAAUAAGUUGCUUAUAAAACAUAAUCUCAUACUUGUUUUAAAAGCUAUUGUCAAAAUGGAGAAAAUAUGAAUUAAACUUUUAACAAAUUUACCAAACAUCAUUUUUAUCAAAACUUAUAAAAUAAGUUGUUUAUAGUAUUUCAAUCAUAAUCCCAAAUAGGACAUUAGUCUUUGUUCAGAAUAAGGUUAGGCAUUGAAUACGUGUACACGCAUAAACUAAAAUAUCUAGACUGAAGAAACAGCUUGACUUAAUAAGUCUACUUCAUUCUUUAUUUUCCACAGCAUGUGUCACGAGUAAGUUCCAAAUAAUUGCUAACUAGGAGAAGAAGUCUUUAAAGUCAAGGUGAUUAGAUUCGCAUGUUACGGAAUUACGUAUCGGAGGGGUUCCCUGCUCUCCACUUAAAAAGAUGCCUUAAAAAGUUAAAUAUUAAAUAAUACGGCAUUUUUAAAUUUAAAAAAUUGUAAAAUAUAUAUAAAAAAUUAAAAAUUAAAAAAAAAAAACUUUUUUUUAAGUGCGUGGAGGUUUGAACGGCAACUACAGGAUCGCUUCACGAUGAACUUCAGAUGUGCAAGACUAAGGCAGGCCUAGCACGAUUUGGGCCAACAUUCGUAAACUCAGGAAGGGGGACGGAAGAGAGAGCAUUUUGGUUUAUAUUUUACUCAUAUACACACGAGUAAUUAUAUACAAACCUUUCAUGCCUUAACUAACUUUUUCACGUGGGACAAAUGUAUUUUCCUUUAAUUUUCCAAUUCCAUGAAUUUAAUUUGAGUAACAAUUUCUCAUUUAUCCAAUUUGAUCAUGUAGAGAAAACCAUUAUGAAGUAUUUAUGGAGGAAUAUUUGAAACAAUUUUAACCUUUCACUUACACUAGGUAGGUCUGACUCAAAAUCACACCUCAAAUAGCCACUUGUGCUAUAUUUCUAACACUUUCUACUUCUUUUCCUUAUUUGAUUGCAUGCAAAAAAAUUGAGUGCAAUGAAAUUUUUAUCUUCUUUCGUCUAUGAUGUUUUGGUGUAAAAAAAAAAAAAAAUUAAAAUGGAUGUUAGGUAGCCCAUGAACUUCCAUAGUUUGUAUGUUACAAAAGGAGUUUUGUAACUAUUUUAAAAAAGAGUAAUGAUAUAGCCACAAUCUUUUAUACAAACUUAUCUUAUACAAACUGAUGUGACAUGAUAAAAUUGGUUAAAUUAAAUAUCUCUUGGCUCACAUGAUUUAUUUUCAUUAUUUUAUAUUUUCAUUCAAUCAAUAAAUUGAUGCCAUAUCAGUUUGUACAAAAUAAAUUUGUACAAGAGUUUAUGGCUGUAUCAUCACUCUAAAAAAUAAAGAGAUUAUUUUGAUUAUUUUGUCAAAUCACAGGAGUCUACACAUUCUUUUCUCUAUGGUUAUUUAUAAUAUUACACCUACACGUUUUUUUUAUACAAAUUAAAUUUAUACAAAGAUAUGGUUAGUUCUUGUUUAUUUUCCCAUGAGUCAUAAUUUACAACAACAAUUCUUUGAGCUUCUUUUUCUUUUUAUUAUUUUGGGUAAUAUUUAAUAUCUUAAUAAUGCUAUUAAUUAUUUCUAAUAUUUUCCAUAUUAUCUCAUGUUUCUGCAAUGUUGUUCAAAUAGAUCUACACCACACAAAUACAAGCCAAUAAGGUUAUAUCUCCAUGAUUGAAUCCAUCUAGAGAAGACCUUGACUCACACUCUUUGAAAACGCGUAUUGGAAAUUAACACCGGGAGGUUGAAAAACAAUUAAUUCUUAUAUAAACGCUUUGCUGAGAAUCAAAUGUAGCUCAAUCAACCGAAAACCAUUAUAAACAUGGCAUCAGCGUCCUCUGUUUCGAGACUGGUGGUCAUUAUAAUUUUAAUUAAUGUUGGUACUAUAAGUGAUACGACGAUAUCUGUAACAGCAUCAGCUGCUGCAGGAUUAUUGUCGUCACCCAUACAGUUAGAAAGGAAAGCUUUACUUGCUACGGGCUGGUGGGUCAACAUUUGGCCGACGGGCAACCACACGUCCGAUCCUUGUAAGUGGACUGGCAUCAGUUGCAAUUCAGCGGGAAGCGUAAUCGGGGUCAACUUACUCUGGUAUGAAAAUGAUAACAUCAACGGAGAGCUUGGUCGUUUCAACUUCUCUUGCUUUCCCAACCUCAAAAGUUUCAAAAUUCAUUCAAAUUAUCUUCUCUCUGGGAGCAUUCCAUCCGAAAUUGCUGCCGUUUCAAUGCUCCAAACUCUUGAACUGCCCUCCAACAAUCUUACCGGUAUGCUACGAAACUUCACUAUAUAUAUGUAUGUAUGUAUGUAUGUAUGAAGUCGUGCUCAUGCUUGAAGCAGGCGUCUGUUUUUACAACACUGAAGAAGUUUUUUUUUAUGAGGAUUUCUUUAUAAAUUUUAUUUGCUAUGAGGAUAGUGAAUACUGAUCUCGUUUUUUAUAAAUCACAUGCGCAACAGGAAUUAUCCCUUCAGAGAUGGGGAGAUUGAGGAAGCUCGUCCACCUGGAUCUAUCUGAUAAUUACCUCUCAGGAUAUAUCCCUCCAACUCUUGGUCGUCUAAGCAAAUUGGAAAAUUUGAACCUGUCUUCUAACGGCCUUGAUGGUAAUAUCUCUCCAACUCUUGGUCGUCUAAGCACAUUUUUGUUGUGUGAAAGUGAAACUGUAUAAUAAAUUUCUACAUCUUUGUUUAUUACUUCGGUAGUGUUUUAAUUUGGAGAAUAUGCUGGUUGGCUUUUUUUCCUUCAAUUUUUGUAUGAAAUGAAUCGGCUUCAAGUGUCAGUUUCUUUUCCAAAUUGCAUCCAUCAAUUGCAAUUGUUACAUUGGGCGAUUACAAGUUGUACGUAAUUAUUAAGGAAGGCACGUUUAAGCAUUUUUGGUUUGUACGUUUUCCUCCUUUUUUUUCCCCUUUGCAUUAAAAAUCAUGGUUAUCCUAUAAAAGAUAUGAUUACAAAUUAAAAGCACUAUUUCUAAUUUCACACAUACACAGUUCCUUAUUAAUUUAUUAAAUUUACUUUUGUAUUUACAGGAUAGGGUAGUCAAUUGAGAGCACUGAGAGUGAUUCUCUCUAAUCUCCAUAAUUUUGUAUUAAUUUAUUGAUAUAUUUGUUGCAUCUGCAGAUUUAACUUUCAGUCUAAAAUAUGCAGCAUUGACGAGCCCCAAAAAAAAAAAAGAAAAAAAAAACUAUUGGAGCACUAAAAAAUCUAUUAAUUUUUACAACCUAAGCAUUUCUUUAUAAAUUUUAUUUCUAUGAGGAUAGUGAAUACUGAUCUCGUUUUUCAUAAAUCACAUGCGCAACAGGAAUUAUCCCUUCAGAGAUGAGGAGAUUGAGGAAUCUCGUCCACCUGGAUCUAUCUUUUAAUUGCCUCUAUGGAUAUAUACCUCCAACUCUUGGUCGUCUAAGCAAAUUGGAAAAUUUGAACCUGUCUUGUAAUGCCCUUGAUGGUAAUAUCCCUCCAACUCUUGGUCGUGUAAGCAAAUUGAAAAAUUUGAACUUGUCUGCUAACUCUCUUGCUGGUAAUAUCCCCCCCACUCUAGGUCAUCUAACCCAUCUAACUACUUUGGCUAUUGCUUGGAACCAAAUUAAUGGUUCCAUCCCAUUAAGAAUCGGGAGUUUGAAGGCUCUUCAAGUUCUUGACUUGUCCAUAAAUGAAAUUGAAGGUUCAAUUCCUUCAACACUUGGCCAUUUAAAGAGAUUGAGAAGUUUAGACUUGUCCGGUAACAAUCUUGUUGGUCCAAUCCUUUCGUCUGUGGGUCAUUUGACUCGGCUAACAACUUUUGAUAUGCACUCAAACCGAAUCAAUGGUUCCAUCCCAUUAGAAAUCGGAAAUUUGAACUUUCUUCAAGUUCUUGACCUCUCCUACAACAAACUUGAAGGUUCAAUUCCUUCGACCAUAGCUAGUUUAGUCAACCUAACAUCUUUGUUCUUGUGCAAUAAUAGUCUAACUGGAUCUAUUCCUUCAACACUUGGUCGUUUAAACAGGUUGACAAGUUUAGACUUGUCCGGUAACAAUCUUUUUGGUCCAAUCCCUUCGUCUGUGGGUCAUUUGACUCAGCUGACAACUUUUGAUAUGCACUCAAACCGAUUCAAUGGUUCCAUCCCAUUAGAAAUCGGAAAUUUGAACUUUCUUCAAGUUCUUGAUAUGUCCCACAACAAACUUGAAGGUUCAAUUCCUUCGACCAUAGCUAGUUUAGUCAACCUAACAUCUUUGUUCUUGUGCAAUAAUAGUCUAACUGGAUCUAUUCCUUCAACACUUGGUCGUUUAAACAGGUUGACAAGUUUAGACUUGUCCGGUAACAAUCUUGUUGGUCCAAUCCCUUCGUCUGUGGGUCAUUUGACUCAGCUAACAACUUUUGAUAUGCACUCAAACCGAUUCAAUGGUUCCAUCCCAUUAGAAAUCGGAAAUUUGAACUUUCUUCAAGUUCUUGAUCUGUCCCACAACAAACUUGAAGGUCCAAUUCCUUCGACCAUAGCUAGUUUAGUCAACUUAACAUCUCUGUUUCUGUGCAAUAACAGUCUAACUGGAUUUAUUCCUUCAACACUUGGUCAUUUAAAUAGGUUGACAAGUUUAGACUUGUCCGGUAACAAUCUUGUUGGUCCAAUCCCUUCGUCUCUGGGUCAUUUGACUCAGCUAAUAACUUUUGAUUUGCACUCAAACCGAAUCAAUGGUUCCAUCCCAUUAGAAAUCGGGAAUUUGAAACAUGUUGAAGAUGUGUACCUAUUCAACAACAAACUUGAUGGUCCAAUUCCUCCACAACUCAUGAAUUGCUCAAAGCUGGGGGAAUUACGUUUGGGAAACAACUUGUUAAGGGGAAGCAUCCCGUUAGAGAUCGGCAAACUUAAAGAACUAUAUUAUCUUGAUCUGAGCCAUAACUCCAUUAAUGGUAAAAUACCUUCCCAGCUUGGAGAAAUUCCACGCAUAGAUACCGUGAACCUUUCCAUGAAUAACCUCUCUGGUAGUAUCCCUGAAUCUGUCAUAAUUGUGCCACACUUAUAUGUGUCAGGCAACAAUUUGGAGGUAGAAAUCCCAAAUACUUCGGCAUAUGCGCCACCGCCACAACAGUCUGAAGGCAAUAAAGACAAGCACAAAAAGAUUGCCACUCGAUUGGUUGCAAUUGUUCUUCCUAUGGUCGCAUUGCUUGCCUUGAUAUUCGGAAUCUUGUUUGUCCAUAGACGAAGGGAUAAGAAAGUUGAACCAGUUGAGACAGGAGAAAUCACCAAGUGCGCUGAUGAGUUUGCAAUUUGGAAUUACGAUGGUAGAAUUACAUUUCAAGACAUGAUUGAAGCUACUGAGGAUUUCCAUAUCAAAUACUGCAUUGGAACCGGGGGCUACGGCAGCGUUUACCGAGCACGACUGCCCAGUGGAAAAGUAGUUGCUUUGAAGAAGCUUCACCGUUCAGAAACUGAGGAGUUAGCUUCCCUCGAGAGUUUCCGGAAUGAGGCUCGUCUACUGUCCCAAAUACGGCAUCGAAAUAUCGUAAAGCUUUACGGGUUUUGUUUGCACAGGAAAUGCAUGUUCUUAAUCUAUGAGUACAUGGAAAUGGGAAGCUUGUUCAUUGUUCUGCGCACAGAUGGGGAAGCUGUGGGGUUGGAUUGGGCUAAAAGGGUGAACGUUGUGAAGGGCAUGGCUCAUGCUUUGUCAUACUUGCAUCAUGACUGCACACCACCAAUUGUUCACCGGGACAUAUCAAGCAACAACGUUCUACUCAACUCAGAAUUGGAAGCAUUUGUUGCCGACUUUGGCGUUGCUAGAUUAUUAAAUUUUGACUCAUCCAAUCGAACUCUAUUGGCUGGCACUUAUGGAUAUAUUGCUCCAGGUAAUCUUCUAGCUAUUCUUCUUGUGCUUCUUUAAUUAUUCUUUUAAUUAAUUUCCAUAUGCACUUUGUUAAGUAAGUUUUAAGCAGUUUUAUUUAGUUAGCUACUUAGGUUCGAAUUUUGGAAUAAGUAAGGUGCUGAAAGAUAAAUUUGAACUUUGCCUACCCGUUUAACUUUUUUUUAAAAAAAAAAAAUUACACAGUUUAAAAAUCAAUUAAAAAAAUAUGUUUCUCUGUCAUACCUUGCUGCAGAAGCUCAAAAAUAUAAACAAAUUGCUCUUGUUAUUGUUUAUGGAAACAUCACUAAUAAAGGCUUCUGUUUUCAUACAGAACUUGCCUACACCAUGGUUGUGACGGAAAAAUGUGAUGUUUAUAGCUUUGGAGUGGUGGCACUAGAAGUACUAAUGGGAAAGCAUCCAGGAGAGCUCCUCUCAUCGUCAUCUUGGUCAUUGGAUAAAAAUAUUAAGCUAAUUGAUUUGCUGGACCCACGCCUCUCACCUCCGGUGGAUCAAAAGAUUAGGCAGGAUAUCAUUCUUGUUUCAACAGUAGCAUUUUCAUGCUUGCGUUCUCAACCAAAGUCUCGACCUACAAUGCAACUCGUGUCCAACGAAUUUAUCGCUCGCAAUAAGGCACCAAUGCAAAAACCUUUUCAUGAAAUUUCAAUUUUGGAGCUUAGAAACCAAGAAAUGUAUUUGGUUGAUUAAUGUGAUAUCUAAUUAUGGAUACGUAUAUUUAACUGUUCAUGUAUGUGAUGGGAUUGCUUCUAAUCCUAAUGGAAUUUUCCAAUAAAGGUGACUGUUAAUUGGUUCUGAUGAAAUUAUUAAGUAGUAGCAAUGUAGCAAAUAUUAUGUGUUCGACGAAUUGUCUCCCUUAGUAUUAUUAAUUCUAUUUACACGUUCACUUCCUAUACAUGUUGAAUUGCAAUUAAACGAAUGUGCAAACUACGACAUUAAUCUCUCUGGUAAAGCUAGUGCUGAUAAAAUAAGGUCUGUCUGAUUGUCUCCCUCUGAAUGAGCUGAAUUAAACAGGAUUUUAAGGAAUUUAAGGUUGUAUCUCUACGAGUUAAAAGGGUAAAUUGUCAUUUUAAUUAUUAGUUUAUUUUACAAAUUAUAUAUAUAAACUUUCUCCAGAGCGAGGUUCUUGAUGUCACGUUACUUAAUAUAUUAGUUUCUUCACUCCUUUGUAAAUAUUCACACAAACAUAUAUAAUAAAUUUUUAAUUUAGCCGAUGCGAUCAAACAUCCUGGACCCACCGCUGAUGUUAGGAAGCUUCUGCACAAGUUGUGGUUAGUGAUGUCCCACCAACUGCCUGCCACCACAAGAUAAACUAAUGUAAGGUCAUGAUCAAGAAAAAUUUGCAUUGAGCCGAAGAGUCCAAUGUCAUAAUCAUGCAUCUAUGAAGUGCAAGAGUAGAGAACAACACACGAUCCCCAUUACAGUAUUGUUGCUUGCACUUAUAGGCUCCAUCAAUCAGUACCUUCAAAUCCAUAUAUAAUGAGAUGGAAGAAGGAACUUAAAUUUAUUAUUGUAAUUUUCAACUUUUAAAAUGAUAAAGUAAGUCGCGGCUGGUUCAUUGAAAUUUAAGACAUUCAAAAUGAAGUGCAAGAGCAAAAUAAAAGUUAAGAGCUUUACCUUCAGCAUAACAAGGAGUCUGCUGUAUCAGGCCGACUUUAUCUGCCUCUAUAGACCACCACCUCUUCAUCAUCAGCCUUCCCAAUAACACUUUCUGCUGUUUCUUCAUUUGAUUCUUCGACCACUACAGCUUCACCUUCAACAUCCUCGGUAGGCUCUGAUGGUGUCAUAAUUGUUGUGCUGGUGGUCAGGGGGACAGCUUCAUUAUUUUUCCUAGAUCCAUUUGUCAAACUUCACGACAGCAGAGUGAAUACCAACUUGACAAACUUCACACCAGAAUUCGAAAUUCUCUCUAAGAGGAAGUUUUCUCUUCAUCGUCUCUCCAGUCGGUAUUCCAUUUGUCAUCUUCUGAGUGUUUGCAUUCAAGUCCUUCUUCUUUAGCAGCUCCUUAUUUUUGUUCUCUGAAUCUUCUUCACUCUCCACUUUCUGGUCUAAACCAACAACAGUUUUAAUAGCUUUAACUGAUUCCUCUUCUACUUUAGCUUUCAUUUUUUGCCCAGCACUUUCUGGUCUUAACCCACUUUCUGGUCUACUUGUCUUUCCAGAAUCUUUUGAUGUCGAUGAAGAUGAGGUAGUGCACAUCUUCUGAGCUCCAAUUAGGUCCGCUUCCUCCGCCUUGUGCUUCUCACCUUGAAGAUGCUCAUCUUGACCGCCCUCCACUUUCUGGUCUAAAUCAACGAUAUUUUUAUUCGGUGUAACUGAUUCCUCUUCUAGAGUAGCCUUAAUUUCCUGGCCAGCACUAUCUCUGCUUUCAGUAGAGUUUUUUGAAGUGGAGUUACUGCACAUCUUCUCAUCUCCAAGUAGUCCUUCUUCCUGGCCUUGUGCUUCUUGCCGUGAAGAUGCUCAUCUAGAUCUCUUGUUAGAGUGCAAUUUAUGCACUAAUUUUGCAUUGUUUACUUCUCUUAAUAUCGAUGUUUUGCACUAAAUAAUAAUGAUUUACUUGUGUUUUACUUUUGUAGGUGCAAUUCUAUUGAUUUGUGAUAAAAUUGAGCUAUAAGAUGAUGUUUAAAGAUGAUUGUUCUCUUGGAGAAAUUAUGAGCGGCAGAAGAACUUUGUUGAUAAGGCGUGGGCGCGUGCUGUCAACUACGGACCUGCAGUUUUUAGUUUAACGUGUUUUGUAUUUUUGGUUAUUUUUGUAAUUACGAAUUUAAUAUUUCAAAUAUUAGUAUUUUAUUUUAAAUAGAAUUCUAGAGAAGAAGAGAGAGAGAGUAUUUAAGGGAGGAAUCUAUUGUGAAAAAGGCAGAUUUGGAUUGGAGAAAAAGAAAGAAACCCUAGAUCUUAAUUUUUCUCUUCUCUCUAUGAAGAACUAAACCUAUUUUUUUGGUUGAAGGAUAAUGAAGCUUUGAUUCAUCACUACUGUGAGAUCUUUCUUGUGCUUUAAUUGUUUUAUUGCUUUUUGGGUAUUUAUUUAUUCUCUGAAUUAUUUUCAUGAUUAUGUUUGUUAAUUAGGUAAUUGGCCACUAUUUAAUUAUCAACUUAAUUUAUUGUCAAUUAAAGGAUUCAUCGUAUGAAGAAUUUAAUGUUUGUGACAAAUAACAUAGCAGAGAGUUGUGUUGUGAGAAUAAACAAUCUAAUUUAAAUGAAUCAUCAUAUGUGUUGAUUAGGAUUUGGGUCUCUCUGAUUUUUCAGGCUGUCAAUUGAUUAAAUCCUAUGAUCGUAUCUAGGGUUGUCUAUUGAUUAGGGAAAUAACCAACGGUCGUACCUUGGUUAUCGACUAGUUAAGGAGAGAUUUGCUAUUAGAGGGUCUCAGUAGCUAUAACCGGUCUAUUCAUAAGUAAUAAUAAUCUAUAUUUGAAUCAAUGAUCAGUAGUCGAAUCAAGCUGAGUUAAUUCCUUCAACCAGAGCUUUCUCCAAUUUGAAUCACAACUUUAAUUUACAUUCUCGUUAUUUUAAUUUGAUUUUUAUUAUUGUCAACAAUUCUCCCAUUUUACGUUUUAUGUUUCAAAAGGAUUUAAAUAAUUACCGAUCUCUGUGGACACGACCUUGCUCAAUCACUAUACACAAUUUAUUUAGAGUAGGAAUUUAUUUUUGUUGGCUUCGACACCCAUCAAAUUUUGGCGCCGUUGCCGGGGAUUGGUGUCAUUUAUUUAAUUAUUUUUACGUUUUACUUGGUGUAUGGUUCGUUCUUCUCGUACAGGUACACUUUCGUUUGAUCCUGAAAUUGAGAAGACAGCUCGCCAGCUGAGACAGCAGACAAAGCGAGCUAAGCAACGAUCCUCGUCGCCUUUGCUUUCUGAAACAGAUACGGUGCCUGAUUUAGUUGAAUCAUCUAGCGAUUCAGAAGAACAAGUGAUGGAUAGAGCUGCACCUGUAGAAAGAACUCUUAGAGAGUUAGCUGAACCAGACUUGAAUCAACAACCACUCUGCAUUCAAUAUGUAGACUUGGAGGUAAAUUUUGAAUUAAAGUCUGGUCUUAUUCAUUUAUUACCCAAGUUUCAUGGUUUUGCAGGUGAAGAUCCUCAUAAACAUCUUAAGGAGUUUCAUGUUGUGUGUUCAAGUAUGAGACCACAAGGCGUGACUGAAAAGCAGAUUAAGCUGCGUGCUUUUCCGUUCUCUGUAGAUGGGCUAGCUAAAGACUGGUUGUAUUACUUGCCUCCUGGAUCGAUUACAACGUGGAAUGAUUUGAAGAAGCAGUUCCUCGAGAAGUACUUUCCUGCUUCAAGAGCUGCCAACAUAAAAAAAGACAUUUGUGGGAUUAGACAACUUCCUGGGGAGACUUUGUAUGAGUAUUGGGAGCGAUUCAAACAAUUGUGUGCCAGCUGUCCUCAGCAUCAGAUUUCUGAUCAACUUCUUAUUCAAUAUUUUUACGAAGGACUAUCAUUGAUGGAUAGAAGUAUGAUAGAUGUUGCUAGUGGAGGCGUGUUGGUGAACAAGACUCCUACUCAAGCAAGGGAGUUGAUAUCAAAUAUGGCUGCCAACGCACAACAAUUUGGCAGCAGGCAAGAUCCCACUUCAAGGAAGGUGAAUGAGGUAAAUAUUUCUUCUGUUGAACAACGUUUAGAUAAACUCACUUCUCUUGUGGAAAAGUUUGUUGUAGGUAAUGUGCAACAGGUGAAGACUUGUGGUAUUUGUUACAAUAUGGGUCAUUCAACUGAUAUGUGUCCUACACUUCAAGAAGAACCCGUUGAACAAGCCAAUGCAGUUGGAGGAUUUCCAGGCAUGCCUCAGAGGAGGUAUGAUCCUUAUGCACAAACAUACAAUCCGGGAUGGAAAGAUCAUCCCAACUUCAGCUAUGGAGUUAGGCCGUCAGGAUUCCCACAACAGUAUCCACCAAGACAACCAGCACCUCCACAGUCAACCUCCAAGUCAGGUAUAUCUCUUGAAGAAAUUGUUAAAUCGCUUGCGACUAACACUCAACAAUUUCAGCAGGCAACUACAACAAGCAUUCAGAACUUGGAGAACCAAAUGAGUCAAUUGGCGACUACAGUGAGCCGUCUAGAGUCUCAAGUAUUAGGGAGAUUGCCUUCACAAUCUGAGGUGAAUCCAAAGCAAAACGUUAGUGCUGUCAUCCUUAGAAGUGGGAAGGAGUUGCAAGAGCCUAGUAAGAAAGUGACAGAGCAUGUAGAAGAUGAGCUUGAGAAGAAUGAAUUGAUGCCUCAAUCUCAAGAUGCACAACCCACCAGAGCGAAACCCCUACCUAUUGUGAUACCUCCUCCUUUUCCAAGCCGGUUUGCAAAAUCCAAGAAGGAGGAACAAGAUAAAGACAUCAUUGAGACAUGUCGCAAGGUUGAGGUAAAUAUCCCUUUAUUAGAUGCUAUAAAAUAAAUACCUCGAUAUGCUAAAGUCCUUAAGGAACUAUGCACCUCUAAGAGAAAAUUAAGAGGAGAUGAAAAAGUUCAUAUGGGGGAGAAUGUUUCAGCAGUUCUCCAAAAGAAACUACCUCCUAAGUGCAAGGAUCCAGGUAUGUUUACUAUCCCUUGCAAAAUUGGUAAUGUCAAAGUUGAAAAGGCUAUGUUAGAUCUAGGAGCUUCUAUUAAUGUCAUGCCUCGUUCCAUUUAUUCAUCUUUGAAUGUUGGUCCAUUAAAAGAAACUGACGUGAUAAUUCAACUAGCCGAUAUGUCUAAUGCAUAUCCUGAUGGGGUAUUAGAAGAUGUCCUAGUACAAGUUAAUGAGUUGGUUUUUCCUACUGAUUUUUAUGUACUUGAUAUGGAAGAGGAUAACUUCUCUAAUUCUGUCCCAAUUUUGCUAGGAAGACCUUUUCUUAAGACUGCUAGGACUAAAAUGGAUGUACAUAAAGGGACUCUCACUAUGGAAUUUGAUGGAGAGGUUAUAGAAUUCAAUAUGAAUGAUGCCAUGAAAUAUCCUAGUGAGGAACAUUCGGUAUUUUCUGUGGAUGUUAUUAACCCUAUACCGCAGGAAGUUUUUUUCAAGGAAAAGACGAAGACAUUUCAUGAUAGAAUGAUUUUGAGAAAGGAGUUCUCUGUUGGUCAAAAAGUUCUUCUUUUUCAUUCUAAGCUUAAACUUUUUCCAAGUAAAUUACGUUCUUGCUGGGUUGGACCUUUUAUUGUUACUAAUGUUUUUCCUCAUGGUGCAGUUGAGAUUCGGAGUCCGACCUCUGACAAAGUUUUUGAAGUUAACGGUCAUCGUUUAAAACCUUUUUAUGAAGGUUUUUUGGUGAAUAUUGUGGAGGAAAUGGCUCUCGAGGGUCCUAUUUAUGGAGAUUGAUGCAUAAAUGUGUCUAGCCAAAGACAUAAAACAAAGACGCUUUUUGGGAGGCAACCCAAAUGAUUUGUUUAUUUUGGUUUUUGUUUUAUCGUCUUUUAGUUUUGAUUCAAAUUUAAAAAAAAAAAAAAAUUUUUGUGUUUGCUUAUUUUGGUCAGAAGUAAAAUAGUUUUAAGACGUGCCCACGUGCUUAUUAAAAAAGUACUUCUGAAAUUUUUGGUGUCUCAAAGUGAUUCAUCACUAAAAAAAUAAAAAAAUUAAUAAUUUACUGUUCACAAAAUUCCUAAUUUUCCAGAUCUUGUUUUCUUCUCCAGCCGCUUGCAGCACACCAGCAGCAAACCAGCCUGCCGGAAAACGCACCACCCCGCGCGCGCAGCACCAGCAUCCCGUGUCUCGCAAGUCCAACCAGCGCACAACGCAAGCCCCAGCAGCGCGCAACGUAAGCCCCAGCUGCGCGCGCAGCGCGAACCAGCCCCAGCCCGAGCACGCAACCCAACAAGCGUCACCAGCGCAGCACCAGCAAUCCCCCAGUGCACAGCAACAGCCGCAGUACGCAGAUCCAGCAUCACCAGUUCGCAGCAUCAGUCCCAGCCCGCACGCGCAACACAACCAGCACCAACCCGCGCAGCACAACCAUCCGCGCGCAACUGAACCAACAGCCGUGUACCCGCAAGCUCCAGUCGAGCAGCAAUAGUCCGCAACCAGCCUACGACCUGCAUUCCAGCCGCGUGAAUCGAAAUCCGUGACAAGAUGGAGCAGAAUUUGGCCGCAUACUUCAAGAGUGUGGGAUUUAUCCCACCAUUCCCGCCAAGCCCAUAGACGUUAUGAGGAUCAAAGUUCACAAUUCAGGGAAGUUUUUGCCUUUAAUCUUUUAUCCUUACGCUUUAAUUUUUAUGUGAGCUUUAAUUAUCUUACAUUGGGGACAAUGUAAGUUCUUGGUGUGGGGGAGGGAUUUUUGCAUUAUUGAUGUCUGGAAUUAUUAUUUUCACUCUACUCAUCCUUAAAUGAUUUUGGAGUUAGUAUGCUUCAUAUAUUAUUAUUUUUCUUUUCUUUUCUUUCUCAUCACUCACAUUUUAUCUUUCACUUUUCAUAUUACUACAUACAUCUUUCUCACUUCUUAUCAUUUUUACCUUUUCUUCACUCAUACCUUCUUCUCAUUCUACACCACUAUUGAUGGUUGAUUCAUUUGAAGAGUGUACAUGAUUUGAUGGCAAAUUUACCAACUUUGUGAGGAUUUGAGCCUAUGAGCAACCACUUUGCUCUAAUUAUUUUUAUUAUGUGAAUAUCAAUCUUAGUUUGUUUAUUCUAGAACUUGCUUUGUUAUGCAUGUUGAAGCCACAUUACGGAAUUUUUUGCAUUAAAAUGAUAAGGGUAAACCAUUUACCAUUUUUCUAUUCUCGCAUUUUUUUUUUCUCUACCUGAAGACCUUGAUUUACUAUCUUUGUUUGAGCUUUAACCAUUACCCAUCUAAUUCUCUCCAUCUACUUAACCAUUUUUCUUCUUUUUGAGCCUCAAUUUUAAGGAGAUUUUUGGACUCAUUGUGUUGAUAUAUUUUGUUGCUUUUUCUACCUUGUAUUAAAGUUUCUCAAUUAGAUCAACAAGCAUUAUGCUUGAAUUAAAUUGUGCAAGGUUCGUUUCUUUUGUUUGAUUAAAAAAAAAAACAACAACAAAAAGAAAAAAAAAAAGAAAAAGAAAAAUCGAAAAAAAAGAAAAAAAAAAAGAGAAAAAGAAAAAUCGAAAAAAAAGAAAAAAAGAAAAAUCGAAAAAAAAGAAAAAAAAAGAAAAAAAAAAGUUUACAUUCUUGGUGACUUGAGUAGAAAUAAGCAUUUUGAUAUUAUAAAUUCAUUCAAUGAGUUCAUUCUUCUCAUUUUGAUCUCUUUUUCUCUUUCAUAGACCUUUCUUUUUCAUUUAACCUAUUUAACCCCAUUACAACCCUUUUAAGACCCUUAGAUUUUUGCAUUUUCUUCAUGUUUUGUGGAUUGAGAUGUGAUAUAUGAGCAAGCUUAUGGUAAUAGCAUUCUUUGAUUUGAUUUGAGUGAAUACAUGACACCCUAAACACUUUGAGUGCAUAGAGUGAAGUUAUUGAGACUAUUAAAUUUUGUUGCACUUGAAUUUUGAAUGGAUCUUCUUGGUGGUUGAAUGUUCUUAUUCUAUCUUAUGAAAUUCUUUGCUCUAAAAUCCUUGUCUCUCGAAUGUUGAUCGACUUAAUUUCUUGAUGUAUGCUUGCUUAAAAUUAUUUUUGGAUGAGUUGAGAUGAAAAUUGAGUGGAGAUUUGGGAUUAGUCUUGAGUUAUAUGCUUGAGGACAAGCAUCAUCUUGGUGUGGGGGAUUUUGUUAGAGUGCAAUUUAUGCACUAAUUUUGCAUUGUUUACUUCUUUUAAUAUCGAUGUUUUGCACUUAAUAAUAAUGAUUUACUUGUGUUUUACUUUUGUAGGUGCAAUUCUAUUGAUUUGUGAUAAAAUUGAGCUAUAAGAUGAUGUUUAAAGAUGAUUGUUCUCUUGGAGAAAUUAUGAGCGGCAGAAGAACUUUGUUGAUAAGGCGUGGGCGCGUGCUGUCAACUACGGACCUGCAGUUUUUAGUUUAACGUGUUUUGUAUUUUUGGUUAUUUUUGUAAUUACGAAUUUAAUAUUUCAAAUAUUAGUAUUUUAUUUUAAAUAGAAUUCUAGAGAAGAAGAGAGAGAUAGUAUUUAAGGGAGGAAUCUAUUGUGAAAAAGGCAGAUUUGGAUUGGAGAAAAAGAAAGAAACCCUAGAUCUUAAUUUUUCUCUUCUCUCUAUGAAGAACUAAACCUAUUUUUUUGGUUGAAGGAUAAUGAAGCUUUGAUUCAUCACUACUGUGAGAUCUUUCUUGUGCUUAAUUGUUUUAUUGCUUUUUGGGUAUUUGUUUAUUCUCUGAAUUAUUUUCAUGAUUAUGUUUGUUAAUUAGGUAAUUGGCCACUAUUUAAUUAUAAACUUAAUCUAUUGUCAAUUAAAGGAUUCAUCGUAUGAAGAAUUUAAUGUUUGUGACAAAUAACAUAGCAGAGAGUUGUGUUGUGAGAAUAAACAAUCUAAUUUAAAUGAAUCAUCAUAUGUGUUGAUUAGGAUUUGGGUCUCUCUGGUUUUUCAGGCUGUCAAUUGAUUAAAUCCUAUGAUCGUAUCUAGGGUUGUCUAUUGAUUAGGGAAAUAACUAACGGUUGUACCUUGGUUAUCGACUAGUUAAGGAGAGAUUGGCUAUUAGAGGGUCUCAGUAGCUAUAACCGGUCUAUUCAUAAGUAAUAAUAAUCUAUAUUUGAAUCAAUGAUCAGUAGUUGAAUCAAGCUGAGUUAAUUCCUUCAACCAGAGCUUUUUCCAAUUUGAAUCACAACUUUAAUUUACAUUCUCGUUAUUUUAAUUUGAUUUUUAUUAUUGUCAACAAUUCCCCCAUUUUACGUUUUACGUUUCAAAAGGAUUUAAAUAAUUACCGAUCUCUGUGGACACGACCCUGCUCAAUCACUAUACACAAUUUAUUUAGAGUAGGAAUUUAUUUUUGUUGGCUUCGACACCCAUCAUCUCUCUUGCUAGUGGUACUGACCUGACAGAGGCAACAACUCCAAUCCAUGGGUUUCUUUGAACUCGUCAACAGGAGCUAUCCAGAACCUGCUGGUAGUGUGGCAGCUUCCUGCUUUGAUCCACAAAGAUUGGGAUAGGGCUUAACCUGCUGGGCUUGACAACCCUCCUCUUUCUGGUCUAAACCAACAACAGUUCUAUUAGCUUUAACUUAUUCCUCUGCUGCUUUAUUCUUCAUUUCUUGGCCAGCACUAUCUCUGCUUUCUGUAGAUUUUUUUAUCCACUUCUGAGCUCCAAGUAGUUCUUCGUCCUUGGCCUUCUGCUUCUUACCUUGAGGAUGCUUAUCUACACCAACCUCCCCUUUCUGGUCUAGGCCAAUAACAGUUUUUUAGCUUUAACUGAUUCCUCUUGUACUUUAGUGUUCAUUUCUUGGCCAACACCAUCUCUGCUUUCAGUAUAUUUUUCUGACGUGGAUGAAGUGGAGUUACUGCACAUUUUCUUAUCUCUAAGUAGUCCUGAAACCUUGGCCUUAUGCUUCCUACCUUGAAGAUGCUCAUCUAGACCUCUCUUGGUAGUAGCACUGACCCGACAGAGGGCACAACUCCACUCCUUGGGUUUGUUAGAAUUCGUCGAAGGAAGCUCUCCAAAACCUGCAGGUGGUGCGGUAGCUUUCUGAUUUGAUCGACAAAGAUUGGAAUUGGGCUUAACCUGCAGGGUUUGACCUUCCUCCACUUUCUGGUCUAAACCAACAACAGUUUUAUUACCUUUAAGUGAUUCCUUUUCUACAUUAGACUUCAUUUCUUGGUCAGUACUAUCUCUGCUUUCCGUAUAUUUUUUUGAAGUGGAGUUAAUGCACAUCUUCAAAUCUCUAAGUAGUUUUUCCUUGGCCUUGUGCUUCUUACCUUGGAGAUGCAGGUCUAGAUCUCUCUCGGUAGUAGCAUUGACCUGACAGAGGGCACAACUCUACUCCUUGGGUUUGUUUGAACCCGCUGAAGGAAGCUCUCCAGUACCUGCAAGUGGAGUGGCAGCUUUCUACUUUGAUCCACAGGUAUUGGAAUCAGGCUGAGGCUGGAAAUGAUACAGAAACCAUUAUGCCUUAUAUUAGUUAUCACAUCAAUGGUAAAAAUGAAAAAAAUUCCCAGUGAGCUCCAUCAUUUGCUAUUGUAGUACAGAUGAAAGAAUUUGUUUACAAAAUCGUUAAUACAACCAGAAUCCUUGUUAAUUAACAACAUUUCCAGCACUGAACUAGGAAAAUCUUUCCUUCCAAAAAACAGAAAAAAAAGGAUUAUGUUUGAAUAGGAUUCUGAAAGACUUUCUUAAUAAUCUGGACUAGAAGAGAUGACAUUAACACUUACGAGCAUUAUAAUUCAUAAUUUGAGGAAACACCAUUUCAAUGGAGCCUCCAGCCCAACGCACAUACACAAAGACAAGCAAUAAAAUUUAAAAUAAGAAAUUACCAGGAAAAAGAAACAUCAGAAAUCAAUCUGUACAAGUUCAUAUGACACUUCAUGGUAAACAUAUGUAACCUCUCUUGGAACCUUAGCUUGCGAGAAGCCACAUUUGCUCCGGGUUUUCGUUCAAAAAAGGUUUCAGACACACAUUGAUUCCAGGCUGUGGGGGAUCAUAUGUCCUCACAGCCAAAUUUUAAAGCCACAUACAUUGGCAUUUGCACGCAUAGUCAAGAGUUGCGCAACUCUCUCGUCUACUUGAGUUGACCACGCAAACUGAACUUGCGAACUUUGACCAACAUAAAUAACCAAAUGCUAUGAUGUUUGGAACUAAAUCAAGAUAGUGAGUCCAAAUGUACUCCCCAACAAACUUGUCACCUGGGCAUCAAGACCAAGUCUUUUGGCACUAAGAGUGGACAUGGGAAUCUCUAAGCAACGACCUCCUAAUAACAUACAAAUCCAGGUUACUGAUAAUGCUCAUCGAUUUAAAGGCUUACAAGUUUACAAAGAAGUAAGUAAAGAAUUUGAUAAUAAUUGAAACAGAGUUCGAACGGAUCAAUAAUAAUAAAGAUAAAUUUAAUCUAUAAUAUCAACUAAAAAGUUGUGAUAUAUAUAUUUUUUUCUAAUUUGAUUUUUUGUGCAGCAUCAGUUCUGUGGAAAAUCGGUGCCUUUUGUAUCAAGUAAAGAUGCCCUACAGAAUGCAACUCUUCGUGGAUAUUUCAACUCUGCUCAAGCCUUUGGCUGAUUAUGCGGAGAUUCUCUUACACAUCAAGAAAAAUUUAUCGGCCGAAAUGUCUCCCAUUAUCGUUGUCGGAGCAUCUUAUGGAGGAUCUUUUGAUUGACAUCAUGUCAUCUGUCACCUUAUUUUAAAUAUUUGACUAAAAUCUGGAUUACGCCUCAAUUAUUAUGAUACAAUUUUAUUUUAUAUUCCUACUAACAGAUACUCUUUGAGAGUUACUCGUGUGGGUUUGUUAUUGUUAUCAUCAGUGCUCGCUGCAUGGUUUCGCUUGAAGUAUCCUCAUAUUGCUUUAGGAGCAGUUGCCUCUUCAGCCCCAAUUCUCUACUUUGAUAAUAUCACACCAUCGAACGCAUAUUAUGAUCUUGUCAGCAAGGAUUUUAGGGUAAGAAAAUAAUAUUAAUUAAUUAAAAUUCUAUAUAUGUAUGAUUAUAUUUUCUUGUUAAAAUUUGACUAUUGAAUUUUGAAUACUAAUGAUGCAGGAAGCUAGUGAGAGUUGCUACAAGACCAUCAAACAGUCCUGGGCUGAAAUCGAUGAAGCCGCUGCUGGAAAAAAAUGGACUUACUGUUCUCUCUUAAAAGUUCAAAACCUGCAAGUAAUUGAAUCAUAUUACUUUUAUAACUGCCGAUAUAUAUCCAUCUGAUUUUCCUUUAAUUACAGUGCAAUGUUAUUGUAGUAUCAUUACAUAACUGUCUAUAUAUAUCCAAUUAAUGAUCUGUCAUCCUCAAGGUAUAUUUACAUUUCAGUUAAUGUGUAAUAUACGUACAUAGUAAAAUCUGGCAUUUUAUUUAAUAAGUUGCUUAUAAAAAACAAUCUCAUACUUAUUUUAAGAGUUAUUGUCAAAAUGGAGAAAAUAUGAAUUAAACUUUUAACAAAUUUAUCAAACAUCAUUUUUAUCAAAACUUAUAAAAUAAACUACUUAUAGUAUUUCAACCAUAAUUCCAAAUAGGACAUUAGGCUUUGUGCAGAAUAAAGUUAGGCAUUGAAUAUUUGUACACGUAUAAACUAAAUAUCUAGAUUCUAGACUGAAGAAACAACUUGACUUUCAUUCUUUGUUUUCCACAGCAUAUGUCAAGACGUAAGUUCCAAAUAAUUGCUGACUAGGGGAAGCAGUCUUUAAAGUCAAGGUGAUUAGAUUAGCAUGUUUCGGCAUUACGUAUCGGAGGGGUUCCCUGCCCUCAAUGUAAAAAGAUGCCUUAAAAUUAAAUAUUUAAAUAAUAUGGUUGAUGGUUGUCGAAGCCAACAAAAAUAAAUUCCUACUCUAAAUAAAUUGUGUAUAGUGAUUGAGCAGGGUCGUGUCCACAGAGAUCGGUAAUUAUUUAAAUCCUUUUGAAACGUAAAACGUAAAAUGGGGGAAUUGUUGACAAUAAUAAAAAUCAAAUUAAAAUAACAAGAAUGUAAAUUAAAGUUGCAAUUCAAAUUAGAGAAAGCUCUGGUUGAAGGAAUUAACUCAGCUUGAUUCGACUACUGAUCAUUGAUUCAAAUAUAGAUUAUUAUUACUUAUGAAUAGACCAGUUAUAGCUACUGAGAUCCUCUAAUAGCCAAUCUCUCAUUAACUAGUCGAUAACCAAGGUACGACCGUUGGUUAUUUCCCUAAUCAAUAGACAACCCUAGAUACGAUCGUAGGAUUUAAUCAAUUGACAGCCUGAAAAACCAGAGAGACCCAAAUCCUAAUCAACACAUACGAUGAUUCAUUUAAAUUAGAUUGUUUAUUCUCACAACACAACUCUCUGCUAUGUUAUUUGUCACAAACAUUAAAUUCUUCAUACGAUGAAUCCUUUAAUUGACAAUAGAUUAAGUUGAUAAAUAAAUAGUGGCCAAUUACCUAAUUAACAAACAUAAUCAUGAAAAUAAUUCAGAGAAUAAACAAAUACCCAAAAAGUAAUAAAACAAUUAAAGCAUAAGAAAGAUCUCACAGUAGUGAUGAAUCAAAGCUUCAUUAUCCUUCAACCAGAAAAAUAGGUUUAGUUCUUCAUAGAGAGAAGAGAAAAGUUUAGAUCUAGGGUUUCUUUGUUUUUCUCCAAUCCCCCUUUUUCACAAUAGAUUCCUCUCUUAAAUACUCUCUCUCUCUUCUCCUCUAGAAUUCUAUUUAAAAUAAAAUACUAAUAUCUGAAAUAUUAAAUUCGUAAUUAUAAAAAUAACCAAAAAUACAAAACACGUUAAACUAAAAACUGCAGGUUCGUAGUUGACAGCACGCGCCCACGCCUUAUCAACAAAGUUCUUCUGACGCUCAUAAUUUCUCCAAGAAAACAAUCACCCUUAAAUAUCAUCUUGUAACUCAAUUUUAUCACCAAUCAAUAUAAUUGCACCUACAAAAGUAAAACACAAGUAAAUCAUUAUUAUUAAGUGCAAAACAUCGAUAUUAAGGGAAGUAAACAAUACAAAACUAGUGCAUAAAUUGCACUCUAACAAUGGCAUUCAUUAAAUUUAAAAAUAUGAAAAAUAUAUAAAAUACAUAAAUAAUAUAUAAAAAAAAAACUUUUUUUAAAGUGCGCAGAGGUUUGAACGGCAACUAUAGGAUCGUAUCACAUUGAAUUCGUGUACUUAGGACGGGGCACGGAAGAGAGAGCAUUUUGGUUUAUAUUUUACUCAUAUACACGAGUAAUUAUGUACAAACCUUUCAUGCCUUUGCUAUCUUUUUCAUGUGGGACAAAUAUAUUUUCCUUUACUUUUCUAAUUCCAUGAAUUUACUUUGAGUAACAAUUUCUCAUUUAUCUAAGGGUUAUUUUGAUUAUAUAAAUAAAAUCAUUCUGAAGUAUUUAUGGAGGAACAUCUGAAACAACAGAUAAGUCUCACUCCAAAUCACGCAUCAAAUAGUAACUUGUGCUAUAUUUCCAACACUUUUUGCUUCUUUUCCUUGUUUGAUUGCAUGAAAAAAAUUGAGUGCAAUGAAACUUUUAUCUUCUUUUGUCUUUGAUGUUUUGGUGUAAAAAAAAUAAAAUUAAGUGGGAUAUUAGGUAGCCCAUGAAUUUCCAUAUAGUUUGCAUGUUGCAAAAGGAGUUUUGUAACUAUUUUAAAAAAUAAAGAGAUUAUUUUUAUUAUUUUGUCAAAUCACAGAAGUCUACACAUUCUUUUCUCCACCAGCUUAUUUAUAAUAAUACACCUACAAGUUUUUUUUAUACUUAAAUUUAUACAAAGAUAUGAUUAGUCUUGUUUAUUUUUCUAUUUGAGUCAUAUUUUACAACAACAAUCCUUCGAGCUUUUUUUUUCUUUAUUAUUUUGGGUAAUAUUUAAUAUCUUAAUAGCGCUAUUAAUUAUUUCUAAUAUUGUCCAUAUUAUCUCAUGUUUCUGCAAAGUUGUUCAAAUAGAUCUACACCUCACAAAUACAGGCCGAUAAGGUUAUAUCUCCAUGAUUGAAUCCAUCCAGAGAAAGACAUUGACUCACACUAUUUGAAAACGCGUAUUGGAAGUUAACACUGGGAGGUUGCAAAACAAUUAAUUCUUAUAUAAAUGCUUUGCUGAGAAUCAAACAGCUCAAUCAACCGAAAACCAUUAUAAACAUGGCAGCAGCAUCCACUGUUUCGAGAUUGGUGGUCAUUUUAAUUUUAAUAAAUGUUGGUGCUAUAAGUGAUACGACAAUAUCUGUAACGGCAUCAGCUGCAGGAUUAUUGUCGUCACCCAUACUGUUAGAAAGGGAAGCUUUACUUGCUACCGGCUGGUGGGUCAACAAUUGGGCGACGUCGGGCAACUAAACGUCCGAUCAUUGUAAGUGGACUGGCGUCAGUUGCAAUUCAGCGGGAAGCGUAAUCGGGGUCAGCUUACUCUGGUAUGAAAAUGAUAACAUCAACGGAGAGCUCGGUCGUUUCAAAUUCUCUUGCUUUCCCAAUCUCAGAAGUUUCAAAAUUCGUUCAAAUUAUCUUCUCUCUGGGAGCAUUCCAUCUGAAAUUACUGCUCUUUCAACAAUCCGAACUCUUGAACUGACCUCCAACGGCCUUACCGGUAAGCUGUGAAACUUCACCAUAUAUAUAUAUAUGUAUGUAUAAAAUCGCGCUGCUGCUUAAAGCUGGCGUCUGUUUUUACAACACUGAAGAAGUGUGAGUCGUCCGCACUUGAGCUUGACUCUCCCUCUAUGUAAUUUUUUUUAAAGAAGAUAGUGAAUACUGAUCUCGUUUUUCAUAAAUCACAUGCACAACAGGAAUUAUCCCUUUAGAGAUGGGGCGAUUAAGGAAUCUCGUCCACCUGGAUCUAUCUGAUAAUCACCUCAUGGGACAUAUCCCUCCAACUCUCGGUCGUCUAAGCAAAUUGAAAAUUUUGAACUUGUCUUUUAACUCCCUUGUCGGUAAUAUCCCAUCCAAUGUAGGUCAUCUAACCCAGCUAACUACUUUGGCUAUUGCCUCAAACCGAAUGAAUGGUUCCAUCCCAUUAGGAAUCGGGAAUUUGAAGGUUCUUCAAGUUCUUGACCUGUCCAGAAAUGAAAUUGGAGGUUCAAUUCCUUCAACACUUGGCCAUUUAAAGUGGUUGAGAAGUGUAGACUUGUCCCAAAACAAAUUUGUUGGCCCAAUCCCUUCGUCUCUGGGUCAUUUGACACAGCUAAUUACUUUGAAUAUGUACAACAACAAACUUGAUGGCCCAAUUCCUCCAGAACUCAUGAAUUGCUCAAAGCUGAGGAUAUUAAAAUUGGGAAAUAUUAUCUUGAUCUAAGCGGUAACUUCAUUAAUGGUAAAAUACCUUCCCAACUUGGAGAAUUUCCACGCAUAGACACCGUGGACCUUUCCAUGAAUAACCUUUCCGGUGGAAUCCCUGUAUUUGUCAGAAAAGUGCCACACUUAGAUGUGUCAGGCAAUAAAUUCGGAGGAGAAAUCCCAACUACUUUGGCAAAUGCGCCACCGCCACAUCACAAAACGAUUGCCACUCGCUUGGUUGCAAUUAUUCUUGCUAUGGUCGCAUUCCUUGCCUUGAUAUUUGGAAUCUUGAUUAUCCAUAGACGAAGGGAUAAGGAAGUUGAACCAACUGGGACAGGAGAAAUUACCAAGUGCGCUGAUGAGUUUGUAAUUUGGAAUUACGAUGGUAGAAUUACAUUUCAAGACAUGAUUGAAGCCACUGAGGAUUUCGAUAUCAAAUACUGCAUUGGAACCGGAGGCUACAGCAGCGUUUACAGAGCACGGCUGCCCAGUGGAAAAGUGGUUGCUUUGAAGAAGCUUCACCGUUCAAAAACUGAGGAGUUAGCUUCCCUCGAGAGUUUCCGGAAUGAGGCUCGUCUACUGUCCCAAAUACGGCAUCGAAAUAUCGUAAAGCUUUACGGCUUUUGUUUGCACAAGACAUGCAUGUUCUUAAUCUAUGAGUACAUGGAAAUGGGAAGCUUGUUCUGUGUUCUACGCACAGAUGAGGAAGCUGUUGGGUUGGAUUGGACUAAAAGGGUGAACAUUGUGAAGGGUAUGGCUCAUGCUUUGUCAUACUUGCAUCAUCACUGCACACCACCAAUUGUUCACCGGGACAUAUCAAGCAACAACAUUCUACUCAACUCAGAAUUAGAAGCAUUUGUUGCGGACUUUGGCAUUGCUAGAUUGUUAAAUUUUGACUCAUCCAACCGAACUCUUUUAGCUGGCACUUUUGGAUAUAUUGCUCCAGGUCAUCCUCUAGCUAUUCCUCUUAUGCAUCUUUAAUUAUCCUCUUAAUUAAUUUUAUAUAUACUCUGCCAAAUAGUUUUUAAGCAGCUUUAUUUAGGUCACUACUUGGUUCGAAUUUUGAAAAUGCUAAGGGGCUAAAAAUAAAUUUAAACUUUGCCUACCCCUUUUCCUUUUAAAACACACACACUGAACAUAAGUUAAAACAUAAGUUUCUUUGUCAUAACUUGCUGCGGAAGCUAAAAAACAUGAACAAAUUGUUCUUGUUAUUAUUUAUGGAAACGUUACUAAUGAAGGCCUUUGUUUUCCUAUAGAACUUGCCUACACCGUGGUUGUGACAGAGAAAUGUGAUGUUUAUAGCUUUGGAGUGGUGGCACUAGAAGUACUAGUGGGAAGGCAUCCAGAAGCGCUCCUCUCAUCGUCAUCUUCAUCAUUGGAUAAAAAUAUAAAGCUGAUUGAUUUGUUGGACCCACGCCUCCCGGCUCCGGGGGAUCAAAUGAUUACGCAGGAUAUCAUUCUUGUUUCAAUAGUAGCAUUUUCAUGCUUACGUUCUCAACCAAAGUCUCGACCUACAAUGCAACUCGUGUCCAACGAAUUUAUCGCUCGCAAUAUGACACCAAUGCAGAAACCUUUUCAUGAAAUUUCAAUUUUGGAGCUUAGAAACCAAGAAAUGUAUUUGGUUGAAUAAUGUGAUUUUUCCAAUAAAGGAGACUGUUAAUUGGUUGUGAAAUUAUUAGGUAGUAGCAAUGUAGCAAAUAUUAUGUGUUCGACGAAUUGUCUGCCUUAGUAUUUUUUAAUUCCAUUCACACUACGACAUUAAUCUCUUUUGUAAAGCUUGUACUUUCGCAGUUCACUCUGAUAAAAUAAGGUUUGUCUAAUUGUCUCCAUCUCAAUGAUCUGAAUUAACCAGCAUAUUAAGGAAUUUAAGGUUGUGUCUCUACAAGUUAGAAAGGGUAAAUUGUCAUUCUAAUUAUUAGUUUAUUUUACAAAUUAUAUAUAAAAAUUUCAUUCAGAACGAAGUUCGUGAUGUCGCGUUAUUUAAUAUAUUAGUUUUUUCAGUCCUUUGUAAAUAUUCACACAAACAUAUACAAUAAAUUUUUAAUUUAGCCGAUCCGAUCAAACAUCCUGGACCCACCGCUGAUGUCAUUCGAAGGUGAGGAAGCUUCUGCAGAAGUUGUGGUUAGUGAUAUCCUUGCCAGCACAAGAUAAUUAAUUACUGGGAAAGAAAUAAUAAAAAUUUUUAUUAAUUACGAAACUGAUAACUAUAUAUUAGACACACUAUAAUUUUAUGAAAACUGAAGAUCCAUACUAAUAUAAAACUAAAACCAACAUUAAUUAAAUUAUACGAUAACAACAAAUCCAGGAUAUAUUAACAAACACGUCGAUUUUGAAGCUGAAUUUAUAAUCUAAUCUUAACUCUAUUUCUUCUGUAUUUACAUAAUCAUCCUGCUAAUUAAGGAUUUACAACUUUGCCAUGAAAGGUCGGUGGCUUCCAUGCCUUUUUCUUCUUCUCGUCACAAAUUUUGCUUUUGCUUCCACUUCACCAUUAAAGAACAUCCCAAAGCUUGGUGCUGUUCGUGGAAGGACUAUUUUUUAAAACCCUAGCAAAAAAAUCCACAAAGUUACUAUUAUGAUCUCGAAACUUACUAUUAUUAUCAAACACUUGAUCACUUUAACUAUAAUCCACAAAGUUAUUUAACUUUUCCUCAUAGAUAUGCGUUGAACUUCAAGCAUUGGGGCGGUGGCAGAGCCAUGGCGGCGCCGAUAUUGGCAUAUCUUGGUGAAGAGAGUAGUCUUGAUAUGAUGACCUUGGUGACAUUGGAUGGCUUACUAAUAAUGCUCAUCGAUUUAAAGCCUUACAAGUUUACAUAGAGGUAAGUAAAGAAUAUGUUAUCAGGCUAGCUUGAUAAUAAUUGAAAUAGAGUUCACAUACGAAAUAAUAAUAAUAAAGACAAAUCUUAAUCAGAAUAUUCUACAAUAUGAACUGAAAAGUUGUGAUGGAUUUUUUUUUAAUUCAAUUUUUUAUGCAGUAUCGGUUCUAUGGAAAAUCAGUACCUUUUGUAUCAAGCAAAGAUGCCCUAAAGAAUGCAAUUCUUCGUGGAUAUUUCAACUCUGCUCAAGCUUUGGCUGAUUAUGCAGAGAUUCUCUUACACAUCCAGAAAAAUUUAUCGGACGAAAUGUCUCCCAUUAUGGUCGUUGGAGCAUCUUAUGGAGGAAGUAAAUUAUAAUAUUAUUAACUUACUUACAUCUUUUGAUUAAUGUCGUGUCAUCUGUCACAUCAUUUUACUCAUUUAGAUCACGAUUGAUCGAUCAAGAUAUUGACUACGGCAAUAUUACUAUGAUACAAAUUUAUUUAAUAUUGCAACUAACGAUACUCUUGGCGAUCGUAAAAUCAAGAAAUAAUAAAUAUGUUCAAGAUAAUUAUGUAUUUAAAAAUAAUCUUCUCAAUUCAUCCUAUUUUAUCAGAUCUGGGAUGUGAUAUGGUUUCGAGAGUUACUCGUUUGUUGGUUUGUUAUCAACAAUGCUUGCUGCAUGGUUUCGCUUGAAGUAUCUUCACAUUGCUUUGGGAGCAGUUGCCUCAUCCGCCCCAAUUCUCUACUUUGAUAAUAUCACACCGUCAAACGCAUAUUAUGAUCUUGUCACCAAGGACUUUCGGGUAAGAAAUAAAUUAGUUAAUUAAAAUUUUAUAUAAGCAUGAUUAUGUUUUCUUGUUAAAAUUUAGCCAUUGAAUUUUGAAAAUUAAUGAUGCAGGAAGCCAGCGAGAGCUGCUACAAGACCAUCAAACAGUCCUAGGCUGAAAUCGAUAAAGUCGCUGCUGGAAAAAAUGGACUUGCUUUUCUCUCUAUAAAGUUCAAAACCUGCAAGUAAUUAAUCAUAUUACUUUACAUAACUGCUUAUAUUGUAUAUCCAUCCGAUUUUCCCUUAAUUACAAUUAAUGCAAUGUUAUUUUAGCAUCGUUAUCGAAUGUACUAUGUCUAAUUAAUUAUAUGUCAUCCUCAGCGUUUAUAUACAUUUCGAUUAACGUGUAAUAUACAAAGUAAAAAUCUGGAUUUGGGCUUAUUCACGGCCUUUGUGUUACCAUAUAUAGUAUACUGGUGCUUCGAUUCAGACGUCCAUAUUUUGCAGAAUCUAAAUUUAAACUACAAAACCACGCACAACUCUGAUAAUCAAAUGAGGCCAAAUUUGAACGUUUGCAUUUGAGAAUGUCAAUAGCUUCAUACUUAUAGAGUUUAUUGUAAUCUAACUAAAUAUAACAACAUUUUUAAGACAGUAUGUUGAAAGAUCUUUUAUAAAGUUAAUGACCUUGUGGCACUUAAUUCUAUGUUAUUGUUUAUUUGAUUACAGGCCUCUGAAGGAUGUUUCAGAAUUGAAAGAUUAUUUAGAGUAUAUGUAUACGGGUGCAGCUCAGUAUGGUGAUCCUCAGGAAAGCCCAGUGAACAAAGCCUGCAAUGGCAUUGAUGGAGCUUUAGAAGGCACAGAUACCGGAUCUUCUCAGGAAUUGUUGAUUUAAGAGGGGAGGAUUCUUGCCAUGAUGUUGAUGAAUUCUUCUCCGAUGCAACAUUGGACUCCAGCUGGGGCUGACAGGUAUGCAAUUACAAGUGACAUGAUUUCAUUGGAUAGUUCUAUUGAGACGUUAAAUAAACAACAUGUGACAAUGAGAACAAUACCUAUUUUAUGUACAUCUCUUAAUUUUAUUUAUGAGACUUAAUAUUUAUGAAUGAUUAAAAAUAGUUUUCUUCUUUAUCUUAUUUUAUUAUUAUUAUUUUUUAUUAUUGGGGGGUUUCUCAUGCAGACAUGCAGUGAAAUGGUCUCACCAAUUGGAAUUGGCAAAAACGACACAAUGUUUCAAGCAGACCCAUUUAAUCUGACAGAAUAUAUGGAUUCAUGCAAUAAGUAUUAUGGAGUGGUUCCAAGACCACAUUGGAUUACAACUUCUUAAAGUGGUAAUGUAAGUGUCGAUUAAUCCCCAAAUUAAUUCUUCUAAUAUUUUAAGGUUUCUCAUUUUCUGUUUUAAUUAUAAAGUUCACCUCAAUUUUUGUUUGAUUUCUAUUUCUUUUUAAUUUGCAGGAUAUAAGAGUGGUUUUAAAGAGAUUUGGUAGCAACAUUAUUUUCUCUAAUGGCCCUCGUGAUCCCUAUAGUAGCGAAGGGUAAUUAAGCUUAAGAAUUGUGUACACUCUUUUCUAUCGAAGUUACCUGUUUAAUUAUAUACCUUUUUCUGUUUCUUCGUUUUUUUUUUGGGGGGGGGGAGAGGAUUAUAGGAUUCUGGAAGAUAUAUCAGACAGUAUAAUAGUAGUGACAACAAGAAACGGUAUUUAAAAUUUUCUAUAAAAUAAAAAAUUAGUGUUCAAUUAUUAACUAAAUUAUUGGAUAACAUAAUUAAUAGUGUGUAAAUUGGAGUAGGUUCCCAUUGCUUAGACACACAGCCAGCAACAGAAGAUGACCCAGUAUGGUUAGUAGUGCAGCGAAAGAUUGAAGUGGACAUGGUUCAUGAUUGGAUCCUCAAAUAUUUUGCAGAUUUGGUUCAAAAUCAGAGCAUAAGAUUAAAUUGUGACUACAAAAUUAGUCUUUUGUUUUUCUUCCUCUCCUCUAUCUUUCUAAUAUUUAUGGAGUAAAGAUAAAUAAUAAUAGUGCACCUAGCUAGUUUGGAUUUGGUUGUCAUUUUCAUAAUUUUUACUCUGAGUUGUCUAAAUGUGUAGAACAGGUGUGCAAUAUUACUUAAUGUAAAGCACUUAAGGCUCAAUCUUUAUGUAAUAAUCAUAUGGUGAAUAUCAAUUCAUAUACAAUCAGAUUGGGUUAACCAUUUUCUCCCUUUGAUUUAAGAGUUACCGUAUAGGUACUUGAAGCUGGAGAGAGUCAAAGAUUUGCCCUCCACACACACACACAUAUGGAAAUGUUUUAAUCUGGAAUUUUAAAGUGCAAGAAUAUCUUGGAAAACACAUAAACCAUGCGGUUUAAGCCUUUAAAACCCUGUGGUUUUAAAGUUUUUCUGAACGUUUCCCGCACUUUUAGAUCCCUUAUAUGCCUCAAAAGUUAGGUGUUUAUGCUUAUAUGCUCCGUUUAUUAGUAGCCAAGCUUACGAGUAUAUUACUUUAGGCGAACCUCUCCCUAUUCUUCUCCAUAAUGGCUAUUUCUCUUAAUUAUUUGACAAUCUAAUGCAAUCCCAAACGUGACUUAGCAUCAAGUUUAGGAUGGCAGUGGCUGAUAAAAUAAGUUAUUUUUGUUGUGAGGAUGAAAUAAGUUGAUGAUUAAAAAAGUAUCUUGCUCGUGUUUGGUAAAUUUGAUUAUGAAUGAGUUGUAUAUUAUUUAAUCACUAAAAUAGACAUAAGUUUAAACAGUGUUUUAUUUAUAUAUUAGAGCUUAUAGAAAAGAAAGAUAUAAUUAUUCUUUUCUUAAAAUAUUAAGAUUAUUAUAGGAACAUUUGAAAAGAUCUAGCAACUUAUUUAAGAAGUUGCUUAUCAAAAUAAUCUCCUGCCUGUUUUUAGAAGUUGCAGUCAAAAUUGAGAAAAUUACGAACGAAGCAACUUUUAACAAAGCCAUCAAACCUCAUUUUUAUCUAAACUUAUAAAAUAAACUGCUUAUAGCAUUUCAAUCACAAUCUUGGGUCAUUAGUCUUUAUGUAGAAUCAGAUUAGACAUUGAAUAUUUCUAAUUUUCUACACAUAUAAAUUAAAAUAUGUAGACUAGAAAAACCCCUUGACUUCGUAAGUCCACCUCAUUCUUUAAUUUCCACAGCACAUGUCAAGCCGUUUUUUCCAAAUAAUUGCUGACUAGGAGAAGUCUUAUAGUCAAGGUGAUUGGAUGAGCGUGUUAUGGAAUUACGUAUCGUAGGGGUUCCCUGCCCUCAACUAAAAAAGUUGCCUUAAAAAUUAAAUAUUAAAUAAUAUGGUGUGUGUAUAUAUAUAUAUAUAUAUAUAUAUAUAUAUAUAUAUAUACCAGAAGGAAAUAGGAUCGAAGGAUGGGUGUGCUUUCGUUGGAACUCAAAAUUAAAAACUCAAAUUAAACAAUGGAUUGAAAUGGAUCGGCUUUGUCCAAAUUUUAAAAUAAAUUACCAGCUUUAAAUGAAGUAGAUUUGCUUUGGAACGCGGUUGGUCAAAUUUUAUAGUAUUUAAAGUACGUGGCGUUGUUAGACCAGAUCGAUCGCAGAAGUUAAUCUGCCUUUGGACCCAGAUCUGACUUAGACCAGAUCAAUAGUCCGCACGUUCGGGUUUCCAGCCUAUAUACUUCAAUAUAUUUACCAGAUAUUUGUUAGAUUCUUUAUCAAGCCUAGCAACACAUACAUCUAAGGCUUGGGUACAUACACAGUACUAGAUCCGGAUCCCGGAAAUAGUGCUCUGAAGAAGGAAGGAGAAAGAAAGAUACAACUGAGGAUUGAGAUCUGGUCUCGUUGCCUCAGAGGAAUGUAUAAUUUAUAUGGCAGAUCUGAUACAGAUCAGUCUGCAAGCAUGCUUUAAAAGGAAAUGCUUUAAAGUAAAUUACUGAAAUGUAAAUUACAUUGAACUUUAAAAAUUUAAAGAACUGAACUUUAAACAUACAUGUUGCUUUGAUGCUUUGGUGAUUGAUACAAUUUUAGGGAUGUGUCUUUGAAAGAAAGAUUGAAAGACGGGAAGAUUACAAGACAGGAAACCUCCUUGAUGUCUUGAGCAUUUACAAGACAGGAUAGUUUUCCCGAGUGUCUUGAUCCAGACUUCCCUUAGAGAGAGAGAGAUUUUUAGAGAGAAUGAGGAGAAGAAGAGAGAGAAGUGAAAAACCAAAAAUGAAAAACCUGAGGAGUCUAAGUCUUCCUCUUGGUUUAUAUACAAAAUCUUUAAACUGUUCACUGUAGCGGAGUUUUGAGUGCACAGUAAUCUUUGGAAAUUGGCACUGUUCACUGUAGCGGAGCUUUGAGUGCACAGUAAUAUUUGGAAAUUGGUACUGUUCUUUGCAACAUAUGUCGAGCAGGAAUUACUGCAGCUGUUAUGCCGAGCAGGAAUUACUGUAGCUGUUAUGCCGAGCAGGAAUUACUGUAGCUGAUAAACAGAGCAGGAAUUACUGUAUGCAGAGCAGAGAACUUUGGAUGGUAACUUUGAAGAUUUUGUAACACGGGUGAAGAGACAUGUGCGCUCUCACUUGUGUCCAAGGGACCACUCGAAAAUGUAAAAUUAUCAAGAAAUUACUUUUUUUUUUUUUUUAAACAGUUACAUGAACUAUUUACAAUGCUUUACAGGAGGGAAAAUUCCGAAACAAUCGUCUUCAUUUUCGUCUCCGAGGGAGAUGGUUGGCUCAUCUUCUUCGUCUUCAUCUUCAGAGGAGUCAGCCACUGAUGACUUUGACCGGGAGGCGAGGAGCUGUUCCAUGGCUUUGAAGUACUCUUCUUCUUUCUUGGCACUUGCCAGAAGAGAUUGGGCUUUGGAUUUUUGGGUAAGGAAGGUUUGCUGGGCUUUGGAGUCUUUAAUGGUUGGCUAUAGAUGGCCUCUAGUGGAGAGCCAUUUUUCAAUAUCAUUAGUAGUCAAUUUGGUUCUUUCAUCAAAUUUUGACCACCAUUUGACUUUGAAAGUUCUUUGAAGGAUGAAUUGGGCAUCUUGAUUGUGGUACCGAAGGCUCCACAUCCAAACCCAAGGGAGAAAGAAGUUUGUACAGAAACAGAGAAAAGGAGGAAAUCUUUUUUCAGACUCAGUAGGUUUGUAAUGGGCUUUAAAAAGAUUUAGACAUUGUAUGGCGUUUGGGGUAAGGAUAUCUGGGCUUGGCCCAAAAUGAUUCCACCAAUGAUGAAACCAAUUUGGUAGGCUUUGGACGGUUAUUUUUGAAUUAAAGAAAAAUAACCAAGAAUGGGAUUUUUUAGGAUUUUGAAUAAAAAAUGUGUUGUACCAGGCUUGUUGGUAAUCCUAGUAGGAAAAAGUCCGACAAUGUGGUAAACGGGUCUCAAAAUUUAAAGGAAAGGUUUUAUAAUUGUGGAGUAGGUCACCCCACUGAUUUGGGCUCAAGACUUUAAGGAUUGUGGCCGUGGAAUAGGCCGGCUCAGAAUGAGUAUCACUGAGAAAGAAAUGUUUGAAUUUGACUGACUCAGUAAUUUCUAAAAUGCUUUGAUAAUAAGACUGGGGUUUUGUUAAAUCCCAUGGUUUAAAAAACCAGCCUUUGGGAAAAAACUUUGAAAUACUUUGAAAAGGAUCAGUAUGGUAAAAUCCAUCUUCCAUAGAAAGAAUGUUUUGAAAAUGGGCUUUAUCAAACCAAUCGGAGGUUUUCUUUGAAGGUGUUGGCUGAGAAAGCACAAUUUGGGAGGAUGAGCUUUCACAGGACACAACAACAUUUUGGGAAGAAGGCUUUGAAAUUUCUUUGGAAAUGGGUUUUUCUUUGCCUUCUACUUUAGGAGAAGAUUGGCUUUGAGAAAGAUUUUGUAAGGCGAGCAUAAGCUCAGGGGAUUUUGUAAUGGAACUCAUCCAUUGCUUUACUUGGUCAUCAGAAGAAAUAGAUUUGUAUUGGGCUUCAUGUUCCUCGACCAAUUCAAUCCAGGAUUUAAUGGGCAAGGCAGAAGAAAGAAGCUUUUCUUUAGAGGGGGUUGUUUGAGGUUCUUUAGAAGGUUCUUGAGAUUCAGUGUCUUUAAGAACUGCUUUACCUUUGUCCUUUCUUUUUGGCGCCAUUAUCUGUUUUGAAGAAAUUCUCUGGUUAGAAAAUCAGGAAUAGAAUUUUUGUCACCUUUAAUAAACUCAAUAUCAAAAUCAAAAACACUUAAAAUAGCUUGCCAACGUGCAAAAAUCUGUUUGGAUGCAAUGUUUUGAACAUCUUUUUCUAAAACAUGUUUUGCAGCUUUGCAAUCAAUUCUAAGUAAAAAUUUUUGAUUUAAUAAAUCGCUUUGAAAUUUAGAUAUGCAUAAAACAAUGGAAAGAAUUUCUUUUUUGAUAGUAGAAUAUUUUUUCUGGCAAUCAUUCCAAUGAGCAGAAACAUAUUGUACUAUCUGUUCUUUAUCAUUUUCCUUUUGUUUUAAAAUACCUCCAUAACCUAUAUCAGAUGCAUCAGUCUCAACAAUUUUAGGUAAUGCAGGAUUUGCAAGAAAUAAACAUGGGAUGUUUUUUACAGAUUGCUUUAUUAAUCUAACAACUUUAGUAUGUUCAUCUGACCAUGCAAUAUGAUUCUUUUUCAACCUAUCAUGCAAGGGUUUAGACAUCCUAUUGAUGUUAGGGCAGAAAUCGAGAACAUAAUUUAAACUACCAAGAAAUCUUUGUAAUUGGGUUUUGUCAAGAAUUUUGUCUGGGAAUUUAUCCGCAAACAAAAGAGAUCUUUCAAUUGGAGUAAUGGUUCCUUUAGAAAUAUGGUGACCAAGGAACCUGACUUUUGUGUGAAAUAACGAAAUUUUUGAACUAGAGAGGGCCAACCCAGCCUUUCUAGUAGCAAGAUAAAAAGUCUUUAAAUGUUUGAAAUGUUGAUCAAUAGUCUGAGAAAAAAUCAACACGUCAUCAAUAUAAACAAUGCAAAACUCAGAAUAAGGAUUGUAAAUGUCAUUCAUGAUUCUUUGAAAUUCUGAGGGUGCAUUUUUCAAACCAAAAGGCAUUACUGUCCACUCGUACUGACCAAAGGGAACAGUAAAAGCUGUUUUAUAACGGUCUUUAGGGUGAAUCUGAAUUUGCCAAAAACCAGACUUCAUAUCAAAUUUUGAAAAAAUGAAAGCUGAGCAGAGUUUUUGGAGCAAAUCUUUUUUGUUAGGUAUGGGAUACCUAAUCCACUUUAAAGCUUUAUUCAAAGGUUUGUAAUUUAUCACAAGUCUUGGAAUACCUCUUUCAAUUUCAGAGUUUUUAUUAACAUAGAAAGCGGCACAAGACCAUGGUGAUCUGGACUUUACAAUAAGACAUUUGGUUUCUAAAUCUUUUAUUUCAUUUUUACAAUGUUGUUCCAAUUCCAUAUUCAUUUGGAUUGGACGAGCUUUAGUGGGUAUUUUCUUUUCAUCAAAAGAAUUCUCAUAAGGCAGAUCUACCAGGUGUUGUUUUCUAUUCCAAAAAGCAGAAGGUAGAUCAGCACAAAUUUCUUUUUCAAUAAGGGCUUUAAAAUCAGAAAUUUUACUUUGUAUAAAAUCAUUUUGCAAUUGACUCUCAAUUCUUUGAAAACUUAAUUCCUUUUGUAAACAAAAUAAAUCAUCUUGUUUAGAAUUAAGGAUGGCAUUGACUUUGUUUUGAUAAACAGAACAAGCUUUGACAAUAUUAAGAUUCCUUGUCUUUGGUUUUUCAAUAAAUGAGAAAAUAAGAUCUUUGGAUUUUGCUCUGAAAUAAAUACCAUCAUAAUUGAUAGCAUAAGGGGUUAUAAGAUUUAUAAAAGGGGUUAUAAGAUUUAUAAAAGGGGUUCCUAAAAUGAUAGCAUGGUGUAUAUCAUUUGUAAGAACAAAAGAGGUUUUGAAAUCAAUUCCAUCGUUAAAAAUAGAAGCUUCAACUUUGGAAUUUACUUUUAGUUUUGAAUUAUUAGCAGCAGAAAGUCUUUCAUUUGUCUUUUCAUGAAAUCUCUUUGGAACAAUGUCCUCUCUAAUACAAUUUAAAUCAGCACCAGUGUCAAAAAGGGCAAUGGCGUCCAUUGCAAAAUCUUUGGAAAAGAUUAAAGUAAUUUUUACCAAAUAUUUUCUGGUGGUGAUUUGCUUUAAAACAAACAAAAAAUCUUUUGGAACAGACUCAAUGUUUUCAACUUUGUCAUCAUCAUCAGGAGUUGACUCAUUAUCUGAGUUAUCCUGUAAUUGUUUUUGUAAAAGAAGUUGGAUAGUAAUAGAAUCACUUUUUUGUUUUUCUUUCAAAUCCUUUAUUUCAAGUUUAAUAUCCUUGAUCUCCUUCUGAAGAUCUUGGAUACUAGGAAUGGACUUCUUUGUUUUCUUUUUGUCUAAAAUCUCAGUAAGAUCAUAAGAAUUCUUUUUAACAAUAGGAACUUUAGAAGUUUCUGCCUUGUUUGAAUCCAUGGUUUUCAAAAGUUUAUCAAGAUAUUCUUUUUGAAGAUUUGGAUCAGAAAUAUGCUUUACAAGUUCGAGGAAAAUCUCUUGGUCUUUAGUCAAAACAUUGAUUUUCUUUAAAUAAGAAUCCGAAUCAGAAUCGCUACUGCUAGAUGCAGAGGUAUCUGAAUCAAAUAACUCAUCAACUUGAAGGGGGUCACUAUCUCCCGACACGGAGGACUCAGAAUCAGAGGACUCUACCAGAAGGGGGGCAAUUUUAGAAAGGAUGUCCUUAUUAAGGUCAAGCUCUUGGAGUCUUUUGUUCAUUCUGCAAAAUUUUGCAGUAUGACCUUUCAUACCACAUUUGAAACACGUGGCAUCUUUGAAAUUGAAUGGGGUUUUAGGUUUGGUUCUAAACUCUUUCUUUUUAGAAAAACUAUGUUUCUUAUAAGGCCUCGAGGGUUUCUUAUAAGGAAGUUUUCUAAAAUCAUGAAAGGGUUUCCUAUGGCUUUUAGACUUGUAAUGUUUCUUGUAAGGUUUUGGAGAACACUUACCAUUACAGUCUUUAGAAGUAGAAGUUUUAAAGGGGUCAUAAUUGAAUUGCUUACAGAAACCGCCUAAUUCUUGCUUAGAUUUCCUAAGCUCUCAUUUUAGACGUCUCUGUAAUUUCAAAUCUUGACAGAUCUUUAAUCCUUCUUUAUUGACAAAACUGACUAGUUCACCAUAGGUGAGCUCGUCAUAAGGAACACGAUUGUCAUAAAGAGCUUUGAUGGAAUUUCUAACCUUUUCUCCCAAAAGGGUAGGUAAACCUGCAAGGAAUUUCUCCUUCCAAGUUACAUGAUUCGCAUCAUCCCUUAGGAAGAGUCUGGUAAAGAAAGUGGUUUUGUAAUCUUGAAAUUCACUGAGUUUUCUACAUCUCAAGUUGUGUAGUAACUCGGCGUUUUUGUCUCUAAGGUGAGAAGGGUCACCUAUGAAGUGAAGGGAUAUGGUCAAAAUCAGGGUAGCAACAGCAUCCUGAAUAGGAUUAUUGAACUCGUCAAGAAUGGGGGCACCAUUCUCAUCGAUUUGAAUAGCAUUUAAGAUGUCUAAUUGCUGCAAUUUAGUGAGAAGAUGAUCCCACCAUCCUUUAAGUUGGCCGGUAAAACCAGCAAUUAGGAUUUCUGCAAUGGCCUUGUCAGAAGUUCCUGAUUGGGUUUUAUAGGCAUUGGCUGCCAUGGUCAUUUGCUGCAAUACACCUAAAAUGUUGUACUCAGACAUUCCAUCUAUAUUCCACUCAUAGACAGAGGAUGCAUUAUAUCGAGCUUGAUUUAAUGCACUAGGCCUGUUGUCUAUAGUCAAAUCAGGUGGAGAUUUGGAAAUAGGGAGAGCUAAUUCCCAUUGGAUUUUGUUGGCUUUAGGAACAGGUUCUUCGGUAAAGGCUUCUAUGUCUGAAGAGGCAAUAGAAACCUGGUCAAGAUUUAAUACUCCAAUCUUGCUAGAUUGAGGAGUAUCAGGGGCUAUCUGAACUUUGCUAGAUGAGGAAGAAGCAGCUUCUAUCCUAUCUAACUGUUCUCUAAUGGCUUUAGCAAAAUCCGAUUUUGACUCAUGAACAAGCCUUUGGCUAGUUUUCGAAACCUGAAAAGGUUUGAAAAUAGGUUCCUUAAGCUUUUUAUCAGAAUCUGAUUUUGAAGGAAUAGGUUUUAGACUAGGAGAAAUAGAUAUGGUUGACUGUUGGAAUUGGUUUUCUAUUCUAGUCAACUGUUUUCCUAUAGUAUUUAAGUUAGUAUUACAGAAAUUAUUCUGUUGGAUAAUACUACUUAAAUUGGCUUCAGAAUCAUUUGGCUUUGGUAUUUUGUAUGGUGAAGCUCUGAUUUGGACGGGAGGUUCACCAUGAUCAAUGGUAACACUCCGAAGAGGUGGGUGUUCCGACUCUAUGGUUCUAUCGCUAUCAAGAAGUUUCCAUUCAGGAAUUUUCUUCCUAAUAGUGAUAGGAUUUGACUCUUUGAAAUGAUAAGAGAUAUUGUUCUCAGAAGAAUAUAUUUCGAACCAAUCAAAAAACAAUAUAUGAACUUGAUGUAAAUUCACAAAUUCAUAAUAAGUCUGUUGGAUUUCUUUUCUUUGAUUUAGGAAAUGCUCAAAAAACCAAAGUCUUUUUUCUUUAUUGUUUUCUGAAUAAAAAUCAUUAUGAAGAAGAGUUUUAUCUAAAUCAAAAUGCUUCUCAAUAACAUUUAAAACAUUUUCUGUGACAGCAGAGAAUGUAGGGGAAGUUGGAGGAGAAGGUUCCUUCUCUUCCUGACUUUGUUCAUGUUGACUGCUAAUAUAAAUGGGAUGUGGUACUUUUGUGGUAUAGUCAACAGAACGAAUGGAGGAACUAGGUAAAUCCGAAGUGGAAAACCUAGGUUGACUUUGAAAAGGAAGAUUUACAACAGAAGGAAUUUUUGUAAAUUUCCUUUCUAAUGAAGGAAUACUUGAGCACGACUCUCUAUCAGAAAAUCUGGUUGAAUUAGAUCUCCUGAACGACAAUUUGACUUUACCAUCAGAAUACUGAGUCACAUUUUGCAACUCUGUAUUUGGCUCAAGUUGUCUUGGAACUGCUGGUGGAGCAAUUCCUUCAAGAAUCCAUUCCUCUGGAAGAUUGACAUCUUUCCAUUGGAUUGGUUUUGGAAUGACAGUGUUUGCUUUAGACAAGUCAGUCUGCAAGAGAAGAGUCUCAUCUCUUUUUUACUGGAAUUUAUGCUGCGUGCUAAACGCAGAGAUCAUAGCCUUAUAUGAGAUUUUAAAGAUUAAAGCAACCGGGACAUAUCCCUCUAUCAUAUUAUAAUUAUGUGUUUUAAUCUGUAAAAUCAUGCUUUUCAAAAUAUUUUUGUCUUUAAGAGAAAGCGUUAUGUUAGGAUAACAGUCAAAAGAAAUUGGACCUUUACAUAGACUGGACUCAAUGCUACUUAGCAAAGAAUCAUCAAAAGAGAUGAAACGGCCAUCUCUAAGGACAGCAAGGAUAGAAGUAUCCAAGCCUUCUUUGGUUAAAGGCUUUAUUCCUAUUUGGAUUAAACCAAUGUGGAUGUAAUUAAAAUUCUUUUCUUUUAAUUUCUUUAAAGAUUUCUCUGAAAACAGAUGUAUUGUUUCAAAUGGUGAAGAAAGGGUUAUGUCUCUUUCUUCGGUUUUUAUGACAUAAUCACUCUUUAGAAAAUCAAACUUUUUUGUUUUGUAAAUCUGUUCUUUUGAAAUCUUUGGAAGUUCCCAACAAUCAAUUGCUUUAUCAAAGUUCUCAAUAACGAAUUCUUCUGAACUCACAACAUGCUUUGAAUCACUAGUCUUCCCGGAAGAAGAGCUAGAAAAGGACGAUGUUCUAUAGUGUAGAGGAUUCAUGGUUAGAACCCUAUAGUCUAUUUAUGGUUUGGUCAGAAUGGCUACAGGUAUGGUUUUACAGCCCUAAACGGAAAACUUAUCCUUGGACGGGACUUACUACUAGUAAAAAUUCGCCACACAAAAAAACUUCAAAAUAAAACACAAGAUUUUAAACACAAAAUUCUAAACUGCUUUACACAAUCCUCCCCUUGGCUCUGAUACCAGAAGGAAAUAGGAUCGAAGGAUGGGUGUGCUUUCGUUGGAACUCAAAAUUAAAAACUCAAAUUAAACAAUGGAUUGAAAUGGAUCGGCUUUGUCCAAAUUUUAAAAUAAAUUACCAGCUUUAAAUGAAGUAGAUUUGCUUUGGAACGCGGUUGGUCAAAUUUUAUAGUAUUUAAAGUACGUGGCGUUGUUAGACCAGAUCGAUCGCAGAAGUUAAUCUGCCUUUGGACCCAGAUCUGACUUAGACCAGAUCAAUAGUCCGCACGUUCGGGUUUCCAGCCUAUAUACUUCAAUAUAUUUACCAGAUAUUUGUUAGAUUCUUUAUCAAGCCUAGCAACACAUACAUCUAAGGCUUGGGUACAUACACUUAAGGCGCUUACCACUCGCCCUAAAAGCUUAAGCUGUUAGGAGAAGGCGCUACUUUAUACUUAAGCACCACCCGGACCAAACCAGGUAACGUCUCCACGUUAUGCCACGACAUCGUGACCCCACAUCGGCCUUACAGGAGUCACCACAAGGGUGCGGGCCCCAGUUCCAGUACUGGGAUAAUAUAUUAAGCCCAUUCCUCCCCCCCGAGUUUCGAACCCUGGCCGGCUCUGAUACCACUUAAGGCGCUUACCACUUAAGGCGCUUACCACUCGCCCUAAAAGCUUAAGCUAUUAGGGGAAGGCACUACUUUAUACUUAAGCACCACCCGGACCAAACCAGGUAACGUCUCCACGUUAUGCCACGACAUCGUGACCCCACAUCGGCCUUACAGGAGUCACCACAAGGGUGCGGGCCCCAGUUAUUAGUCUUCAUGUUUUGCACAUGUUCGAACGGAAAUUGUAAUAUUAAAUAAUAUGGCAUUAUUAAAGUUUAAAAAAAAUCUAAAAUUAAUCAUAAAAAUAUAUAUAUUUUUAACUCUUAAUGUUUUGCACAGGUAUGGACGGCAAUUAUACAAUGAGAACGAAACAAUAAUAUAAUCGUGCGUUUGACACACUGUAUUGUAUUAUGUUGUAUUGCAUUAUUUUAUUGCAGGUGUAUUGUAUUAUGUUGUAUUGCAUUAUUUUAUUGCAGGUGUAUUGUAUUAUGUUGUAUUGCAUUAGCAUUGUAUCAUAAUAAUGUUGUACAAUGUUUGGCGUUACACUGUACUGUAUUAAUUUUUUUGUGAUUAAUUUAAAUUAUAUAUUUAAAAUAAUAUUUAUUAGUACUUAAAAAUAAUAAAUAUAAAAUUCUUAAAUUUUAGAAAUUUAACAUUUUUAUUAAAAAUAUAUAUUGAAAUGUCAUAAUUCUUCCGAAGCUUAUAGUCUUAAAUUUUUGGAAGUGUAUUUUUCAGUAUUUUCUAAAUAUAUAACUUGUGAAACAAAGAUCGAAGUAAAUAAAUUAAUCAAAUAAUCACUAAAUAAUUUAACAACAUAAAUAAAUAGUUAAAAUCUUCAAGAUUAAUUCAAAAAUCAUUUGAGGAUGAUAGAAUAAAAGUUUAUACAUAUUACAAGAUAAUUGUAGAAUAAUAAAGUGAUACAACUGUUAUGACAUAUUCACUAAGAAAAUAAAUUGAGCUAAAUAAUCCAGUAUUUUUUUAUAUUAUUAAUUUUCAAUUAAUAUUAUUCAAAUUUAAAUAUUUAUUGUUAGUUAUAUUAAAUUAUUUAAAAAUAGCUAAAUUAAUUAUUGUACUAUAAUUAAUAAAAUAUUAUAUUAUUUAAGUAUUUAUUACUAAUUAUAUUAACUUAUUAAAGAUUAAUUAAUAUACUUUUAUAUAUUAAUUAAAAUAAUACAAUUAAAUAAUACAUUGUUUAGUUAUAUAUUUAAAAUAAUAAAAAUUAAAACAUAAUUUAAUAUUAUGUAAUAUAAUCUUAAAUUAAAAAAUUAUAUUAAUUUGUUAUUAUUAUUAUUACAAAGAGAGAAAAAAAAAAAAAAGGCAAACUAAGUUGCCGCAUUAGCUAACCCCAACUAAGGGUCGGUUAAACACCCCCAAAAUGAACACUGGUUAAGCUAAUUGGGGUGGUUAAAAUUUGCACUCCCGUGACUGCGCACGAGGAACGCCCCUUUGCUUAUAAUAGCUUACCGUUCAUCUAGUAAUUAUAUAUAAAUCUUUCCAAUGUGGGACAAAUGUAUUUUCCUUUAAUUUUUCAAAUUCAUGAGUGCACUUUGAGUAACAAUUUCUCAUUCACUUGAGGAUCAUUUUGAUCAUAUAGAUAACAUUCCGAAGUACUCAUAGAGGAAUAUGCGAAACAAUUUCUGACUUUUCGCUUAUACCAAAUAGGUCUCAUUCAAAAUCAUGCCUCAAGUAGCUACUUGCGCAUUAUUUUUCUAACACUUUCUUUUUGUUUUUUUUAAAUUUGGUUGCGUGCAGAAAAAUUGAGCGGUAAUGAAAAUUUCAUCUUCUUUCAUUUAUGAUGUUUAGGGUUAAAAAAAAAAAAAAUGUUAGUUAGCCCAUGAGCUAUGGUAUGUAUGUUACAAAAGAUAUGAUUAGUCUUGUUUAUUUUCCUAUUUGAGCCAUUAUUUAUAACAAUUCUUUUCUUUGAACUUUUUUCCUUUUCUUAUUUUGGGUAAUACUUAAUAUCUUAUACUACUAAUAAUGCUAUUAAUUAUUUCUAAUAUUGUCCAUAUUAUCUCAUGUUUCUGCAAAGUUGUUCAAAUAGAUCUACACCUCACAAAUACAAGCCGAUAAGGUUAUAUCUCCAUGAUUGAAUCCAUCCAGAGAAGACAUUGACUCACACUAUUUGAAAACGCGUAUUGGAAGUUAACACCGGGAGCUUGCAAAACAAUUAAUUCUUAUAUAAACGCUUUGCUGAGAAUCAAAUGUAGCUCAAUCAACCGAAAACCACCAUAAACAUGGCAUCAGCGUCCUCUGUUUCGAGACUGGUGGUCAUUAUAAUUUUAAUUAAUGUUGGUGCUAUAAGUGAUACGACAAUAUCUGUAACGACAUCAGCUGCAGGAUUAUUGUCGUCACCCAUACUGUUAGAAAGGGAAGCUUUACUUGCUACAGGCUGGUGGGUCAACAAUUGGGCGACGACGGGCAACUACACGUCCGAUCAUUGUAAGUGGACUGGCAUCAGUUGCAAUUCAGCGGGAAGCGUAAUCGGGGUCAGCUUACUCUGGUAUGAAAAUGAUAACAUCAUAGGAGAGCUUGGUCGUUUCAAAUUCUCUUGCUUUCCCAACCUCAGAAGUUUCAAAAUUCGUUCAAAUUAUCUUCUCUCUGGGAGCAUUCCAUCUGAAAUUACUGUUCUUUCAACAAUCCGAACUCUUGAACUGACCUCCAACAAUCUUACCG